RNAcentral lists this long non-coding RNA (119906 nucleotides) under Hordeum vulgare. Its description in RNAcentral is "long non-coding RNA (HVUL_LNC005956)". The stretch from base 8741 to 8876 matches the Rfam family "MIR1120/MIR1122 microRNA precursor family". Lineage: Eukaryota; Viridiplantae; Streptophyta; Magnoliopsida; Poales; Poaceae. The record is from RNAcentral.
GCGGCGUCGAACCUGGAUGUCACGGCCGGCAGCGCCGCCUUGCGGGACGCCCGGGUGGCGGAGGCGGAGUGGAUGGGGAGCAGGGCGUGGUACUUGUCGGUGAGAAACAUCUGAGCUGGCUCGCUGGUGGUGUGUGGGCUGGGGUGAGGUGAGGUGAGGCGAGGAGAGCUCGCGUCGGCGUUGGGUGGGCGUGCGACUUUGCCAAGGAAAGGAAUGCAGAGGGAGUUGGAGGCGGGCGUGGGAGGGGGUGGAUUUAACGGGGCCGGUUGAGGUGUGAAACGGGGCAAGGUGGUGGUGGCCCGGACGGCUUGAGCGUGAGCGUGAGCGAGCGACGUGGACGCGAGGCGGCGGGGCAACAACGGACGCGUCUCCGGGAAGGCGACGUGGGCCCGACGCGCAAGACGCGUAUCGGAAACACCUCUCUCCUUUUCUCUCCGGGCGCCUUUUUGCUCCUACACGCUUCUCUUUUUCCCUUUUCUUUUCGUCUCGUCAUCUCAAGCGUGCCAAUGUGCCAUGGACUUGAAGGAACAAAAAUGGAAGUACGUACUUCGGGGUCUCUUUUGCUUCCGUGCCUACUAGCAUGUACUACCAACUCUAGAUGGAAACUUCGACUUACAUCCACACAAAAAAUAGCAACCCUACUACAACCCUCAUCGCCCCCCCCCCCCCCCCCCCCNNNNNNNNNNNNNNNNNNNNNNNNNNNNNNNNNNNNNNNNNNNNNNNNNNNNNNNNNNNNNNNNNNNNNNNNNNNNNNNNNNNNNNNNNNNNNNNNNNNNAAGAACACGAUGCGUGCCUUGCUGCCCCUUCUGUCACUGGGAAAGGUCACCGCACGGUAUGAACCCAAAACCAAGCACUUCUCCCAUUGCAAGAAUCAUAGAUCUAGUUGGCCAAACAAAACCCAAGACUCGGAGAGACUUACAAGGAUAUCAAAUCAUGCAUAUAAGAAAUCAGGAAAGUCUCAAAUAUAAUUCAUAGAUAAUCUGAUCACAAAUCCACAAUUCAUCGGAUCUUAACAAACACACCGCCAAAGAGGAUUACAUCGGAUAGAUCUCCAUGAAGAUCAUGGAGAACUUUGUAUUGAAGAUUCAAGAGAGAGAAGAAGCCAUCUAGCUACUAACUACAGACCCGUAGGUCUGAAGUGGACUACUCAGGAGUCAUUGGAGGGGCGAUGAUGUUGAUGUAGAAGCCCUCCAACUCCAAAGUCCCCUCCGGUAGGGCACUAGGAAGGGUCUCCAGAUGAGAUCUCGCGGAAACGGAAGCUUGCAGCGGCGGAAAAGUGUUUUCGUGGCUGCCCAGAUUUUUUCUGGGAUUUUAGUGAAUUUAUAGGCCAAAGAGCUAGGGCAGGGGAGCGCGAGGGAGGCCACAAGCCUGGUUGCCGCGGCCCCCCCUUGGCCGCGGCAACAGGGCUUGUGGGCUCCCUGUGGGCCUCCUGACUUGGCCCUCAAGUCCCCUGAUCUUCUUCCGUUCUGGAAAAAUUCUUUUUGGGGAUUUUAUUCCGUUUGGACUCCGUUCCAAAAUCAGAUCUGAAAAGAGUCAAAAACACAGAAAAAACAGGAACUGGCACUUGGCACUGAAUUAAUAAGUUAGUCCCAAAAAAUAUAUAAAAGGUAUAUAAAACAUCCAAAGUUGACAAGAUAAAAGUAUGAAACCAUAAAAAAUUAUAGAUACGUUUGAGACGUAUCAAGCACCCCCAAGCUUACCUCUUGCUCGUCCUCGAGUAGGGAAGUGAUAAAGAAUGAAUUUUUGAUGCUUUCAUGCUACCUAGCAUAGAUGUCCUUUGUAACUCNNNNNNNNNNCAUUAGAUUCAAAACAAUAGUUUGCUAUUGACAUGGAGGCAAUAAUACUUCAAGCAAACUAGCAAGGUAAUCAUGUACUUUCAAAAUAACAAGGCCAAAAAGAAAGUUAUCCCUACAAAAUCAUAUAGUCUGGCUAUGCUCUAUCAUCCUUGCACAACAAAUUUAAAUCAUGCACAACCUCGGUACUGGCCAAGUAAUUGUUUUCACACCUUUACUUUCCCAAACUUUUUCAACUCUCACGCAAUACAUGAGCGUGAGCCAUGGUUUUAGCACUAUAAGUGGAAUGGAGUGUGGUGGAGGUUGCAAGGCAAACAAGAAGAAGAUGGUCACAUUGACUAGGCAUAUCAACGAGCUAUGUAGAUGCUCAUGAAUAGAUAUCAACAUGAAUGAGUAGGGAUUACCAUACAAAUGAUGCACUAGAGCUAAGAGUAUGUGAAAGCUCUUAAAGAAAACUAGUGGGUGUGCAUCCAACUUGCUUGCUCAAGAAGACCUAAGGCAAUUUUGAGGAAGCCUAUCAUUGGAACAUACAAGCCAAGUUAUAUAAUGAAAAUUUCCCACUAGCUAUAUGGUGGUGACAAAACGAGAGACUCUCAAUCUUGAAGAUCAUGGUGCUUAAUAAGCACAAGCGUGGAAAGAUACUAGCAUUGUCCCUUCUUUCUUUUUCUCUCAUUUUUUUGGUGGGCUCUUUGGCCUUUUUUUAAUUUAUUUAUUUAUUUUGGUGGGCAUCUUUGGCCUCUUUUUGUAAAUGGGCUUCACUGGCCUCUUUUAUUUCCUCACAUGGGACAAUGCUUCAUCAAUGAUGAUCAUCACACUUACAACUCAAAACUUAGAGCAAUGAUGACUNNNNNNNNNNCGAAGACCUAAGGCAAUUUUGAGAAGCCUAUCAUUGGAAUAUACAAACCAAGUUAUAUAAUAAAAAUUUCCCACUAGCUAUAUGGUGGUGAAAAAACGAGAGACUCUCAAUCAUGAAAAUCAUGGUGCUUAAUAUGAAGCACAAGUGUGGAAAGGAGAUAGUAGCAUUGUCCCUUCUCUCUUUUUCUCUCAUUUUUUUGGUGGGCUCUUUGGCCUCUUUUUUUUAAAAUUUUGGUGGGCAUCUUUGGCCUCUUUUAUUUCCUCACAUGGGACAAUGCUCCAUGAAUGAUGAUCAUCACACUUACAACUCAAAACUUAGAGCAAUGAUGACUNNNNNNNNNNACAGUGUACCGUGACAAUGAUCUAGCAUGGCAUAAACAUCAAUGGAAACAUCAUGCUAGCUAUCUUACGAUCAUGCAAUGGCAAUGUAGAAGUGGUGGCACAUGUCAUGGUGGUAGUUGCAUGGCAAUAUAUCUCGGAAUGGCUUUGAAAAAGCCAUAGUAGGUAGGUAUGGUGGCUGUUUUGAGGGAGGCUAAUGGUGGGUUUUAUGCACCGGCGAAAGUUGCACGGCACUAAAGAAGAUAGUGAUGGUGGAAGGUGAAAAUGCAUCUAAACCAUGGACUCAAGAUUAGUCAUGAAGAACUCAUAUACUUGUUGCAAAAGUUUUAGUAGUAAUCGAAACAAAGCAUUCAACGCAUACUCCCAGGGGAAGGGUUGGUAGGUGUAAACCAUCGCGCGAUCCCAACCGCCACACAAAGGAUGACAAUCAAUAGACUAAUCAUGCUCAUACUUCAUCACAUAGCGGUUCACCAUACGUGCAUGCUACGGGAAUCACUNNNNNNNNNNACAUACUCCUAGGAGAAGGGUUGGUAGGUAUAAACCAUCGCGCGAUCCCGACCACCACACAAAGGAUGACAAUCAAUAGACUAAUGAUGCUCAGACUUCAUCACAUAGCGGUUCACCAUACGUGCAUGCUACGGGAAUCACUAACUUCAACACAAGUAUUUCUAGAUCCACAACACCUUACUAGUAUAACUUCAAUAUUACCACAACCACAACUCAAAACUAAUUGAGAUGAAUCAAACUUCUCUAACUAUUCAAUGCACAUGAAGGUGGAAGUUUUCAUAUCCAUUUGGACAACUACCUCUUUUGAGACUAAUUUCAUAGCAUAGAUCAACUACCAAGCCACGCGCUUCCGUGCUCUAAAAGAUAGAAGUGAAACACACAGAGCAAAAUCAACUAGCUCAAAAGAUAUAAGUGAAGCACAUGUGAGCUGAAUUGUCUAACCAAAAGAUAUAAGUGAAGCUCGACAAAAUCACGGUGAGUGCAUGACUCUCUCUCUAGGUGUGCAGCAAGGAAGAUUGUGACACAACAAAAAUAAAAGACUCCUACGAUACAAGACGCUCCAAGCAAAACACAUAACAUGUGGUGAAUAAAAAUAUAGCCCCAAGUAACGUUACCGAUNNNNNNNNNNCUCAAUGCACAUGAAGGUGGAAGUUUUCAUAUCCCUUUGGAUAACUACCCCUUUUGAGACUACUUUCAUAGCAUAUGCCAACGACCACGCCGCGUGCUUCCGUGCUCUAAAAGAUAGAAGUGAAACACAAAGAGCAAAAUCAACUAGCUCAAAAGAUAUAAGUGAAACACAUGUGAGCUGAAUUGUCUAACCAAAGGAUAUAAGUGAAGCUCGACAAAAUCACGGUGAGUGCAUGUCUCUCUCUCUAGGUGUGCAGCAAGGAAGAUUGUGAAACAACAAAAAUAAAAGACUCCUACGAUACAAGACGCUCCAAGCAAAAUACAUAACAUGUGGUGAAUAAAAAUAUAGCCCCAAGUAACGUUACCGAUGGAUUGAAGACGAAAGAGGGGAUGCCUUCCCGGGGCAUCCCCAAGCUUAGGAUUUUUCGGCAUCGUUGAAUCAACUUGGGGUUCCUUGGGCAUCCCCAAGCUUGAGCUCUUUCCACUCUUUAUAUCUUUGUCCAUAAGAACUUCACACAAAACUUGAAAACUUCACAACAUGAAACUUAAACAGAAACUCGUGAUAACAUUAGUAUAAGAAAGCAAACCNNNNNNNNNNCUGUAGAAAACUUAAAUUCUACUUAUGUUGAUGUUGGGUUACUGUAUUUACAAUCUUCCAUGGCUAAUACCCCCCGAUACUAUCCAUAGUUUCAUCAAAAUAAGCAACCAACUCAACAAAAACAGAAUCUGUUAACAGCAGACCAGUCUGUAGAAAUCUGUAUACUUCGUAUACUUCUGGUACUUCAAACAUUCUGAAAACUUACGACAGUCUGAAUAAUUUGCGUAGCAAUCAGAAGGAAAAAAUAAUCAACUCAAAAUCUCUUACAGAAAAAAAUUAAAAUUCUUUUCGUGAGCAGAAAGUUUCUGUCUUUUCCAGCAUGACCAAACGAUCAUCCCCAAGACUAAUCAUAACGGUUUNNNNNNNNNNNNNNNNNNNNNNNNNNNNNNNNNNNNNNNNNNNNNNNNNNNNNNNNNNNNNNNNNNNNNNNNNNNNNNNNNNNNNNNNNNNNNNNNNNNNCCGAAUGUUGUUCGGAGUCCCGGAUGAGAUCACGGACGUCACGAGGGUUUUCGGAAUGGUCCGGAAACGAAGAUUGAUAUAUAGGAUGACCUCAUUUGAUUACCGGAAGGUUUUCGGAAUUACCGGGAAUGUAUCGGGAAUGACAAAUGGGCUCCGGGAGUUCACCGGGGGGGCAACCCACCCCGGGGAAGCCCAUAGGCCUUGGGGUGGCACACCAACCCUUAGUGGGCUGGUGGGACAGCCCAAGAAGGCCCUAUGCGCCAUAGGAAGAAAAUCAAAGAGAAAAGAAAAAAAAGGAGGAGGUGGGAAAGGAAAGAAGGACUCCACCCACCAAACCAAGUAGGAGUCGGUUUGGGGGGGAGACCUUCCCCCCUUGGCUCGGUCGACCCCCUUGGGGCUCCUUGAGCCCCAAGGCAAGGCUCCCUCUCUCCCACCUAUAUUUAUGGAGGUUUUAGGGCUGAUUUGAGACGACUUUUCCACGGCAGCCCGACCACAUACCUCCACGGUUUUUCCUCUAGAUCGCGUUUCUGCGGAGCUCGGGCGAAGCCCUGCUGAGACAAGAUCAUCACCAACCUCCGGAGCGCCGUCACGCUGCCGGAGAACUCUUCUGCCUCUCCGUCUCUCUUGCUGGAUCAAGAAGGCCGAGAUCAUCGUCGAGCUGUACGUGUGCUGAACGCGGAGGUGCCGUCCGUUCGGCACUAGAUCGUGGGACUGAUCGCGGGACGGUUCGCCGGGCGGAUCGAGGGAUGUGAGGACGUUCCACUACAUCAACCGCGUUCACUAACGCUUCUGCUGUACGGUCUACAAGGGUACGUAAAUCACACAUCCCCUCUCGUAGAUGGACAUCACCAUGAUAGGUCUUCGUGCGCGUNNNNNNNNNNAUUUUUUUGUUUCCCAUGCAACGUUCCCCAACAGAAUGCUCACACAAUCUUCUUCUUCAAGACAUGCUUGCAAUAAGCUCAACUCUCACAUGACCAAUUUUUGGAUAAUACCUUGAAUACCACAUUGGUCACCAUAUAAGCUGCUUGAAACCAACAUAUGGAUUUCAAGAAAUGACUAUGGACAAAUCCUUCGAAUAUAACUCAAGGCGACCAUUAGUCCAUAGGGAUUGUCAUCAAUUACCAAAAUCGCACAUGGAGAAAUAUGCUCUUACACACUUCAUAUUCAUGAUCAUUUUGAUGCACUUCAUUUGUUUGAGACCAAUGAAAAUUGUUGGAGCCGACACCCAUAGUUGAGAAAUAUGUGUCAUCAUUGAAGUAUUCACUACAAACUAUGAUAAGAAAACUAUGUGAAGCUAUUCAUAUGCACACAUUUCUAGCAACAACAACAAGAAGAAAAAAUCUUACCUUGCGGGCAUUUCAUUGAACACCAUUUGGGCGUCGGCCGCUGGCGCACCAAAUUGCGACUCCUUAGGCGCUUCUGGUGGCGGUGAAGGCGGAGGCGGGGCGGGGCGAGGGGCACUGUCGGUCUCUUCCUUGCAGCCACCUUAUUUUUCUUCUGGGUCGGCGGCACCAACGUUGUCGCCGCAGCCGCAGCCGUCGCGUGUGGGCGCUUGAUGAUGGAGCUCUGUGGCUUCAAGGUGGGCGCCGUGCGAAGCCACCUUGAGGGUUUGUCCGUGGCGCCAUGAAAAGUCCGUGCGCGAGAUCGUGCUUGGAGCCGGUGUUGCGCCGGUGACGAAACCGGAGGUCAACCCCACACAAGGGUUUGCGAUGGCGACGACGGCGGAGGAGGAGGAGGAGGAGCCGGCGGCGGCCGAUGGGUCACAGGCGUAGCGAGCGGUCGGGGGCAUGUCGACGCGACCGUCCAUCGCCGGCUGAGGCGCGGGGAGGGGCGAAGGCGGGCGCGGCGGCUGGCGUUUGAAGAUUUACGCGGGUGAAUUGUUUUGUCUCGCGUGCUAGCGGGCGAACCAAAUAUGAUACGCGUGAUGGAGUUUCUUCCAGCGCCAGACCGCACGCGGCAUUAUUGUGCGGCCGCUUGAGCGCUGCUUUCGUCGGUAUGCGCAUUAUAUUACCGGUUUUUAAACGCACGGUUUAUUUAAUGAAGCUCCUCUUAUAAAAGGCCAGACCGUUCAUCUUGAAGACCUUGGCCAGCGGAUCCAAGGGAGCACGUUCCUGGUCGACCCUGACUUGGAGAUGGUAUAUGUGGUGCUCCUCGGUCGCCACGUCGACCACCAGCUAGCAUCGCGACGAGAACCGGGGGCAGCCGGAAAUGUACGAUCUAUCGCAGACGCGCGGCUUGGACGACACAACGAAAAUCUUGAUCGUUCCCUUUCAAUUUGAGUCCGAUUAGGAGCAGGAACCCCGACUACAUUUCAGUAGGCCGCUUCACGGUUUGAUGCCGAGCUGGUGUCGGUCGGAGGGAGUCGCGUUCCCGGCCGGUCUAUAUAUAUAGUCUCAGCUCAGAGCAUGGCCCCUCCUUGAUUCUGUAUUCUCGACGCACGCACAAACACCUAGCUUAUCCACCAUCUGCAUACGGUUCGACGAGCGAGAGGAGCCAGCCGGCCGGCGACAUGGCGUCCCCGAGGCAAGAGUACGUCCAGAUCGUCGGCGUGCCGUCGCCGCUCCCGGUGGCCUGGCUGGAGGGGGACGUCCUCGCCGAGUACCUGCAGUUCCUCGAGGAGGCGGAGAAGGCCGCGGCCGCGGCCGCGCCGCUUCCCGGCGUCAAGUGGCUGGAGGGGGACGUCCUCGCCAACUUCCUGCAGUUUCUCGGCGAGGACGAGCCGGAGCCGGAGCCGGAGCCGGUCGUGCACUACGAUAGCGGCAACGGCGGCGACUCCAUGGAUGAGGAGGAGGAGGACGAGGAGAUGGCGUUUCUGCUGCGGCACAUCACGGGCCUCCCGGCGUUCAUGGCGCGCGCCGCGGCGGCGGCCACCUCGCCUCGGUGCAAGAUUGAUUAAUCGGGACGGCCUGGCUCUGAACUUCUGAUCAAGAUACGCGAGCGCUGCCUAGCUGUUUUGCUUGCUUGGUUUCCUGCCUACAUGUUUCUGUUCUGGACAGAUGAAAACGGACCUACUGUUAAUCUGUGACACAUGCAUGCUUGUAACACUACUGCAUGAGCUAUGUACUUUUUUUAAUCAUAUGUUGGAUCAGAGAAUGUUGCAUUUUAACUAUUCGAGAUUGCUUCUUUGUAUGACGAAAGGGUUGCAAUGGAAGCUAUGGUCAGAUUAUAAGCCAAAAUCAAGCUUAUCGAGCAGAAAACUUCAACUGUACCUUUACUUUUGAAGGUCGAGCUUGUAAUUUCGAAGUUCAUUCGUUAGCCAAGUACUCUCAGUCUUUAGACCGGGGCGGUAUGUUUGGCUGGGACAACCUCACGAUUCUUUUCGAGUAAUGUUACACCUACAAAGUCUUACUUAAAGAUUUUACGAUAAACUGAUGUGUAAGAUUGUGAUUGAUAAUUGGGGGAUGAGGGGCCCCACCCCCACUGAAAAUCAAGAGAGGAGAGAAGAAUUAGUUUGGAAGGUUAAGUAAACCUUUGUAAGUUUUUGUAGGUCUAGCAUUAUUGAUUCUUUUCUAUUCCAAACUCUGUGACCUUUGAGCAAUAAUAAAGACUUGUCUUUUCUAAAAAUAUACUCCCUCCGUCCUAAAAUUCUUGUCUUAGAUUUGUGUAGAUAUGAAUGUAUCUAGUCACAUUUUAGUAUUUAGAUACAUCUAUUUCUAAACAAACCUAAGACAAGAAUUUUGGGACGGAUGGAGUAUAUAUAUAUUCGGGGUUGCUUCUUUGUAUGACGACAAACUCAGGAUUGCCACGGUGGGAUAUGAAGAGCUGUACGCUGCGUCACAAAUAUACAUUAUCACUUUUGAGAUAGAAUAGAAAAUAAUAAUAUCAUUAAUUUUCCACAUUUCACAGCUAAUUCAUGGUUCGUAUGGUGUCGUGGUAUCUAGAUGAAAGUUUCAACUUGAUAAAGUUCAUGUCCUUUUUGGCAUAACUAAUUCUUGCAUUACUCAGAAUUAAGUGUUACAAUCCCAUCCAACAAUUUCCAGGACAUCGUCUGGGCCAAAGCAUAGCCAAACAGCUGUUCAGUCAUGCAACCUACCGAAAUUGCCAUGAAAUGACUAGCCCUAUCUCUGCUUCGACAAAUACAUGUAAUGCAAGAAUCACAUCCCCAUACUGAAAUUGAUCUCUUUGAUAAUAAAAGCAUACUUUGAUUUUGUUCUUCUCUCUACUUUUGAUCAUAGCAACGGCCUCCUUGCAGUACGAUUCAAUAUCAAUAGGCUGAUUGCGCCACUGGAGAGCCUUCUUUGAUUGACAUGAGUUCAGCUUCAAGUACAUCUGAGCAAUUGUAAAGAUGACGACAAAAACUGAAGAUUACAGAGCCGCCAUCGUACCUAGAAACAUACCUCACCCAGCAAUACCCUCCAAUACAUGAUACAACACCGCCAUCUCUUCCCCCCCACCCCAAAAAAAAAAAAAACGCCAUCCCGACUUGCCCUUCAUGAUCCAGACAACCACGUUGCUGGCUGGGACGCGGUGGGAUGGACAAUCCUCACACGUUGACUUGGAUAGUGAAAAGGUGCAUCUUGAAAGAUGGUCGGAGGAAUGUGCUUCAGUACCUCAGAGUUCCUUAACACUUACCAGCAUUUCACACUUCACCCCAUCACUGAACACAACGGCAAUCACCCGUCCAAUCCCUGGUCCCAUAACCAUGCAAUCACCAGAGACAGAGGAUCUUAAUCUUGAAAGCUCCUUGGUGUUGACAUCUUUUAUUAUGUCACCAGAGUUUGUCUCCAAGUCCACAUGCCUUAUAACCCCAACAAUGCCGCCCAAAUGACCCGAGGGAUCAGACACAGGGCAGACUAUGUCCCUACGAAGAAACCCUCUUUCAGAAGUAAGAAAAUCAUCAAUCUUAACGAUGCUCUGCGCAUGGUUGCUGUAUGUAAAUUCACAUUCUUAUUGGUCCUCACUGUCACUCAUUCCAUUGUAUGACUCACUGUCCAAGUCAGUCGCAGACAAAUCAAUGUUUACAAACCCUGCAAAUAUGAAACAACUAAUAUUGUUAACAGUUAGAUUAAAUCCAUUCCUGCCUUUUUGUAAUAAACCGUGUUAUGUGAUAAACUAAAGAACGGUCUUUGAACAGCAGGUUAAUGUUCGGACAAAUAUGAAUGGACAGCACGCUUAAUGCUAAUGCCAAAGGAGAAUUCCCUCAUACAGUAUCAGUAACCACCAAAGGAGAUUUUGCCAGAUAGCAAAAGUAAGAUUUAGUGCCAAAGGGGAUUUUCCCAGACAAGACAGAAGCUAAACCUAGCGCCGAAGGGGAUGUGCCAAGAUAGCAAUCUAUAGCUAAAGCUAAAGCAUAUGUAACGACGGAGAUCAGAAGAAUAGGUAGUUCUGCCGAAGGACAUUUGCCGAACUAUAUGUAGUUUUGUCAAAGGACAUUUGCUGAACUAUAGGCAGGCUUUGCCAAAAGGAAAAUUUCCCAGAACUAUCGGUAGGUUUUGCCAAAGGAGAUUUGCCAGAAGAACUACAGAACAGUCACUAUCUGAACUGUUCAGUGUCAAAGGAGGUUCCAGAAGAACUACAGAAAAGUCACUGUCUGAAAUUUUCAGCGGCAAAGGAGAUUUGCCCUAAACUAGGAAUGGCUCGUUACAGGAGAUAAUUUCCAGAGGAAAGUUCAGAACUGCUCACUGUUUUUAUGGAGAGACAAGUUGUCUAAGAAUGAUUACCUUCUCUUCCAUCACUAGGCUAAACUCCAUUAGCAAAGAUAUGUCGACCGCGGCAGUGCCAAUUAAUAUUGCUCAUCUUUAUGUGAUUCUUGUCAGGUCAUACAGUGCAGCCAUCGACGACUACGGUCUUCUAAAAGUCAGUGCACUCCUCAUCGCAUUCCUUCACUAUUACAGCGACAACACUUAUCAGAUUUGUUGAACAAGCAAUAUUAUAGUGCUAUAUACAUUUCAUUCGUAGUGGAAGACUCCAUCUGUGCACCAUCUGUUACAUUGCCAGUCAAUUUAAACUUAUCGCAGCGGAGCUAACCGUCCCCCACAAGAAAAGCUUGUAGCUUGUCGCCACUCUGUACCCAGCUAUAGGCUGGGUUUUUCUGUACCUUCCUGGAUUUCAUUAAUUUCCUGAUCUUGUUUGCUUCAUUCCACCUAGCAGCCUCAGCAUACAUGUUUAUCAGCAGUGUGUAGUAACCCGAAUGCUCUGGCUUCAACUCAAACAAAUGUUCUGCUGCAUAUUGUGCUACUUCAAGGUUUCCAUGUAUUCUGCAAGCCCCAAGCAGUGCUCCCCACACAUCGGAAUUGGCAUGAAAAGGCAUGUCUAGGAUUAGUUCAACAGAUUCAGUCAGUUGUCCAGUACGCCCAAGAAGAUCAACCAUACAAGCAUAAUGCAUUUGUUGUGGCUCUAAAUUUUGGGCACGCAUUUGACUGAAGUACUGUUUUCCUUUCUCAACAAGCCCACCAUGGCUGCAUGCCGACAGCACUGCAAUGUAAGAGACAUGAUCAUAGUCAACACCAUCGUCCUUCAUCAGAUCAAACAAAUGGAAAGCAACAUCAAUUUGGCCGUGCAUUCCAUAUCCCAUGAUCAUGGUAUUCCAUGAAGCAACAUCCUUCUCUGUAAUCCUAUUGAAGAUCUUUGUUGCAGUAUCAAGCAUUCCACCUUUAGUAUACAAACCUAGCAGUGAAUUAGCCAGAAAGGGAUGAUUACUUUGCAAUCUCCUUACUAAAACACCAUGAAUUUCUUUCCCUUGUUUAAAUGCACAUAAAUUGGUACAUGCAGUCAGAGCACCCAUGAAAGAAAUAGCAUCAUACUCGAUUCCCACAGACCUUAUCUCCUUAAAUAGAUUAAGAGAUUCAAAACUCCAUGGACUCUGAGAAUAACCCAGAAGCAACGCGUUGUAUGACACAUCAUCCUUCUCUGACAAGUCAAAAAUAUUUUGCGCCAAGCUCAGCUGCCCGCACUUCGCGUACAUAUCGAUCAGAGCAUUCGAUAUGAACAAGUCAAAUACUAAUCCUGUACGGAUCGACCAUGCAUGGAUCUGUUUCCCUAUCUUUAGAGAGGACAUCCUUGAACAAGCUGGAAGUACAUUCACCAGAGUUAUUGAAUUUGGCCGUUCCCCAUCCUUUUGCAUCUUGAUAACAAGACGGAAUGCCUCAGUCUCAGCUCCAUUUUGCACAAGAUUAGCGAUCAUUGCAUUCCAUGACACCACAUUGGGUACCUCAAUCUUUUCAAAGACAGUGCAGGCUUUGUCCAGAGAUCCAAGUUUGGCAUACAUAUCCACAAGUGAAUUGGCAACAAAAAUAUCAGAGUCCAUUGCUCUCUUUAUACUAUACCCAUGUACCUCCCUCCCCAGAUCAAAAUAACCAAGCUCAACCAAAGCAGGUAGCAAACUUGAUAAUGUGAUAGACCCUGGCGUAACUCCACGCUCUGACAUUUCCCUAAACAUGGCCAGCACAUCUCCAUAAAGCCCUGAAUUAAGAAAACAACCUAUGGCAGAAUUCCAAGAAACCUCAUUUCUCUCUGGCAUUACAUCGAACACCUGCAUCGAUGCCUCCACUUGACAAAAUUUCCCGUACAUAUCAACCAAUGCAUUUCCAAGAUUGAGCACGGUGACCAGCCCAGUCUUCAGCGCGAGUCCAUGCACAGCCAACCCAAACCCCUGCUCCUGCUCCACGCCACAGGCAGGCAGAACCGAGACCAAGCUUGCCACGCUCACAGGGACCCCGCUCCCCAUCAUACUGACCAAUGCGCGCCUCGCGUCAUCGAACAUCCUGUUGGCCAAGAACGCAGAGACGAGGGAGUUCCACGAGACGACGUCCCGGGCGGGCAUUUCAUCGAACGCCCUGCGCGCGUCACGGGCGGAGCCACAGGCAGCGUAGAAAGAGACGAGCGUGUUGCCCGCGAAGACGUCGGACAGGUGGCCGGUUCGGAUCGCGGCGGCGUGGAGCUCGAGGCCCUUGGCCGCGUGCGCGGCAGCGGCGGCCGCGGCGGCGUGGAGGGCGAAGGGGAAGGUGCGGUCGUCCGGGCUGACGGCGGAGCGGAGCAUGAGGUUGUAGACCCGCAGGGCCUCGGCGGGGAGGGAGGCCGAGGAGAGCGCGCGGGAGAGGGAGUUCCAGAGGAAGGCGGAGCGGAGGCGGAGCGGGUGGUGGAGGAGGAGGCGGCGGGAGGAGGGCAGGUCGGCGACCGCGGCGUAGGAGAGGAUGAGCGCGCCGGCGAGGGGCAGGGACGCGGCGAGCGCGCCGGAUGUCAGGGCGGCCGCGUGCGCGCGGCGGAGGAGGUUGCCGGCGCCGCCGCAUUGGUGGAGGUGGAGGACGUGCGCGUGCAGGACCGCGGCUGUCGAGCGCUCGGCGGGAGCGCGCGGCUGCAUAGGGGUUGGGGAUUCGCUCCUCUGUUCCCGAGAUUCAAAUAAGAAAUGGACCAUUUUGGUGAUUUAUCUUUUUUUUUUUGCAAGAAAGCUUCAAAUAAUAAAAUUACAACCAGAUUCGUACACUACCUAACGACGACUACAAACAGUAAAGUGAGCCGAAGACGCAUCAGCGUCAUCGUCCCUUCCUCGCCGAAGUCGGGCAAGACGUGUUGUACUAAAUAGUCGGAAAGUCGUCCUCGUAAGGGCAUCUCUACCGGGGCGUUCGUUAUAAUAACUGUCGGUUCGUUGCAAUAAAUAUUGUAUGAACAGAUACCCCAAAUUGGCCCAUCCCAAUUAUUUGUGGGAUCCCGAAUCCGCGAACCCAGUUCCUUCUUAUGUGCGGGAUUUCGUUCAUUUUUGUACACUCCCCUUUUCGUUGACGCGAACCCAUUUCCGUGGGCUUUAUUUCCCACAUCCACUCCCCGCCACCGCAUAUCCUCGCCCCUUGGUGCUGCCCCCGACUGCCCCACGCCGCCUGAAAGAUCCGUUGCCCCGCACCGCCCAAAAGCUCCACAGCCCGACGCCACAUCCAUUCCACCUAGUUUUGGCAGUGCCAUCGAUCCGCCCAGGAGCUAGGUGCGUGGGCUCGUAGCUUGCGGGUGCAGGUGGUUCCGGCGCCUAUGGACGGGGCGCGUCAGGGGAAGAGGACGGCGCGGCACUGAUCCGGGCGGUGAAGAGAAGAAAGGGGCGGCGCGGCUUGGCUUUGCUUUGGGCGGCAGGAAAAAAGAAAGGGGUGGCGCGACGCGGCUUCAAUUUGGACGGCGGGGAGAAGAAAAAGGCGGCGCAACGCGGCUUUGCUUCAGGCGAGGUAUGUCCAACACCUGCACGUUCAUGCUCGAUUUGGCCCGGAGUAGGUUCGGGUGAAAUUCAUGGCGUUUUUGUGUGCAUUUUGUAGAUAGACUCGAGUGUGUCCUCGUCGAUCUUCAUCUGAUGAUACAUACAUAGAAUAUUUGAUCCUUGACGACGAUGACGGCAACCUAGUGUUGUUGCAUCUCAUUUACGAAUUUGAGGCGGGGUCGAAGAAAAAGAGGCGUGGAUCAACGGUCGGUCGGCUAUGCAUUCCCCGCAACCGAGCUCUCGGCGACAAGAUGCCCAUGAAGGACUACUUCGUGGAGGUAUCGACAUAUCUGGCUCACCUCUUCCGUAGGCGAUAUCGAAUGCAUAGGUCACUUAUCGUCUGCAUCGUCGAGGCUUGCGAGCAAAACUAUCGAUUCUUGACUCGGCGUAGGAAUGCACACACUUUGAUUGGCUUUAGUGCAUAUCAAAAAAUGACAGCGGCAUGAGAGUGAUCGCAUAUGGUGUUUCGACGACUACACAGAUGAAUAUCUCGCAUUGGCGAAGAUACCACCAUCAAAUGUGUAUGUGUCUUUGCGAAGACAAUGAUUCGGGUUUUUCGGUCUGGAGUACCUUGUAGCCUUCCGUCAAACAACUAUAUUAAUCCAUUAUUAAAACAUGUUUGAAACUGCUCUGCUCCUUAAAAUUUAGUCCCGCUCCAAAAAAAAGCCAAACGGGAUAGCUCCAUGAUAUGCCGUUCCGUAAAAAAAACUAGAAUAAGGUACAAUUUCAAAGUUUUUAUGAAGCUCUUCAGAGGAUGCUCCAAAAAACUCUAGAAGCUGGAGUUGAAUGAAAAUUAUCCACCAUUAUCACUAGUAAGUGGAUACCCCUUCACCCUCCUUCCUCCUUAACCAAUCAAAUAGAUUCUUCCCAUCAAAUUUUCUAUCCUUGCAGCUGGAGCUAGAUGGAAGCCAAAUAUUCUCUUGUCAUUGCUAUAGCGAAGCUAUAUGAAACUGCUCUAAAGUGAAUUUGAUGAAGUGAAGUUGAUUUUGGUGAAAUAGAGCUGUUUUUCCUUUCGAUAAAUAGCAGCAGUCUUACGCCAUUCAACGCAAACGAGAUUACGUGGUGAUUUUCAUUGGUCGGGAGGAAAGCCCCACUCAUUUUUUUUGGAUUGCGGAAAAAGUGCGUCCGGAUUGUCGAACGGACCGAUAUAAAAUAGCGUUGGAUAAAAAAGUGCGUCUGAAUCUCCCGGUGCAGACAUAUGCGGGUUUUUAGGGUCCAUAUUGAAGAUGCCCUAAGGCCUCAUAGGACCACCGCAAUAGAACAACAACCGUCAUCAAUGAAGAGACACAUAGAUCGAAAGGAACGAACUUAAAGAUAUUCGAACAUAGAAAAACAAAGACCAGAUCCGAACAGAGUCACUAAAGACAACCGCCGACUGAUCAUGUGAGAUCAGUCGGAGACACACCUCCACACGUCCUCCGACGUUUCUAAAUGCACCAUUGAAAUGGAGCUAGGCGGGAAGAACCUUAUUUCAUCUUGAUGGAGUUGUCGUCAUCUCGCCUUCGUGAACAUGACACAAACCCUAAUAAAAAAAUCAAAGAAACAUCCAAAAAUAGAGACUUGUCACCGGUAAGAGUCGGAAUCCACCGUCUCCAUGGUCCUAGAGCCACCGGAGACACGAGACGGACCAAGAACUCUACUCUUUUUGGAGAGCAUGUUUCUUUCCUUUUCUUUCAUUAAUGCAUGAUGAAAAAAAUGUAGUACUCAAGGGGUGAAUUUAUUUAAUAUAUGCAUUCAACCUUUUUAAUACAUCUUGAACAUUUUUUAAUACAUGGUGAACUUUUUAAAAUAAAUGAUACACUUUCUUUAUAUACUAGACAAUGCACCGAGCGUUGCUGUGAAAAAUUUGUUAAAAAAUAUAUGGAUAAAUGUUAGAAAACUAACGGUAAUACAAAAAUCAUUAUAAAUGUUUUGUUUAAUUACCUAGAAAAAAUUCUUGAAUUUGCAUAGAAAAAAGUAACUUAUAACUACAUGCAUGAAUAGCAACUCCGCCCCCGCGCGCGCACCCAUGACGCACCACGUACCCGACGCCUCCGCCAUUCUCGACCUCCCCCGCCGCCCAUAACCGCCCUCCUCCUCGGCUCGCCACCCCACUCCCUCCCUAUUAAUUCGCUCCCGCCAUCGCCGAUCCAUCGGACGUAAACCUGCAGUUUCGCGCACGGAGCUGACCGUCGAUCAGAUCGAUCGGGCCGGAGGAAACAAAGACCAGAUCAGAUCAGGCCGGAGCUGACCGUGUUGUCGUCGUCCGGCCAUGGCGAGCAGCCUCCUCCCCGUCGUGGCGCUCCUCGCGCUGCUCUUCGGCGCGUCGCGCGCCACCGACUUCGAGGUCGGCGCGGACGCCGGGUGGGUCGUGCCGGCGGCCGGCGGCUCCGGCACGUACAACGACUGGGCGUCCAAGAACCGCUUCCUCGUCGGCGACAGCGUCCGUAAGGCUCGCUCUCCACCCGCUCGCUUUUGAUCCACCCACCCGAUUGGUUAACACGUACGUACGUGAUGCGCGUGAUGGAUUGAUGGUAGAUUUCAAGUACAAGGCGGACUCGGUGAUGGAGGUGACGCAGGAGGAGUACGACAAGUGCGGGUCGACGCACCCCAUCUUCUUCUCCAACAACGGCGACACCGAGGUGCGCCUCGACCGCCCGGGCCCCUUCUACUUCAUCAGCGGCGUCACGGGCCACUGCGAGCGCGGCCAGAAGAUGGUCGUCAAGGUCAUCGGCCAGAACGAGCCCCCGCCCGCGCCCCCCAGCGGCGCCGCGCCGCCCAGCAUCGGAUCCGGCGCCGCCGCCAUCACUGCCGUCGCGAUGCUCUUGCCUGUUCUCGUCAUGCGUGGUAUCUGAUGACUGACUAAAUAGCGCGGGCCGGCGGGACAUCCAUAAUGUUUUUGCAGCUUCAUUAGAUAAUGUGAGCGUGCUUAGUAAAUUGUUUUUCGUUGUGGUAUUUAACAUGUGAUUAACUUGUUGAUCGACUCAUUAAUUUCCAAUUCCGUGUUGUCAUCCUAUAAGCUCCCGGUUCUUCAUUUUCGUUAAGUAGAGGAUACCCACAUCAUAUUGCUUAUAUUGCAACCCAACUGAAAUAUAAAAAAAAAGUUAUGAUGGGCUUAAACUCAAGAAUAAAGGAAUGAAGGAUUGGACAAGGUUGUCAAACCUCGUGCACCGAUGUUACAAGCUCUAUCUGUUUCACCCGGCUCUCUGUCUCGAGAACGAGGAUAGAGACUGCAGAAAGAGAGACAAGAGUAAGACUAAAAAGGAAGAUUGCCUACUGAAUAAAUGUUUGUUAAGAAAUGAGGAAUGAGAAGGAAAACAAAGGGGUUGCUUGGUUCUAUAUCCAGCAAUGCCACACUUUGCCACACGAUGUUUGUCACACAUGUCUAAGGUUAGUUCUUUAAAAUGAAAGCCACAAGUUGGCAUGCCCAAAGAAAUCUUGCCAGACUUUUCAAGUGUAUGUGAUGUGGGACCCUAAUAUGACUUGCCUAAGGCGUGACUUAAAUCAAACACCCACCUAAGUUAUUCUCAAAUCAAACAGUCCCUAAUUGAAUAUUGUAAGAGCUUUUUAUGGUGUAGGAGUAACUAGGAGAAAGUAAUAUGAUUCAAACGGGCUCGAUAAAGGAACGAAGGAAGAUGAGUUCUUUGCAUGCUUGUUAAGGCACAAACCUUCAAUAGGCAUGCAGGUAUGGCAUGCCAUCUAAAAAAUACAAAGGCUAAAGAAAAAUAGGGAUGAAUAAACUGAAAAGCGGAUGCAUCGAACAUUGAAAAUGUGAUAACUAAAGGUCUAAAACUUAUACUCAAGAAAACUCUCAAGACUAAGGAAAUCAUGUGAUUAUUUAAAAAAUAAUUGACAUGGAAAAUUCAAUUCUAAAUGAUAAUUGAGAUUGUUCAAUGAUGAUGACAAAAGACUAAUUAAUUAUAAAUACCUAAUUCUUUACCCCAUCCACUCCAUCUACAUUUAUUAUGAUUGACACAUGGUUUCGUAGCAAUGGACUAUUUAAUCACAUAUAUUGCCAUGCGUACAAUCAGCACCGUUGUAACCUGUAAAUCGUUAGAGUUGCCUAUUUAGGACAGUAAAACUGAGCCUAAAACGAGCUCUCUCAACGAUUUGCAUUUCUGGCCGUUCAUUUUUAGGAUCUGAACGUUUUUGGCCAUCAGAUCUCCUAUCCUAAGGGGCUGCUGCUUCGAAAGAAAAAACUGAGCUAUGUGGUUAAUUGGGCCCCGUAUCGUACAAACCCCUCGCUCGGCCCUGUCCUUCUCGAUCCAGCCCAUCUCGCUCUCUCACAUCAGAUAUCUUCUCCUGAGACCUCCCGUCCAAGCCACCUGAGCGAAACAGCCGCCCCAUGACCCCGGCAGCGCCGCCGCUAGGAACCUCAAGCAGGGCCUUCCCCUUCUCUCAAUCUUUCCACACCUAGCUAGGCAGGGGCUCAAUCCUUUCUUUCUAUAUGCUCCCUUUCAUCUCCGCCUCCCUGUCCCUCUGCUCUGUGCCUUUCGAUGGUGAGAGGAAUAUGAGAGGAUGAGGACGGGAGGAUGGGAAGAAGAGUCGAUCUGGAACAAGGACGCCAUGGUCCAUUCGAUCUGGAACCGGAGGACAAGAGAACGAGGUCUUCUACAGGUUCGAUCUUUUCCUAAAUCGACGUGGUCGAUGCCGAGUACAUUAAAAUAUUGUUGGUUGGGCAGCGAUGCCGUAAGAAAUUUGUUUGACACCGGUUUGACAAUGUUUGUGUUCCUAGCAUGAAAAGAGUGGAUGUCAGAUUUAGACCCACCCACUGAACUACUCCACGGCAUAAUGAUCUAGCCAUGGUUUCUGAGCCAAACUUAAUUUAAUCAUGACCAAAUGCAUAUGGCAUAGUAUGUAAGGAUUGCAUUCUCCAGCCGCCACACAUCAUCAGGAAGUACUGCAUCUGGGCGGCAAAGCAGAGAGCAAAAUUCAGAGCUGUCCCCUAGAGUUGGGCAGCUGAGUGGACCUUCUUACCAGGAAAGGUCCAGGACAUAGAGCCCGUUGACCAACUAAGGUCGCAGGAGACGACACAGGUGAGCAAGAAAAUUGGUUCCCAACUCCUUCCUCCAGAAAUAUCUUACUACUCUACUUAUCAAACAAACUCGAUCGAAUGCAACAGACGCCUCUUGGUUUGGAAAUUGGAACUACUAACCCCAUCGAUCAUGUAGAAAAUAAUGAAGCUAGCGGCAACUGUUACUUGUACUACUUGCUAAUUAUGUAAACCCAUGCCAAAGUUUAGAACAGAAUCAAUCUACCCUGCAGGCAGGCAAGCAAGCGUGCAUCCGCCAUUAUCUUUGGAGCUGCUAGAGGGAUCCCAUCAGAUGGGCUGGUUCGCAGCGUUUGGCCGAGGUACGAGCACGUUUAUGAAUGGAACGCAUUCAUGCUUUCUUUCUCCAUUGAUUACUUAGCAUGAUUGAAGAGGAAAGGUUUGGGUGUGUGUGGUGUGGCACUGUCAUAUACUGGCGAUCAUGAUGCGCACUGCACACAGCAGGUGCUGGUCAGUAUACCAGUUCAUUCAUCUUGCUAUUUUAUUUAGGUACAUACUUUGGAUCUUUUAGUUUUUUUUAGAACAAAUAUGAUUAUGAUCUACCGCUGAAUAAUGAAGCUAAGAUUCAAUCUUUGAUUUAUCUAUUUUAACAGUCGAUACUUCAUUCUUAGUUAUCAUAAAGUUGUUGGCAUUUAUUGCAUGCCUCAUUUACCAUGGUCUAUCAAGUUCUUUUUUUGGCUUCAGAUAGAUGUUAUUCUGACAACCAACAAACUUUGUUUGUUUUAAGGCCUUCGAGCAAGUAAUUUAUAUUAAUUUAAUAGAGCUAUUUUUAUAAAUGAUUGUUUUCUCAUGUUCGUUCUCACUGGAAAGAAAACAAGAUCUUUAUACAUGUUUGCAUUUUCCCAUGGCAGGAUGCUUCUGAGGGCGUUAAUGCGUACAAAGGAAUGAAGUAUUUCUGGAAGGAGCUUUUCUCAUGAAGAGAUUUGUUGAAGUCAUAGGCACACUCUGUCAAUGUAUGUAAGGAGCAUGGUCAGGCCCACUGUUGUGCAUUGAUUGUUUGGGACCCUGCUUGCAGUGCCAUGCUUGGUGAUGCAGACAAGAUCAACCAAGAAAUCUUAAAAAUGCACAUCCACUGUUCAAUUUAUGCAUAUAGAGGCUCUUCGUAAAAUAGAAGAUGAUACUCUUCAUAUGUUGCCUUCAUGCUUUCCUGAAAAAGCGUAAGCAUAUAUAGCUCACAUCACCAUGUAUAGGCCUGGUUUAUUAUCCUGAUCUCUGCGUCCUACCUAUGUGCAUCUCUUUUUUAGCUAAUCCUUGUUUUGCAAGCCUCAGUGUGGUUCAAUUCAAUAAAAAGAAUGUGCCCUAUCGCAUUUUUUCAGUGCGACGGAACAUUAUCCGAGAGGGUCAGCGUUGGACCAACAUGUGUCUAUACGACUCUGCAGAUUAUGUUACCCUUCGAUAUGAUCCUCCAUGGAGCGAAAUUUAUCUUCAUGGAUCACAAAAAACAGGUUUGAUCUGUACCAAUGGGUUGCUGCUAUGAGUAGUCUCUUUAGAGCUAAGUGGACUUCGAGACAUUUUGCGAAAUGCUGCCUUCUAAAGGAGGUGCUCGGAGAUUGAUUCCUCAUUUUAGAAAAAUAUCAUCUUACUAUGAUCAUGAUUUUAGUCGUUCUGCUUUAGCAGAGAUUGCAGGUUAUCCGUUUUUGCAAGAAAUGUUAUUUCGUUGCUCAUGUAUUCAUGUGGUUGGGCUCUCUCAAGCAACAGGAAACACACACUUCAGCACGGAAUCGCACAGCUUUCAGCAGUGAUGUCCAACAAGCUAUUAUUGAACCGAGCAAAAUAGGAUAGGGAUGUCAAGUUGCUGAUUUUCUAUCAGGUGAAACAAUUCUUCAUGCAAAUGUAUAUCCAGCUCUAUAUUAUUUUUGUUACAAAAUAUUGAAUGCUCUUUUAAUUCGGUGUUCUCCUUGUGGACGUUCUUUCCAGUAGAUCAUCUCAGCUUUGAAUAAAUAUCUAUUAUGUUCUCCAAGGAAUAAGAGCCAUGUCGCUCGACUUCUCAUGUCUUAUUCCUUUAUUGUUAUUAUCGUAGAGUAUGUAUGUAUGAAGUACGAACCCAGUUUGUUGUUUGGUUUCUCUAAAUAAGAUAAUAUGGUAGCCAUACAUUUUAAAUUACAGACAUGUUAGGCUUAUGGGUUACAAUAUAUAGGUAAAGUGUGUAUCUUUUGUGACAAAUAUUUAUGUCAAUUUUUCUAUUUUUUGUCCAGACUACUCGUCACACUAAAAAAGUGUUGGAAGAGUAAUGCUUCGUAUGGCCGGCAAUCAUGCCCGCCUGAAUUGGGUGCCAUGUUUCCUUGCAAUAAAGUACUUCUUGAUACACUUGAAAAGUGGCGUAUAAAAUUGAAGAAGAGUUUGCUAAAUGAUUUAGAAAGGAAUUUGUGUGUUUAGAGUUCAACAUUGAUAGACAACGAUGGAAUGACCAUGAUCACUCUACUUUGCCGCUUCAUCUUGCAGUACAAUAAUGAUAUGCCAAAUUAUUAGCAUUAUGAUUUGGAAUAAAGAAUUUUAGGCACCAUUUAUUUCUUCUUAUGUUAGUAUUUGCAAUAAAGAAUUCCCUGAUUCUUAAGGUAUUUGGAUGAGUAGUUGUUCAAAUUGUAUGGUCCUUUCAUUUCUCGAAUUAUCUUUUCCUUACAUUAUACUUUAGAAUAAAUAGCUCUUACAUUUUAUGUUUUUUUUUUGCCAAAUGGAUCCUCCUACUAUAUAUGUUUGUCUUAUUUGAAACAUCUACAUCGGUUAUCUGGUUGUGUACAAAUUUGUAAUGAUAGUUCUCUUUAUGGUGCAUAUUUAAUUUAGUCCAUUUUAGUCCUCACAUAUGUUCAUGUUCUUGUUCAUUAGAUUUGAUGGAGACUAAUGCCGUUGCGACCGUAAGUGUCGAUGAUUUAUAUACAUGCACUGAACCAACUAAAGCUAACAUUGAUUGUGUAGUUUCAUCCUAGAUAAAAAUAAAGUGCGCUCAUCUUUGUAUAUUUUUUAUAUAGUUAUAAGUUUGUAAUGUAUGUCCAUAAACAAGUGGGGCCAAAUGGCUCACCAAACAUUAUUUGUUGUGUCUUGGACUGUUAUUUAUACAGAAUGUUCGUUUGUGUUGAUCUAAACAGAAAGGUCACGGUUGUAUUUUGGUUCCGUAUAUGUAGUAUUUCCACAUCUUUUUUCCUUUACAAAUAUACAUGACGCAAGUAUUCGGAGUACACCAAAGGUUGAGGAGCUCACCCAUCCAGUGAAAGCAUUGCAGCUUUCCACAUUAAUCCAUAUACUCCAUCCUUUAAUUGUAUUGUUGAUGUCACUUAUACAUGUAACUAAGAGAAAAUAGGCCUUUGCAAGGAUGUCACACCACUAUUAUUUCAAUGUGUUUUGCUGAGAAGCUUUGGCAAGAUUACUAUAGUGAUCAGUUUCAUGAAAUGCCAUUUGUUUCCACUUUCCUUGCACGGCACUUCUUGGCACUUCAUGGUCAUGAAAUGCCUAUGUUGUAAAUUUAUUAUCCAAUAUAUGAGAUGCUAGAAAAAACUUGGUAGACAUGGAACUAAGAGGAUGGUCAACAUGACCCGGAAAAUAUACAACAUGAUAUAUAUAUAAAAUAAUAAAUAUUGGUGUAGGUUCAUAAGUUCUUUCAUGAAAAUAGGAAUCCAAUUCUUCCAUGUCUAUCUAUUUUUGAAAUUACUAUUACUCUAUUGAAAAAUUAAACGGGCGUAGCAACGCGCGCCAAUCAUGAUCUAGUAACCUAUAAGACUAACACCUAAUCUACAUUGUUGAUUUAUGUCUUCCUAUCGCCAUCUCUUUCCUUUGGCAAGAUCUCCGCAAUGUCAUGGUGUGCCUUGCUCGUGCGAUCUAUUUCUUACUUGUUAGUUUUUGAUAUAAAUAAUCAUUUUCUUUACUAUGUUGUGAACCAUAUGGUUAGCACAGCGAAACAUGAUGCUUGGAAUACACACUAAUCCUACACCUACGAAGCUGGUACGAAAAGUUACGUAACCUGCUGAGGGAGUCCUGGAUUAAGGGGACCUCGGGACGCCGACCCAUGGACCGAAUCAUUAGAGUCCUGAUAGUUGAUAACUCCGUACGCAGGAAGGGCGACUCCGAGGAUUGGCGUGUACUUCAAGUUUAGAAGGACUAGGUCGGCUCAUCUAUCCCCGACUAAUAGUCGGUAACUUGUAAACCCUAUGGUCCCUCGUGUCUAUAUAAACCAGAGGCCCCUAUCCGUGUAGGGAGAGGCUGAAUCAUCUAGGGUUUAGCAUAAAUGAUUUCGAGGUAGAUUUACUCUGUAAUCAUCUUCAUCAACACAAUCAAGCAGGACGUAUGAUAUUACCUCCAUAGGAGGGCCACAACCUGGGUAAACCGAUGUCUCCCCCUUCUUCCUACAAUCCAUCGAUCCAAGGUCCACAGUCCGGGACCCCAUACCCGAGAUCUGCCGGUUUUUACACCGACAUUGGCGAUUUCAUUGAGAGUUCCACUGUGGGAUCGCCGCGAGGAGGUCCAUAACAGGGACUUGUUCGUCCCCGGACAAAUCUUCGCGCUCGGAAGCAUCGUUCUGCACGCUGAUUCGGUCGGCCACCUCGAUCAGAUAUGAAAAAUUUGCCCCCGGUCAUGAAGUUAGGUUUGGGAGCCUAGAGUUCGUCGCCGACCCUCGGGGAGAUCGUGUGUUAAUCGAGCUUUCCACCCCAUUAAAGGAGAGCACGGACCUCGACGCUUUGUCCUCCGAGUCCGUGAACCCAAUCAUUGAGAAAAACUUCAUCCCUGAUCCGGCCUUAAAGCCCGACAGGCUCGGGGCGUCCGAACUCGCGUCAGUCGAGCUCUCCCAAAGUGUGAUCUCAGGUACCGUCGAGGGAUCAGGAACACCAGCUGCCCCCGAGCACCUAUGCGGCAUAAGCACUGCCGAAACCCCAACAUUGCACAUAUUACUCGACCAGAUCCAGGCUUUGAGCAUGACUAAUGGUCAGGGCACGAUCUAUGGUCGGAUCGGGAUCAAACCUGACGACAGGGACAUCCACAUCCCGCCCAUCACGCAUCAAGUUAGUAUCGUCGAACGCCCAGUCAAGGGCUCCUCGUACCAAUCAUCGAAACUAAGAGCGGUACACAUCCUAGUCGUCGACCUCUCGGACAAACUCAACAACUUGGAGCUUCUAUCCAGCCCCGGGAACAAUUCAAGCCAAGUGGCUGGUUCGGUACGCAGUCCCGUCAAGGACCCGACGACCGAAUUGGCGAGAGCACACCCAAUGGGAAUCCAAAAAUUAAACCCACCUGUCACCCAACCUAAACAUCCCUUGAGAAUGGGGUUCGGUUCAAACCCGUCCUCGACCACUCAACGGCUGGGUGAGUCAGUGCACCACUUUUGGGCGAGAUUCCUGCUUCUUCAAGCGUUCGAGGCCUUCGCUAUGGCAUUCUUUUCGAGCGCAGUUGAGCCCACCUUCCACAUGGCAGAAAAAUCGCCUCGGUGUCCACGACGACGACGAGGGAAUUCCCUAUUUACCGUUCUUUGCGUCAAAUUGCCACGGCUUUGCACAAGCGGUUCCCUAGCGCAAAAUUGGGCCAACCCACUCCCUCAUAGAGAGGCAACCGGUUUUGGGAACCUUCCACAAGGUUCCCAAAUCCGUUUUUGGUUUUUUUACCGUUUUGGGGGUUUUAUUUUGUGUUUGUUUUUUCUUUUUAUUUUCUUUGUUUUUUAUUUCAUUUAUAUAUUCGGUUUCUUUUUCCAUUUCUUUGUUUUAUGUUUUGUUUCUUUUUCAAGUUCAAAUUUUCUUGAUUUUCGGAUCUUUUUCAUUUUUAUGAUUUUUCUUUGUUUUAAUUUUUUGUUUACAAAUUUAAAAAAUGUUAGUCAUUUUCAAAAAUUGUUUUCCUAUUUAAAAAAUGUUUGCCUUUCCCAACUUUUUUUCCGGUCUCAAAACUUUCUCAGAUUUUCGAAGCAUGUUCAUAUUUUUUCAAUUUUAUUCAUAAUUUAAUAAAAAUGUUCGUGAUUUACAUAAAAAGUUUCCAUGUUUGGAAAAUGAUUCAUUUUUGUAUUUUUUGUCUCGGUUUCUAGAAAUAUUCAGAAGUUGAAAAUUGUUUCCCAUUUUCAAGUUUUGUUCAUAACUUCAAAUAAUGUUCCUAAUUUUUUAAAUAAUGUUUGCAUUUUCAAAAUGUUGUACAUAUUUUAAAAAAAGUCUUUGUUUGUUUCUAAAAAAUACUUUUUAGAAAUUUAAAAAUGUUUGUGACUUUCAAAAAUUGUUUGCCCAUUUGAAAAUAUGUUUGCCUUUUCGAAAAUUUAUUCUGGGUUUAAAAAAUUGCUCAGUUGAUAAAAAAUAUGUUCAUGUUUUAUCAAUUUUGUACCUAAUUUCAUAAAAUGCUCGUGAUUUUCCUAAAAGUUGGCAAGUCUGGAAAAAUAUUUCAUUUCCAUAAUUUGUUCCGGGUUUCUAAAAAUGUUGAGAAGUUAUUUUUUUUCCGCCAUUUUUCAAUUUUUUCUUCACCGCCUAAAAGUAGCAAAAGUCAAAACGUCGGAUCUAGCAAAAAUUCAACGAACUCGAGUUACAACCAAGCAUGGAUGUAGCUUUUUUAAAUGAAUAAAAUGUAGCAAAAUGACAAACGUUUGCAUUAAAUUUAUACAUGGUUGCAGUAAAUCUGAGCGAAAAAAUGUUGCAAGGCUGUUUGUCAGCGCGCGCGGGCUGCGAGCGACCGGCCGAACGAUUUGGCCGGUGCUCCGGCUGCAAGCAUUUACCUUUCUGUUUUGUGUUCGCAUUUUUUUUUUAAAAAGUCCGACGUUUUGUUUGAGACGUACUACAUGCUUGCUUACAUGCGUACGAAGAUAGAAAACACGAUACAGGUUAAUGGGCCGGGCCGGGUUCUCUCGCCCCUGUGCGGAUCGCUUCUGUUAGACGCAGCGAGCGUCACAUAGGAGGUCCCGGCGGCGAGCGCCCAAAAAUCCCGCGGUCGCGCGCCCAUUUCCUCCCCCUCCCAGCAACAGCGCGGCCUACCGAAACCCCAAUCGAAGCUCGUUCCCCACCCCCACCCCCAUGGCGCCGUCGCCCCCCNNNNNNNNNNNNNNNNNNNNNNNNNNNNNNNNNNNNNNNNNNNNNNNNNNNNNNNNNNNNNNNNNNNNNNNNNNNNNNNNNNNNNNNNNNNNNNNNNNNNGACCUUUCCCAGUGACAGAAGGGGCAGCAAGGCACGCAUCGUGUUGUUGCCAUCAAGGGUAACAAGAUGGGCUUUCAUCAUACAUUUGAGAUUGUCCAUCUACAUCAUAUCAUCUUGCUUAAGGCGUUACUCUGUUCUUAUGAACUCAAUACACUAGAUGCANNNNNNNNNNNNNNNNNNNNNNNNNNNNNNNNNNNNNNNNNNNNNNNNNNNNNNNNNNNNNNNNNNNNNNNNNNNNNNNNNNNNNNNNNNNNNNNNNNNNNNNNNNNNNNNNNNNNNNNNNNNNNNNNNNNNNNNNNNNNNNNNNNNNNNNNNNNAUUGGACGUGAUGCCUAUAGAUAUGAUCAUUGCCAUAGAUAACGUCAUGACUUUGCACGGUUCUAUCAAUUGCUCGACAGUAAUUCGUUCACCCACCGUCUACUUNNNNNNNNNNUGCUAGAUAGCGGUCGACGUGUGGAGUAAUAGUAGUAGAUGCAGAAAGUAUCGGUCUACUUGUUUUGGACGUGAUGCCUGUAGAUAUGAUCAUUGCCAUAGAUAACGUCAUGACUUUGCGCGGUUCUAUCAAUUGCUCGACAGUAAUUCGUUCACCCACCGUCUACUUGCUUUCAUGAGAGAAGCCACUAGUGAACACUACGCCCCCCGGGUCUAUUCACAACUAUCUGUUGGGGAACGUCGCAUGGAAACAAAAAAAUUCCUACGCGCACGAAGUCCUAUCAUGGUGAUGUCCAUCUACGAGAGGGGAUUUCUGAUCUACGUACCCUUGUAGAUCGCACAGCAGAAGCGUUAAGAAACAUGGUUGAUGUAGUGGAACGUACUCACGUCCCUCGAUCCGCCCCGCGAACNNNNNNNNNNNNNNNNNNNNNNNNNNNNNNNNNNNNNNNNNNNNNNNNNNNNNNNNNNNNNNNNNNNNNNNNNNNNNNNNNNNNNNNNNNNNNNNNNNNNGACACAGAUCCGGACGACUCAAAGUCGAAACCGGAUACGUAUUUAUUCUUAAUGGGGGUGCAGUAAGCUGGUGCAGUUCCAAGCAAAGCGUCGUAGCAGAUUCUACAUGUGAAGCGGAGUACAUGGCUGCCUCGGAGGCGGCUAAGGAGGGUGUCUGGAUGAAGCAGUUCAUGACGGAUCUUGGAGUGGUGCCAAGCGCACUGAAUCCAAUAACCUUGUUCUGUGACAACACGGGUGCCAUUGCCUUGGCGAAGGAACCACGGUUUCACAAGAAGUCCAGACACAUCAAACGACGCUUCAACCUCAUCCGAGACUACGUCGAAGGGGAGGACGUAAAUAUAUGCAAAGUGCACACGGAUCUGAAUAUAGCAAACCCGCUGACUAAACCUCUUCCACGGGCAAAGCAUGAUCAACACCAAAACUAUAUGGGUGUUAGAUUUAUUACAAUGUAAUUCGCAUGAUGAUGUGAGGGCUAGAUUAUUGACUCUAGUGCAAGUGGGAGACUGUUGGAAUUAUGCCCUAGAGGCAAUAAUAAAUAUAGUUAUUAUUAUANNNNNNNNNNNNNNNNNNNNNNNNNNNNNNNNNNNNNNNNNNNNNNNNNNNNNNNNNNNNNNNNNNNNNNNNNNNNNNNNNNNNNNNNNNNNNNNNNNNNCACUUGGCACAAACGCAAAAUAAACACAAAAAACACAAUCAUAACAGAAUUAUGAAAGUGUGGAAAACACAAAACAGAAAGAAAAAUUAUAGAUUCGUUGGGUUGCCUCCCAACAAGCGCUAUUGUUUAACGCCCUUAGCUAGGCAUAAGGUGAUGGAAUCACGUAUAGCCAUCUUUGGUGCUCAAACCAUAAGUAGCCCUCAUCAUAGAUUCAUAAGNNNNNNNNNNAGAUAGAUUCAUUGGGUUGCCUCCCAACAAGCUCUAUUGUUUAACGCCCUUAGCUAGGCAUAAGGUCAUGGAAUCACGUAUAGUCAUCUUUGGUGCUCAAACCAUAAGUAGCCCUCAUCAUAGAUUCAUAAGGCAAUCUUAUUUUCUUUCUAGGAAAAUGCUCCAUGCCCUUCUUUAUAGGAAAUUGAAAUCUAAUAUUCCCUUCCUUCAUCUCGAUGAUAGCACCAAUAGUCCUUAGGAAAGGUCUACCAAGAAUAAUGGGACAUGAAGGAUUGCAAUCUAUGUCAAGUACAAUGAAAUCCACGGGUACAUAGUUCUUAUUUGCAACAAUAAGAACAUCAUCUAUCCUUCCCAUGGGUUUCUUGACAGUAGAAUCCGCAAGAUGCAAAUUAAGAGAACACUCUUCAAUCUCAUGAAAACCAAGAAUAUCACAUAAAGACUUUGGAAUCGCGGAAACACUAGCACCCAAAUCACACAAAGCAUUGCAUUCAUAGUUUUUGAUCUUGAUUUUGAUAGUAGGUUCCCACUCAUCAUGAAGUUUUCUAGGUAUAGAGACUUCUAAUUCGAGUUUCUCUUCAAGAGAUUUCAUCAUAGCAUCUACGAUAUGAGCGGUAAAGACUUUGCUUUGGCUAUAAGCAUGUGGAGAAUUGCAAUGGAUUGCAUCAAGGAAAUGCAUUCAAACAAGGAGAAACUAUCAUAAUUGAAUUCCUUGAAAUCCAAAGUGGGAGUUUCAUUACUACCCAAUAUUUUGAUUUCUUUUACUCCACUCUCCACACCUUUAUCAUCAAGAUAGGUGGACUCCAAAUCAUUGGGGCGUUUUUCAACCAAAGUGGAUUCAUAUCCAGCCCCUUCAUCAAUAGGUUUGACACGCGAAAACAAAGAUUCAAGAGGAGUCACACCAAGCACUUUAAGAUCUUCGUGAUUUGCAUCACUAGAACGCACCCUUUUAAACCAUUCAUGCCUAGCAUGAAUUUGGGCGGUUCUUUCUUUGCUCUCAUUCAUGGAGACACGCAUAGCUUUUAAAGUUUCAUCCAAGUUGACCUUGGGAUGAGCACAUCUAACUUUCAAAGCAUCAAUAUCACAAGACAUCCUAUCAACGCUCUUUGCCAAAUCGUCUAUUUUGAGUAGUUUUUCCUCUAUGGACGCAUUGAAAAUCUUUUGAGAGUUGAUGAACUCUUUGAUAUUACUCUUUAAAUCAGAGGGUAAUUUGUUAUGAUUUUCGUAAGUGUUGUUGUAGGAAUUGCCAUAAUUGUUAGAGGAGUUACUAGGAAAAGGCCUAGGAACAUAGUUUCCUCUAAAAGCAUUGAUGUUGCCAAAAUUGUUCCUACCAACAAAAUUAACGUCCAAACUAGCGUUGCUACUCUCAAUCAAAGAAGAUAGUGGCAUGUCAUUAGGAUCUAAAGGAGCAUUUCUACUAGCAACCAAAUUCAUCAACUCGUCCAUCUUAGCACUAAGCGAGUUAAUUUCUUCUAUGGCGUGUACCUUUUUGCUAGCAGGUGACCUUUCAGUGUGCCACUGAGAGUAGUUGGUCAUGAUAUUGUCUAGGAGUUUUGUAGCGUCUCCUAACGUGAUUUCCAUGAAUGUUCCACCUGAGGCAGAGUUCAAGAUAUUGCGAGAAAAAAUAAUUCAAACCAGCGUAAAAGAUUUGUAUAAUCAUCCGCAAACUCAAGCCAUGAGCGGGACAAUUUCUAAUCAUUAGCUUCAUCCUCUCCCAAGAUUGUGCAACGUGUUCAUGAUCAAGUUGCUUGAAAUUCAUGAUAUCGUUACGGAGAGAGAUAAUCUUAGCCGACGAAAAAUACUUGGAUAUGUAAGGAUCUUUGCACUUAUCCCAAGAAUCGAUACUAUUUUUAGGCAAAGAAGAAAACCAAGUUUUUGCGCGAUCUCGCAACGAGAAAGGAAAAAGCUUCAAUUUAAUCACGUCAUUAUCCACAUCUUUUUUUUGCAUAUCGCAAAGCUCAAUGAAGGUAUUGAGAUGGGAUGCGGCACCUUCACUAGGAAGGCAAGAGAAUUGCUCUUUCAUAACAAGAUUCAGCAAGGCAGCAUUGAUUUCAUAAGAUUCCGCACUAGUGGCGGGAGCAAUUGGAAUACUGAUAAAAUCAUUAUUAUUAGUACUCGAGAAGUCGCAAAGUUUGGUGUUUUCAGCCAUGAUGACUUCAACAAACAAACAAGAACACAAGCAAGCAAGAAAACCGGCAAAGGAAAACGGCAAAAGGGAAAAGAAAACGGCAAAGGAGAAAGGCAAAAAGGAAAAUGAAAACGGCAAAUGUGAAGUGCGGGAGAGGAAAACGAGAGCCAACUGGCAAAAAAAGUAAAUGCAAGAGAUGAGUUUGUGACACCUACUUGGAUAGAUCUUGACUUGAUNNNNNNNNNNNNNNNNNNNNNNNNNNNNNNNNNNNNNNNNNNNNNNNNNNNNNNNNNNNNNNNNNNNNNNNNNNNNNNNNNNNNNNNNNNNNNNNNNNNNNNNNNNNNNUCCCUCGGCCUUGGAGCCUUGCGUUGGUGUUUCCUUGAAGAGGAAAGGGUGAUGUAGCACAGCGGCGGUAAGUAUUUCCCUCAGUUUGAGAACCAAGGUAUCAAUCCAGUAGGAGGAUCGAGGCAAGUCACAAGUAUCUACACAAACACAAAGAGCUUGCACCCAACGCUAUGAAGGGGUUGUCAAUCNNNNNNNNNNGCCGUCGACCGCGCCGUCCCGCCCCACCCCGUCCCGCGCCGCCCCGAUCCGUCCCCAGCCGCCGGUCCUGUGGCCCCAGCCGGCCACCUCAUCCUGCCGCCACCAUGUAUGUGUGCGUGUGUGUCUGUUUUCGUGUGUUCGUUUGAAAAUGUUCGUGUCUGAAAGUGUGCGUGUUACCCAGCUGCAAUGGACGGAGAGGGCUUCGAGGUGUGGGAUUCACAGCCGUCGGCAAGCGACCCAGUGCUACUGCGACAACAGACCUUCCCUGGCAAUGGCGCCAGGAAUCCUUCUGCUACGGGCUACGCCUAUAGGGACUUCCUUGGCAAAUAUGCAAAGGAUUCCCCCUCGGCCUUGGAGCCUUGCGUUGGUGUUCCCUUGAAGAGGAAAGGGUGAUGUAGCACAGCGGCGGUAAGUAUUUUCCUCAGUUUGAGAACCAAGGUAUCAAUCUAGUAGGAGGACCGAUCCAAGUCACAAGUACCUGCACAAACACAAAGAGCUUGCACCCAACGCUAUGAAGGGGUUGUCAAUCNNNNNNNNNNCUGAAUAGACCCAGGGGCCGUAGUGUUCACUAGUGGCUUCUCUCAUGAAAGCAAGUAGACGGUGGGNNNNNNNNNNACUGAAAGCAAAAAGUAAACAAAGCAAAGUAAAAGUGAAAGUGGAGACAAUAGUUGUGAAUAGACCCGGGGGCCGUAAUGUUCACUAGUGGCUUCUCUCAUGAAAGCAAGUAGACAGUGGGUGAACGAAUUACUGUCGAGUAAUUGAUAGAACCGCGCAAAGUCAUGACGUUAUCUAUGGCAAUGAUCANNNNNNNNNNGUAGGCAUCAUGCCCAAAACAAGUAGACCGAUACUUUCUGCAUCUACUACUAUUACUCCACACGUCGACCGCUAUCCAGCAUGCAUCUAGUGUAUUAAGUUCAUAAGAACAGAGUAACGCCUUAGCAAGAUGACAUGAUGUAGAUGGACAAUCUCAAAUCUAUGAUGAAAGNNNNNNNNNNACAUUCAUCUAGUGUAUUAAGUUCAUAAGAACAAAGUAACACCUUAAGCAAGAUGACAUGAUGUAGAUGGACAAUCUCAAAUCUAUGAUGAAAGCCCAUCUUGUUACCCUUGAUGGCAAGAACACGAUGCGUGCCUUGCUGCCCCUUCUGUCACUGGGAAAGGUCACCGCACGGUAUGAACCCAAAACCAAGCACUUCUCCCAUUGCAAGAAUCAUAGAUCUAGUUGGCCAAACAAAACCCAAGACUCGGAGAGACUUAUAAGGAUAUAAAAUCAUGCAUAUAAUAAAUCAUCAAAGACUCAAAUAUAAUUCAUAGAUAAUCUGAUCACAAAUCCACAAUNNNNNNNNNNNNNNNNNNNNNNNNNNNNNNNNNNNNNNNNNNNCAAAGACUCAAAUAUAAUUCAUAGAUAAUCUGAUCACAAAUCCACAUCUGAUCUCGACAAACACACCGCCAAAGAGGAUUACAUCGGAUAGAUCUCCAUGAAGAUCAUGGAGAACUUUGUAUUGAAGAUCCAAGAGAGAGAAGACGCCAUCAAGAUACUAACUACGGACCCGUAGGUCUGAAGUGGACUACUCACGAGUCAUUGGAGAGGCGAUGAUGUUGAUGUAGAAGCCCUCCAACUCCAAAGUCCCCUCCGGCAGGGCAUUGGGAAGGGUCUCCAGAUGAGAUCUCGCGGAAACGGAAGCUUGCGGCGGUGGAAAAGUGUUUUCGUGGAUGCCCUCAUUUUUUCUGGGAUUUUAGGGAAUUUAUAGGCCAAAGAGCUAGGGAAGGGGAGCGCCAGGGAGGCCACAAGCCUGGUUGCCGCGUGCCCCCUGGCCGCGGCAACAGGGCUUGUGGGCUCCCUGUGGGCCUCCUGCCUUGGCCCUCAAGUCCCCCGAUCUUCUUCCGUUCUGGAAAAACUCUUUUCGGGGAUUUUAUUCCGUUUGGACUCCGUUCCAAAAUCAGAUCUGAGAAGAGUCAAAACACAGAAAAACAGGAACUCGCACUUGGCAUUGAAUUAAUAAGUUAGUCCCAAAAAAGAUAUAAUAGGUAUGUAAAACAUCCAAAGUUGACAAGAUAACAGGAUGAAACCAUCAAAAAUUAUAGAUACGUUUGAGACGUAUCACCCAGCUACCCAUGCCGGUCUCGACCUCAACUCUCAAGUUUCGGCGUCGGAGGGGUUGCCACGACUUGGGCUGUACGGAGCUUUCCUCCAGAGCGACGACGAUCUCCUCCUUGGAUGAGGCAGGGCCUCCGGGCUCCCUCCAUAUCGGCCACCGCGUGCCGGACCAGGUGACAGAUGGACGAACCCAUCAGCACCCUUGGCACUUUGUAUGCUUGUUUUGUAUGUUUAUGUGGUCAAUGAGGAGGCCACGACUGGCCACACCAAAUCCGGCAGGAAAUAGGGUCCAAAGUAGCCAAAUGAUUGAGAAAAGCAUUUAUUGUCAAUCUUACCCUCUCAUCCAAACACCUUUUUGGUUAGAGUUAGUUUAGGGUUAGUUGAGGGGUUAGAAUCUAACUCUAACUCUAACCGAGUUGGAGUAUCCAAAGAGGGCCUAUGAUAUGAUACUACCUUUAUAGUGCAUAAUAUCAUAAACUAGUAUCAUAGAUGAUCUCAUUUAUUUACAUGCAAGAUACAUAAUAUCAUAUCAUUUAACAUGGGGAGUAUGUUACUUUAACCCUCUCUCUUCUUUAAUUAUGUGCCACAUCAUCAUGUUUGAUAGUCCCAAGAUUAUGAUACUACCUAUGUUACCCUCACUAUGGCUAGCCUAAGACCAUCUCUAGCUCUUCCCAUAAAAGUUAUUUCUGCUUUAGGGAGUUGGACCAUAAAGAUCCCUUCCCUAAAAAAUUAAAAUACUUGAGGAUUUACACCUCGAAACGUAUCCCCUCUCCUCAAAUUUUAGUUAUUAGAGGCAUUUUUUCACAAAUCAUCACUCUUCCUCUCUCUUGUAUUCAUGGCACAUUUAUCGACACACCAUCCGAUAAGCCCCAUGAUGGAUAUAAGACCACCCACAAUGGGAAUAACAUCCGAUCCACCCCGUCACCCCAGCCUCGUGAUCUAGCCGCGCCGCUUGUGAGCCCAAGACAUGGUGUGCAUUAGUCCCACGGUCCCCCCACAUCUUUCCGUCGUCCAUCACGCCAAACUCAUCAUAGAUCUAGCGGCAAUCAUCGCCGUAUGCGAGGCCGCUGGCAACCAUUGGAAAUGGAUCACAUCAUGGGAUGAUGGGAACACCGGUAGCACCAUGGGUCCAAACGUGCAAGAUGUUUGCUUAUUGAAAACACAUCUCCAGGCUUCUCUUGUGCCUUUUUUUUCAUGUACACUAUUUUCUUUUCCAUCUAAACGAGUUUCUUAUUUUCUUCAUCCAAUUUUUUUCUAACGUGUCAUCAUGACCGAAGUAAAUAUAUAUGAUUUCAUAAACGAUGCAAUCUUUUAUCUCCUUUACUUACUUGCAUUGGGGCCACAGUGUGAGCAUGGUACCAACUAUACAACUACCCCACUCUCCCCUUUAUUCCUCCAUCUUAGUACUUUCUUGGACAUUGACUCACCCGCCUCUCGAUAUUGUUUCUUGAUGACCUAAUCACCCAUUGUUGUCAUUCAGCCCAUGGGAAAGUCCCAUCACAACCUGCUCGUCCUGUAGGUGUGUGUUUGGUUGGACGACCAACUGUCAUGGAAUGAAAUGGUUCCAUUUCACAGGAACGGGUCCGUUCCAUUCCUGUGUUUGGUAGGAGUAAAAGAGUAAAACGGGUCGGUUCCGUUUCGGUGUUUGAUUGGAAGCACACAAUGAAAAAUGAAACACAUAUAAUUCAAAAUUUUGGCAGCAUUUCGUUUGUAAUUUGAAGAAAGACAACAUAACAAUAUAUAUUGANNNNNNNNNNNNNNNNNNNNNNNNNNNNNNNNNNNNNNNNNNNNNNNNNNNNNNNNNNNNNNNNNNNNNNNNNNNNNNNNNNNNNNNNNNNNNNNNNNNNNNNNNNNNNNGCUAGGGCAGGGGAGCGCUAGGGAGGCCACAAGCCUGGUCGCCGCGGCCCCCCUUGGCCGCAGCGUCAGGGCUUGUGGGCUCCCUGUGGGCCUCCUGCCUUGGCCCUCAAGUCCCCUGAUCUUCUUCUGUUCUGGAAAAAAUUAUUUCGGGCAUUUUAUUCCAUUUGGACUCCGUUCCAAAAUCAGAUCUGAAAAGAGUCAACAACACAGAAAAAACAGGAACUGGCACUUGGCACUGAAUUAAUAAGUUAGUCCCAAAAAAGAUAUAAAAGGUAUAUAAAACAUCCAAAGUUGACAAGAUAACAACAUGAAACCAUCAAAAAUUAUAGAUACGUUUGAGACGUAUCAACGGGUUGAGUGCAUAACGGUUAGAUGGGGCAACCUAGUUAAGGGGGUCUUAUUCCCCAAUGGUUCUUAUCUUUUGAGUUUGUGUUUCCCCCGAUUGUUGACCCUCUUAGAGCUUGCUAACUCUCAAUCCCUUCAAUGAUUAUUGCUAUUUCUUGAGGGAAAAGAGAGAGAAGGUCUAGAUCUACGUUUUCACCAAUCACUUUCUCCUCUAUGUGAGGGGAACCCCUUGGAUCUAGAUCUUGGAGUUCUUUGUGAGCUCCUUGUUCUUCCUCUCAUAUUCUUCCGUAGCUUUUGUUCUUGUGGAGGGAUUUGAGUGUGAGGGACUUGACCACUUCAUGUGUUCUUGAAAUUACAUUAAUUGCAUCGGUUUGAGUUCUGUAUGGUGAUACGUGGAAGUGAAGUUUGAGAAGCUUAUUACUCUUGGGUGUUUGGGAACCCUAUAACUUGUGCCUCUUGGGUGGUUUGACGCCCUAGACGGUUGGUGGUGUCUCGGAGCUUAAUCAUUGUGGUGUAAAGUUUCGGGAAAGCGUCGGAGUCUCCAAUUAGGUUGUGGAGAUUGCCAUGAGCAAUUGAGGUCACCCCGGAGCCACAAUCCAUUGUGGUGAAGCUUCGUGAUGUUGUUGGGAGCCUCCAAAUAAGUUGUGGAGAUUGCUCCAACCUUGUUUGUACAGGUUCGGUGACAAUCCUCAAGGGUCCCUUAGUGGAAUCAUGGCAUCUUGCAUUUUGCAAAGGCAUGAGGAGAUUACGGUGGCCCUAGUUGCUUCUUGGGGAGCAUUGUGUCUCCAUACCGCUCCAAUUGGAGAUUAGCAUCCGCAAGAGUGUGAACUUCGGGAUACAUCAUCGUCUCUGCGUGCCUCGGUUAUCUCUUACCCAAGCCCUUUACUUAUGCACUUUACUUUGUGAUAGUCAUAUUGUUUCAUGUUAUAUAUCUUGCUAUUACUUAGUUGUUUAUCUUGCUUAGCAUAAGUUGUUGAUGCACAUAGGUGAGACUAGUUACUUUAGGUUUUGUGCUUGACUAAUUAAACAUUAGUUUUAUUCCUUAUUUGUUCAUGCCUAAACCGUAAUUAUUUUAAAGCGUCUAUUCACCCCCUCUAGGCGACAUCCACGUCCUUUCAAAUUGGAUGAGGAGGGUGAGGGUAUGGUUGAUGCACCAAGAGGAAGGGCUAGCAACUACACCGUGGACGAAGACAUCUUUCUAUGCAAGACAUGGUUGAAUGUGUCUCUGGAUGCCACCAUUGCGGGUGACCAAACUAGAGAUACAUAUUGGCUUAGGAUGAAGGAGUACUUUGAUGAAAAAAAAGAGCGGAAUUGAGUGCACCAAUAUGAGAGGCAUGGGAGCACCUACGGGAGGCUUGGGCGACAUGGGAGGCAUGGGAGCACCUACGAGAGGCAUGGUGGCUUGGGAGCAACCAUGGAAGGCAUGAGUUUUUGGUCUCUCAUGAGAGGCAUGGGAGCACGUCACAUGAUGCCUCACAUGCCUACACAUGAUGCCUCACAUGCCUUUGGAGAUAAUGCGAACAAUGUCCGAGGUUAUAAUGACACACAUGUGCUUGAGGAGGAGGAAAAAGAAAAGAAAGAAGAGGAGCAAGAAGAUGGAGCAUGAUUCUUGAUGUUUCAUUCGUUUAUGUGAACUUAUUUGUGAUGAACUUGCUUGUGGUGGAUGAUUUUGAACUAUGCCAUGAAUUUUAACUAUUCUAUGUUGCUCAACUCAUCAUUUGUCACAAAUUGACAUGUGAUGUUUCAUAUGUACCAAAUGGCAGUUGGGCGCGUGAUGUGUAUUUUACCGCACGUGCUGAAGCGCUGCAAAAGCCAACACAUGUCCACGCGUUCUAAAACGCAAUUUUGGCGUUUAAUUUUUUUACCACACAUUUGUUGGAAAUGCUAGUACCGCUUCGACUCUUCGACCCUCCAGUUAUGGGUUAUGUCACUGCCGCCACACGACCAGCGCGCCGGCAGUGACGACAACAAUCUAUGCUGGGAUUUUCCCUACAACUUCGUCGCAUACACCAACAACCAGGUACCGGCGAGCGCCUGGUUUGACAAUGGCGAGAAGACAUUGUGCGUCAGGCAAGGGUAUGUCUUAGUUCAUGCUUUCUCGUUAGUUGCAUGCGGAACUUUCAUCGAAAACACAUCUCACAGGUCACAGCGCAUGACCAACUCGCCAUAAACAUUACUAGUUGCAUUAUUGUCACUUAUAGUUUUCCUGUUGGUAGUGGUAUAUUGUUUUAUCCGUUCUCUUUUAGUGGAGCUCAUGGGGGGAAUUGUCUUUCCUUAUUCGAAGAUACAAGCAUGUCUACUUGGUUUCCACGUUAUUACUUGAAGGAAUUUUCGUUAAGUGGUAAUGGUAACCAGUUGCCCUUUCAUGAUGUGUCAAAGAAGAUUAUCUGGCGGGUUAGUUAAGAAAUUUUUGCCCAUCCACUGUGAAAAGUUUGCUGAAUUUCAAACUUAUGGAGGCAUUUAGUACGAGUGUAAUGAAAGAUGUUUAUAUCUACUUAUUAAAAAUAUAUUGAAAUAGGCCAAGUACAAAUAGAAUAUGGUGCCUACUUAUCGACAUGGAGCAUUUAGCAAAAUUUAUCAUUGAAGCUUUUCCCAAACAGUGGUCAGCACCAAAAUUUCCAUCCCCUUUUUUUUGUAGAUGAAGCUGACUAAACUUAGUUGGACGCAUCUAGUGGGCGGAUAGCUGCCCGCUAGCUUUUCUCGGGGAGCCUACUUUUUUAGGAAGUUUCCCGCCCCCCUCUUGCUGAUUAGGAAACCCCAUAGCACGUUGUUUGCUUUGGUCCCUGCAGUCCCCCACGUGUAUGCAUGUGCAUCUACAAUGAUGUACUCUUUAUUUGUUAGGGAAAAAUCAUUCAUCUACAUUAUCACGUGGUUUUUCCUAGGAUUGUCGUUUAUUUUUUGCUUUUCAAAAAUUAAAAAGGUCAUAACUUCCAAAUCCGACAUCGAAAUUGAUAUCCGUGUUUUCAGAAAUAGAUCCCAUAUGAUGUUUCGAUAAACCUUUUGUCCAUGCAACUGCCUAACGAGUGUGUGUAACUCCGUGGUCACUUAUGUGCACCUAUGCCAAGGAGAGUUUGCAACUAUACAGUCGUGCGUGAGGUAUUAUGCCAACGAGACUGUGCAACACUCUGUUUCUGUUGGUGCGACUAUACCGCCGUGCGUGUGCACCUUUUGUAGUCAUGCUUGAGCUACUAUGCCGACGAAAAUGUACAUAUUUAUGGUCACGUGUGCGACUGUGGAGACAUGCACGUGCACCUCAGUGGUGCGCACUUGCGACUAUGCAGAUGGAAGUGCGCAACUCCGCGGCCGCACUCAUGUGCGACUAUGCCGACGAGAGUGUGCAACAUUGCGACCGUGCAUGAGCUGCACUUCGAUAAAAGUGUGCAACUCCAUGGUCAUGUGUGUGCAACUUAGCCUCUGCGUGUGUGCAACUCUACGGCCGUGCGUGAGCUGCUACUCCGACAAAAGUGUGCAACUCUGUGGUCAUGUGUGUGCAACUUAGCCUUCACGGGUGUGCAAUUCUAGCAGUCAUGCGUGAGCUACUACGCCAACGAGAGUGUGCAUCUCCGUGGUUGCGCGUGUGCGACUAUAUAUGCCCAUGCACGUGUGCACCCCCUAUAGACGUACGUGUGCGACUACGUGGAUGAGAGUGUGCAACUCCGUGAUCAUGCAUAUGUGACUAUGCGGACGAUGAUGCAUGCGUGACUAUGCCGACACGAGUGUGCAGCUCCAUGACCACAUGUAUGCGACUAUACCAACGAUAGUGUGCAACUCCGCGGCCAUGCCUAUGCGACUAUGCGGACGAGAGUGUACAACUUUAUGGUCAUGCUUGCACAACUAUAUCGAUAAGAGUGUGCAACUCCACGAUCACACAUGUGCGACUAUGCCAAUAAUAAUGUGCAACUCCACGGUCAUGCAUGUGCGACUAGGCGGACGAGCACGUGCAACUCUACGGUCAUGCAUGUGUGACUAUGUCGAGAAGAGCAUGCAACUCCACGGCCAAAUGUGUGCCACUAUGUCAACGAUAAUGUGAAACUCCGUGAUCGUGCAUAAUGUUGGGGAACGUUGCAUGGGAAACAAAAAUUUUCCUACGCACACGAAGACCUAUCAUGGUGAUGUCCAUCUACAAGAGGAGAUUAGAUCUACGUACCCUUGUAGAUCUCUAAGCGGGAAGCGUUAAGAAACACGGUUGAUGUAGUGGUACAACUUCAUGAUUCAAAUCACCGUCGUCCCACGAUCCGUUCCGAUCUAGCGUCGAACGGAUGGCACCUCCGCGUUCACCACACGUACAACUCAAUGACGAUCUCGGUCUUCUUGAUCUAGCAAGAGUGACGGUGAAGUAGAUGAGUUCUCCGGCAGAGUGACGAUGCUCCGGUGGUGGUGAUGAUCUACUCCUGCAGGGCUCCGCCCGAGCUCCGCAGAAAUCCGAUCUAGAGGUAAAACUACGUGGUAUAGGUUUGAGUUGCACGUGGCAAAGUUGUGUCUCAAAAAACCCUAAACCACCAGUAUAUAUAGGAGGAGGGGAGGGGCUAGCCUUGGGGCUCAAGGAUCCCCUUGGUGCGCCGGCCGAAGGGAGAGGAGGACUCCUACUCCAAUUCGGUUUGGGGAAGAUGGAGUCCUCCUCUUCCUUCCCAUCUUCCUCUUUUCUUCUUCUUUCCUUUGGUGUUUUUCCCUUGUGGCGCCAUGGCCCUAUUGGGCUGGCGUCACCAGCCCACUAAGGGCUGGUGCGCCACCCUAGGGUCACUGGGCUCACUCUCGGGUGGGUGGGACCCUCCCGAUGAAUAUCCGGAACCCAUUCGUCACUCUCGGUACACUGCCAGAAAUGCCCGAAACUUUCCGGUGACCAAAUGAAACCAUCCUAUAUAUCAAUCUUCGUUUCCGGACCAUUCCGGAAACCCUCGUGACAUCCGUGAUCUCAUCCGGGACUCCAAAAACAUUCGGUAACCACACAUAUAACUCAACUAUACUAAAACAUCAUCUAACCUUAAGUGUGCAGACCCUGCGGGUUCGAGAACUAUGUAGACAUGANNNNNNNNNNUCAAGAGAGACGGAGAGGUAGAUGAGUUCUCCGGCAGCGUGACGGCGCUCCGGAGGUUGGUGGUGAUCUAAUCUCAGCACGGCUCCGCCCGAGCUCCGCAGAAACGCGAUCUAGAGGAAAAACCGUGGAGGUAUGUGGUCGGGCUGCCAUGGCAAAAGUUGUCUCAAAUCAGCCCUAAUAGCUCCAUAUAUAUAGGAGGAGGGGAGGGGAGGCUUGCCUUGAGGCUCAAGCAGCCCCAAGGGCUGUGCCACCAAGGGGAGGAGGAGUCCUCCUCCAAUCCUAGUUGAAGGUGGAGUCCUUCUCUUCCUUCUCCUUUUUUUCUUUUCUCUUUGAUUUUCUAUCUAUGGCGCAUAGGGCCUUCUUGGGCUGUCCCACCAGCCCACCAAGGGCUGGUUCGCCACCCCCAAGGCCUAUGGGCUUCCACGGGGUGGGCUGCUCCACCCGGUGAACAUCCAGAACCCAUUCGUCAUUCCCGGUACAUUCCCGGUAACUCCGAAAACCUUCCGGUAAUCAAAUGAGGUCAUCCUAUAUAUCAAUCUUCAUUUCCGGACCAUUCCGGAAACCCUCGUGACGUCAGUGAUCUCAUCCGGGACUCGGAACAACAUUCGGUAACCAACCAUAUAACUCAAAUACGCAUAAAACAANNNNNNNNNNGACUCCUCGGUCAAUAUCCAAUAGCGGGACCUGGAUGCCCAUAUUGGAUCCUACAUAUUAUACGAAGAUCUUAUCGUUUGAACCCCAGUGCCAAGGAUUCAUAUAAUCCCGUAUGUCAUUCCCUUUUUCCUUCGGUAUGUUAGUUGCCCGAGAUUCGAUCGUUAGUAUCCGCAUACCUAUUUCAACCUCGUUUACCGGCAAGUCUCUUUACUCGUUCCAUAAUACAAGAUCCUGCAACUUACACUAAGUCACAUUGCUUGCAAGGCUUGUGUGUGAUGUUGUAUUACCGAGUGGGCCCUGAGAUACCUCUCCGCACACGGAGUGACAAAUCCCAGUCCCGAUCCAUACUAACUCAACGAACACCUUCCGAGAUACCUGUAGAGCACCUUUAUAGUCACCCAGUUACGUUGCGACGUUUGAUACAAACAAAGCAUUCCACCGGUGUCAGUGAGUUAUAUGAUCUCAUGGUCAUAGGAACAAAUACUUGACACGCAGAAAACAGUAGCAACAAAAUGACACGAUCAACAUGCUACGUCUAUUAGUUUGGGUCUAGUCCAUCACGUGAUUCUCCUAAUGACGUGAUCCAGUUAUCAAGCAACAACACCUUGUUCAUAAUCAGAAGACACUGACUAUCUUUGAUCAACUGGCUAGCCAACUAGAGGCUUCCUAGGGACAGUGUUUUGUCUAUGUAUCCACACAUGUAAAUGAGUCUUCAUUCAAUACAAUUAUAGCAUGGACAAUAAACGAUUAUCUUGAUACAAGAAUUAUAAUAAUAACUAUAUUUAUUAUUGCCUCUAGGGCAUAAUUCCAACACAUUCAUGUUUACCUUCAUGACAUCAUCUUUAUGAAGAGAGAAGAUAAGAUACAAGGUUGAUCAAGACUAAGUCAAAGACUGAAUCAAGUCGAUCAACACAUAAAGCGUAUAAGAUGUACCGAGAGGGAUCAAGUGAUCCCAUGGUAUGAUAAGCAUUGUCCAUUAUGCUUUGUGUACUAACCCAUGGUCUACGUGAGAGUUCUGUGUGGGGUUAGACAUGUUUCCAUGGGCUUACGUCAAGAGGAAGAUCUCAUAUGACCAAUGGAGGAUGAUAUCAAGUGGUGGUCGUCAUCAAGGAUCGCGGUGUGCAAGUUCAAGUGGAGCAUCACGAAGAGAUCAUUCUUGAAGCUUGAUGUACAUUAUGGUGACAAUGGACUUGUGAGAUGUGUCGAAGAGUGGCUCACCCACAGUGGAGUAUGUGGGAGUAAUCUACUAGCCUUCAUCGAGCUAGUACAAUCAAGAAAGGUGGUCCAUCUUAAGAAGGACAACAUCGUCAUCAUCUAGCUCAAGUGGACUAUAAGCAAGGCAAAGGUUUUCCCUUGAUAGGUAUUAUAUUUUACGGUCUCAUGGUGUUAGUUGGGAGACUGGGUUAUAGGAUCGAUUGUCGUACUAUUAAGGGGGGGGCUCUCAAGUGAGUAGCUUGAUCUUGUCGUUCUUUGAGAGCUCAAACCAUUGCAUUCUUGGUAUCAUCAUCGUUCUUGCUUCUUGGCUGGGUUUUAUUUAUGUGGGUUCUUGAUCUUAUGGUCAUCUUCAUGACAAGCUGCAUCUUUUAUGAUGUUUCUAAUGUUGGAUUUUUGCCGGUUCUUCAUUCAUAGAGGUUUCACGUAUCUAUAUCAUUUGCAGUUUGAAUACUACUUGUCGUCUGCUAUCCAACAAGCUUUAGUUUCCUCAAUUCGGAGCUCGUAUGCGAAAGUUAUGGCACCUUUAGUGCCAGGGUAGUAUUUCUCCAUUCAGGCGGUAGUACCACUUAGGAGGUACUUCCGUUGUAUAAUACCACUGCUACUUCCGCUUAUAUUUUGCUCUUGUUCAGUGCAUUCCUUCGAGCGGUAGUAAAAUGGCAGUGAUGGUGGUAGUACCGCCCUUCUUUUCUAUACUACCGUGGUUUUAUCUGCACUUGCAACAACUAGCGGUAGUAUCGCUGGUGGGAGUGGUAAUACCACUCCGGCAGCACUACCGCCUCCUGGAGUCUCUUUGUUGCACGCUGUGGAUUGAAACUCCCGUGCCAGCAGAAGUACUGCUCACUUGAGCGGUACUACUGCUUAUGCACGGGUGCUACGGCAACAAAAUACCUUCCCUGGCAACGGCGCCAGGAAUCCUUCUGCUACGGGCUACGCCUAUAGGGACUUCCUUGGCAAAUAUGCAAAGGAUUCCCCCGCGGCCUUGGAGCCUUGCAUUGGUGUUCCCUUGAAGCGUAAAGGGUGAUGUAGCACAACGGCGGUAAGUAUUUCCCUCAGUUUGAGAACCAAGGUAUCAAUCUAGUAGGAGGAUCGCGUCAAGUCACAAGUACCUGUACAAACACAAAGAGCUUGCACCCAACGCUAUGAAGGGGUUGUCAAUCCCUUAUAGAUUAUUUACAAAGUGAGAUCUGAAAGAAAAAAGUAAACAAAGCAAAGUAAAACUAAAAGUGGAGAUGAUAGUGUUGGAAAUAUGCCCUAGAGGCAAUAAUAAAUUAGUUAUUAUUAUAUUUCUUUGUUCAUGAUAAUCGUUUAUUAUCCAUGUUAUAAUUGUAUUGAUUGGAAACACAGUGCAUGUGUGGAUACAUAGACAAAACACUGUCCCUAGUAAGCCUCUAGUUGACUAGCUCUUUGAUCAAAGAUGGUCAAGGUUUCCUGACCAUAGGCAAGUGUUGUCACUUGAUAACGGGAUCACAUCAUUAGGAGAAUCAUGUGAUGGACUAGACCCAAACUAAUAGACGUAGCAUGUUGAUCGUGUCANNNNNNNNNNCACUCCUCGGUCAAUAUCAAAUAGCGGGACCUGGAUGCCCAUAUUGGAUCCUACAUAUUCUUCGAAGAUCUUAUCGGUUGAAGCUCAGUGCCAAGGAUUCAUAUAACCCCGUAUGUCAUUCCCUUUGUCCUUCGGUAUGUUACUUGCCCGAGAUUCGAUCGUCGGUAUCCGCAUACCUAUUUCAAUCUCGUUUACCGGCAAGUAUCUUUACUCGUUCCGUAAUACAAGAUCCCGCAACUUACACUAAGUCACAUUGCUUGCAAGGCUUGUGUGUGAUGUUGNNNNNNNNNNCUCAUUACCGGCAAGUCUCUUUACUCAUUCCGUAAUACAAGAUCCCGUGGCUUACACUUAGUCACAUUGCUUGCAAGGCUUGUUUGUGAUGUUGCAUUACCGAGUGGGCCCCGAGAUACCUCUCCGUCACACGGAGUGACAAAUCCCAGUCUUGAUCCAUACUAACUCAACGGACACCUUCGGAGAUACCUGUAGAGCACCUUUAUAGUCACCCAGUUACGUUGCGAUGUUUGAUACACACAAGGUAUUCCUCCGGUGCCAGUGAGUUAUAUGAUCUCAUGGUCAUAGAAAUAAAUACUUGACACGCAGAAAACAAUAAUGACAAAAUGACACGAUCACAUGCUACGUUCAUAGUUUGGGUCUAGUCCAUCAUAUGAUUCUCCAAAUGAUGCGAUCCAGUUAUCAAGUGACAACACUUGCAUAUAGUCAGAAAACCUUGACUAUCCUUGAUCAACUGGCUAGCCAACUAGAGGCUUGCUAGGGACAUUGUUUUGUCUAUGUAUCCACAUGUAUCUAUGUUUUCAUUUAAUACAAUUAUAGCAUGGAUAAUAAACGAUUAUCUUGAAACAUGAAAUAUAAUAAUAAUUAUUUUAUCAUUGUCUCUAGGGCAUAACACAUAAUUUACCGUGUCGACGAGAUUAUGCAUCACCAUGGUGGUGCAUGUGCGACUAUGUCACGUACGUGUGCAACUCCGCAAUCAUGUGUGAACUACUAGACGACGAGAUUAUGUAACUCCAUGGUCAUGCGUGUGCGACUAUGCCGACGAAAGUAUUUAAAUCCAUGGUCACACGUGUACGACUAUGCAGACAAGAAUGUGCAACUCCUAUGCCCACGAUAUGUGCAACUCCAUGGUUGUGCAAGAACUUUGCAUGCUCAUGUCGCGCCAACAAAGCAUAUGUGUGUGCAACUAGACUAGACAUCAACACAUGUGCAACUAGACUUAAUUGCAGGCCAUCUAGCAUAUGCAUGUCCAACUAGUCCUAUCAACUAAACAUCAAUGUGUGUUUGCAACUAGACUACAUUGUCACGCCAACUGAGCAUAUGUGUGUGCGGCUAGUCCUUCCAACUAAACAUCAAUGUGUGUGCAACUAAACUACAUUGCAGGCGAAUUGAGCAUAUGUAUGUGCAACUAGUCCUGCCAACUAAGUAUCAAUGUGUGUGCAACUAGACUACAUUGUCGUGCCAAUUGAGCAUAUGUGUGUACAACUAGUCUUGCCAACUAAGCAUCAACAUGUGUGUAACUAGACUGUAUUGCAUGCUAACUCAAUAUAUGCAUGUGCAACUAGUCCUGCAAACUAAACAUUAAUGUAUGUGCAACUCGUCCUGCUAACUAAGGAUCACCGUGUAUGCAAGUGGACUACAUUGCAGGCCAACUCAACAUAUGCAUGUGACAACUAGUCCUGCGAACUAAACAUCAUUGUGUGUGCAACUAGAUUAUAUUGCAUCUGAACAUAUGCAUGUGCAACUAAACAUCAAUGUGUGUGCAACUAGACUACAUUAUAGACCAACUGAGCAUAUGUGUGUGUGCAACUAGUCGUCCUGCCAACUAAAUAUCAAUGUGUGUGUAACUGGACUACAUUGCAAGCUAAUUGAGCAUAUGGGUGUGCGCAAAAAACACCCGAGAGUGCAUGAGCAUGCUUUUAUGCACGUAGCCAGCUUUCCUGCCGUUCUUGUGCAACUACAUAAUCUAACUAGCCGGCGUCGCCUGUUUGCUGCUCUACGUCGAUGACAUUAUUCUUGCUGCAUCAUCGACGACUCUCCUGCAUCAACUCUAACGCCGACUGUCCAUCGAGUUCUUCAUGAAAGACCUCAAACCGCUGCACUACUUCCUCGGCAUUGUUGUGACGUGCACGCCUGAUGACUUCUUCUUCUUCCAGCGCUUGUACGUCGAAGACCUUCUCGAGCGCGCCAACAUGCAGACCUGCCUCGACUCCGAUGGACACACGCCCCAAACUGUCUGCCAACGAUGGGGCGUCCGUUCAUGACGCAUCCGAGUACCGGAGCAUCGUCGGAGCUCUCCAGUACAUGACAAUGACAUGGCCAGACAUUGCCUACGCGGUGCAGCAAUGCUGCCUCGUCAUGCAUGAUCCUCGCACUCCGUAUCUCACACUGACAAAGAGGAUGCUCUGAUAUCUGCGCGGCACCACCACCCAUGGACUGCACAUGUGUCGUGUUGCCUCGCUUGAUCUCGUUGCCUACUCCGACGCUGACUGGACAUGCUAUCUGGAUACACGAUGAUCUAUAUCCGGAUACGUACGUGGUGUACCUCGGUGAAGCCCUGGUUUCCUGGUCCUCCAAACGCCAGGCAACUGUGUCCCGCUCAAGCGUAGAAGCGGAAUAUCGAGCCGUCGCCAACACCGUCGCUGAAAGCUAUUGGAUUCGACAACUCCUCAUCGAGCUCGUGACACCGCUCCGCAAGGCCAGCAAGGUGUUCUGCGAAAACAUCUCCUCUGUCUACAAGGCUGCCAAUCCCGUACAUCAUCGACAAACCAAACACAUCGAGUUGAACAUCCAGUUCGCCAGGAAGAAGGUUGCUCUCAGUGAGCUGCCCACAAGUCAACAAUUCGCUGAUGUGCUCACCAAGGGACUUCCAACGCCGAUGUUUGAGGAAUUCCGGUCCAGCUUGUGCAUCCAUCCACCCGACGUUCAAACUACGGCGGGGUGUAAACAGCUAACUAGUCUACCAAUAAUGCUAGACAUACAAAAACUUAUAAAGGUUUACUUAACCUUCCAAACUAACUCUUCUCUCCCCCCUGAUUUUCAGUGGGGGUGGGGCCCCUCAUCCCUCAGUUACCAAUCACAAUCUUACACAUCAGUUUGUACGUAAAAUCUUUACGUAAGCCUUUGUAGGUGUAACAUUUCUCUCUCCCUACGUGUACGUAAGCCUACUCUCUCUCCCUACGUGUUCAAUUACCAAUUACCAAUUACCAAUCACAAUCUUACACAUCAAUUACCAAUCACAAUCUUACACUUGUACGCUACCCUCUCUCCCUACGUGUUCACACCAUGCAUGCACGAUCCCACGAUGCAUGCACGUCGCUACCUCCCCGGCACUCCGCGCCCUGUUGUUAACCUGCUAUAUAUACAUCAAACAUAUUAACCUACGCUGAAAGGGCGAGCGCUGGUGAUGUCCACGUGUUCUUUUUACUGUGCAAGGGAAAAGGUAAGCUUCGCUAGAUCAGAUAACUCCUCCCCCAGAUAAGAUAGAACACGCAUUGGCCGGAGCAACGCUAGGUUCUCCUCUUCCUCACGCGUUCUCCACUUUCCACGCCUCCUCUCUCUCGUUUCAUCUCCCGCGAGACCUGCCACCGCCGCCUCCAACGGGAGAGGCAUGACUCCGCCGGAUCGGCUGGCAGCGCGGUGUGGGGGAUGAGCAAGAUGGAGAGACGACGGGUGUAGGACUGUAGGGAGGGUUGCUGGAGAAGGUGGGAAGCAGGAGGUGCCGCCGAGCUGGGAGUUGGACCUGGAGGACGUGGCGGGCUUCCGGCGUCGCCGCCGGCGGCGGCAACGACGCGGUGUGCUGUAGAACAACGAUUACAUCAGCUACGGCGCAUUGCGGAGGGACAACGUGCCUCUGCUUCGUGCAUGGCACCUCCUACUACAACUGCUGCCCUGGCGGCCAGGCCAACCCCUACAACCACGGCUGCUCCGCCAUGACGCGCUGUCGUGGAUGCUCCGCCAUCGCGCGCUGCCGCGGCUGAUAAGCCUCCUCCUCCCAUCUGCGCCCGUCCCGGAUGGUUGAUUGAGAUAUUGCUCCGUAUCCUUGGCUCGCUCCGCUGCAGAGAGUACGUUUCUUUCAAGCUGUUGUUUUAGUAUCCAAUUCCAAGAGGUCGUAUCUGUUGAUGUAGUUCGAAAUCUGAGUCGUGCUGUAUAAACUGAUGGAUUGAUGGGUGGGUUAUUGAUUUAUUUCCUGUGGUUGUGAAUCUAUGAUGCUCUGCUUGUUGAUUUGGGAGGGGAUCCACCGAGUGCCCUGAUUAUCUUUCUCUGCUCAUUUUUGGUGCUCCACUAAGUCUAAGUGUCCGAUAAUUAGGCCAACUUCUCUCACGAUUCUUUGUUUUCCUUGCAAAUUUCGAUUAUGCCAUCCACGAUAAGCCAAGGUGUACAUCCACAAAUUUCGAUUAUGCCAUCCAUGAUUAGCCAAGGUGAUCAUGGGUUACGUUGUUGCAUAUCUCAAGAGUAUAAAUUAAUUAGCAGCAAUAUCCCUUUCUGAACUGAUCGCAUCCACAAAGCAUGAGACUAUUAGCAAUGAGGUAAUGUUGCUUAACUAAAUUGUUCGGUUUGUGUUAAAGCCUGUUGCAAACAUGAUAUCUAGGCUAUACACAGUCUCCUCCUUUUGAUUGUGCUGCUCUGCUGCACUGAUUAUUAUGGCCACAACUUGAGUUUUGACAGUUUAUUUUGUUGAGUGGACCAACUUGCGUACUUCUGGAUCACGAAUUUGUGCCCUCAGACGAUGAAAGCCAUGGGCCAACAACCUCCAUUUGAGGUGUUAAGCCUUGCCAGCUCAAUUGCUGGUGUCCUUUGGAUAUGAAUGUGGAGUAUGAAAUGGGUUGCUCCCAUACGUAAAUCUUUCAUUUCAAACUCCAGCAGAACAAAUAAUGUGCAGCAAUUUAUCUAAUUAGGCCGAGUCUGAAGCUUCCACGAGCAGCUCAUGGUUUGAUAAUAAAACAAGGCAUUAGAUAUUCAUCUGUGCGCUUCUCUGUAUUCGCUUCCUGAGCAAGGAUUGAACAUCAUUCAAGUGAACUGUUGCUUUCCUGCUUAUAUCAUAUACAUUUAAUGUUUCUUCGGUUUAGUGCAGCUUGCAAUUUUGAUGAGAUUUGUUACUUCAGUUAGAAAACUUCAGUUUAGGUCUGCACCACGAUUCCUCAAACGUAAGGAAAUCAUUUGCUUGCCAGGUUUUGUACAGCUUGCCAUUUUUUUAGAUUUGUUAGUCAGUUAGAAAACUUAAGUUGGGUCUGCACCACAAUUUCUCAUAAUUCAAUGAAGGUUUGACAUUGUUUUAUCCUUUUAGUUGCUUCAUGUGUAGUGAGUUCCAAGAUAUAUUUGAUGUGGAUUGCUCCAUAGCAUCACUGAGAGGAGAUUUGAAAGCGGAAAGAUUUGACUCCAUUCUGCCUGUCACUUGGUACUACCAUAAUGAGCUUUGCUUGCAUUUCUGAAUUAUAUGCACCCUGAUAAGGAUUCUCGGUGUUUAUUUUGGAGAAAAUAGAUUCAGAAGAUAUCAAUCAGAUAACGAAUUGUCUUUCCAUGUACAUACUAUUGUCGAAUGGAAUUCUUUUGUACGCCCAGUAUAUACUAUUUUUGGGUUUCUUACUCACUGUCUAUAAACCACUCGGAAUUGUGGAGUAACUAUAAGUGAACAAAUGGUCAUUUUAAAAACUGCUGCAUACCGGGAUGUCAAGAUCAUACUUGUCCCUCGUAUACUGAAUUUAGAAAUCAAAAUGUAAAAUAAAAGGAAAUUAAUGCUAUUGACCUCAGUUAGAACAUGUUUCUGAUGAUUGGAAGAAUCUGAGCUAGCUUUCACUAAUGAAAGCUCUUCCUCUUUGGGUCUGACAGGAGGAGCACGGGUGCCCAGGACAACAACAACGAUGUGCCAAAGGAGACAUCAUGGAUUCGUUGUCCGCUUUUGUUGCUGCUCGUGUUAACUCUGCUUCACCCCGGCCUUGAACCACCCCAACUUAUAUACACAAUGCUUUAUUUGUUUUCUUUUAUAAUAUCUAAUAGAUCCACGCAUAUGAUGAAAAUAUAUAGAUUGUGCUCCUUGCAUUUUCUAAUUUGGUUCAAUGGAAUAAGAUGAACACCCACGACUCAGCCUGGGUUCGUAAGGUGUGUGUUCCUCUUCAAUACUUGAAGAGAAGAUUUGAGAAAAGCAUGAAGAAUGUCGUUUAUCUGUACUCUCAGCAUGUUAAAAGCUACAUCAACUUGAUUAGUACGCACAAUUACACCUCAAGAGAGAAUUCGAUUAAAGGUAUACUUUGAUCUCUUUCUUGUUUGGAUAUCACAAAAUACAAGUAUAUGGUUUAAUAAAGUACAAAGCAUGAGUUAUGGGACUUCAAUUCCGUCAUAUUAGUUUCAGCAUCUGCAUCUGAUACUAUAGCUACACAAAGGAUGUCAUGAGAAUUCAGCUGGCACUAUAUUCUUCGUGCAGGAGAUGAUGAAGAGAGUUGGGCACGUGAUCUAACUCCUACAUUAUUUUGGAACCAUUCAUAUGAUCUGCUUGAUGGUGGACCAGAUCUUUGUAAUCAGUUAGUUGCAGAUAUUGUUGAAAAGGACAGGGUAAGGGAUGAAUAGUCUCAUAAUUUACUAUGUGAAAAAGGAUAAGACUAGGAUGUGCAGAAGAUAUACCUAAUAUAUCGCUCUUUUACUGGUUAAAUAGACCUUUAUUUAAGCUUUGGAGGUAACAUUUGUGUUCAUGCAUAGUGCCACACUCACGCAUUUUAUGUUUUUGCACAUGAAUUAUACCUUCAAACAAUGAAAGAAACAUUGCAGUCCUUCAUUUCAAAUAUUGCUGAGCGCUGAGACAUUUAAUUCUUCUAUUUGAAGUGUAUGAUAAAAAUCUUCUAAAGAAGUUACAUGAUUUACACUUUAUACUCACACUCUUAAUAUUCUUUGCAGGUGGAAAUGAGAUGGAGUCAGACUCUCUUCCAUCUCUAAAACGAUAUCUGACACUUCUUAUGUCGAUAAAUUUCCUGGUAAUGUGAUUCUCAGUUUGGCAAGUCACAUGUGAUCUGUGUAUCUCAUGUCUUGACACUUCUUAUGUCGAUGGAUUUCUUGGUUAUGUGAUUCUUCCCAGCACCAAGUUGCUCAUGUCAGUGCUUCUAUUUUUUGCAUGUGCGUCUGUAUCGGGUUUUUGUUGAUGUAUCAUCUGUUUACAUGUCUUCUCACUAUGCUAAAUCUAUUAUUACAUAGACACGUUAACAAAUAUGACAACUAGAUUGGUGCGUACAAUCCCGCCUCAGGAGGCGCCACAGGGUGGCGCCCCAACCACUAGUGAGUAUACAUACAACGGAGAGCACCCAAGAUGCAUUCUCCCUCUUCCUCCAUUAAUCGACAUUGAAGAAGAGGUGCGAAGCAAGAUGUCCGGUGAGAGGAGCGACAAACGUUGGGUGGUGGACGGCCAAGCCGAACAGCGGUGGCAUGCCUGGCUCGUGGCCACGGCCAUGGCGUGGUGGUGUGAGACUGCGUUUGUGUGCGCGCAUGAAGGGAGCCGCAGGAGGUAGUAGCUAGCUAGAAGAUGAAUGUGGGAGAAGCAUGGCACGGGGGACGACGGCCCGCUCCGGCGGUCGCCGGACGCGACCGAAGUGGUGGACACGCGCAUCCGCCCCGACUUGGUGCUUUGUCGGUAGCGCGGUGUGAAGCAACCAGGCAGGGUAGAGCGACGCGAGCAGCGUGGAUCGAACCAGGAGAACGCGUGGAGCUGGUUCCCAGCUGGCCGCUCGGUGUCGCCAAAAAUGCACGACCACUUUUUUGGAUUUUAGGAACUUAGUUUUGUUCAAUUAUUAUUAUUAUCUCCCACUGCCAGCCACGAAUGAAAUUCCAUCCAUUUUCUCCCCUGUUUUGUUACUCUUUGAGUAAAGUCACGUCUUCAUUUUUCUAAGCGCUACAUCUCACAAGCCCGACGCCUGGGUCACCUCCUGCUAGGGCGAGUCAGGCGGAGAUCCACCCCGUCCUCCCCUCCGUCGCCGCUGGAUGAAGCCGUUGGGCGAAGCCCUGGCCGGCCAAUGGCGGCGGAGGAGGAUCACUUUCCUCCUGCGUCCGGAUUUGAUGAGCUCGCCUCCCAUCAGCGUCGGGGCGCCUCGCCCUGAUCUGUGGUGCAGCGGCUCGCCUCCCGCGAUGGCUCAAGGCGGCGGCGACGUGGUGAGCAGAGGCGACGAAGCUGCAAGGUGACGUGGAAGAUCGGGUGGUGCAGGCUGCUAGGCACAUCCGCGAGGUCACGGCGGCCAUGGUGGCUGUGGUCGGCGGCUCGGUAGCGGUGGAACGUGGCCGGCGGCGGCGGCUACGUUCGGCCUGGAUCCCUGGGCGGCGGCCUUGGACGGUGGCGGCAGGUGGAGCUCGGGUUGUCCGCGGCGGCAUGGCGUGGUGCAGUUCCCGUCCAAGGCGGAUCUGCACCGGCAAUCUUGUGGUCUUUUACUACAGAUUCGUUCGGAUCAGAAACGGUGACGAGCGCAUGGGAUCCAUCUCUGCGGCUCUCGCAGUUUGGCGAGGUCGGUGGGAGCCCUUCUUCCAGGCUCCAGUGGUGGCACACUCAGGCAGUGGCCGUGUGCCAGGGCUCCUACGGUGGCAUUGCUGUCGUGGAUGGUCGCCGGAUUUAUGCGACUAAAUCUGGGGCUUUGAAGGUGGUCGAGACGAUGCAUAGGUUUUCGAAUGCAUUUUUUUGGGACGGAUCCGGGUGAAAACCUUGUCUCCGGCCAGUGGCCGGAGCCGGUGAUGCCCUUAUCGCUGUUUCCUUCAUGAAGGCAUCAUCGAGGUGAAGCUCCCAACUCCAUCCAAUACCUUCGGGGGAAACCCUAGAUCAGCAGAUCGGAUGACGGCGGCACUCUUGUGUCGUCCCCCCCCCCCCCCCCCCCCCCCCCNNNNNNNNNNNNNNNNNNNNNNNNNNNNNNNNNNNNNNNNNNNNNNNNNNNNNNNNNNNNNNNNNNNNNNNNNNNNNNNNNNNNNNNNNNNNNNNNNNNNNNNNNNNNNNNNUCGAGGGACAAGUGGACGACAUCUUUGUCCCUAUUCGUGGCGGUGGGUCUUGGCGGCGUGGAGUAGUGGAGGCUCGGCGUCCGAUGUGUGGCGAUGGACUCGCGCAGGAAGAAGACGCUGUCUGGCGUCGUGGUGACAUCGAUGGCAGAGAGGCCUGGCAAGGUAGAUCCGUCAGUUACUGCUUUGAGGAUAGAUCAAUGGAAGACGGAGGUGACGGUCCUUACAGCGUGUACGUUGAUGCCUACUGGGGGUGCGUCGGACCGGCGUGUCAUCCAAUCCCAACAGUGUGGCUGGGAUGGGGCAUCCGGCUUUAGAUGUUAGGGUUUGGUGCGAUGUCUGUUUGGUAUAUGGUCCGGACAUUCGGCACCCCUUCAUCAAUGGGAUAGGUGUAGCGACAUGUGUUGUCAACAUGGUGGCUUCACGCGUACUGAGGUAUUACUUGUAAAGAUCUUGAUGAAUAAUAAAUAAAAUGACAUCGUCAGGCCCCGGAGUGCAUCCUCCUUUUUUUUUAAAAAAAGGUCUUCAUUUUUCUGUCCAGAUUCCAUGCACCCACGGUUUUCUUUGUCGGAGCUGACUGGGCCAAUAUCCGACAUCAAGUUGCCACCUUGCUGGCAUUCCAAACCAGCUUACCUAAACGAAAAAGUAUGGUCUUUGGGACAGAGAGAAGAUAUCUGAUUGUUUAGCACAUGCAAGGUGAUAAGAACAUUCGUAGCACAAAACAGGGAAGCUUGGGCGUGCCGAUUGUGAUGUUUACCAGAAUUUCUUCAUGUGUGCAGUGCAGUAUAUGGAUGCAGAAACCUUAGGUUGCGUGAGUUUGUGUCCCCUGUCCACUUUGAUCAGGUAAAUACAGUAUCCUGCUCCCUAGUGGUUCUUUGGUCCGAUCACUGCAACGCGUCUGCGAUGAGACUUCAGCAAUGCCCGCUCUCUCUAGACGACGCCGAAUCAAUCACAUCGACGCCACCCGUCUGUUACAGUUCAUUUAGCAAGGCAUUGUCCAUUGGCGUGCAGGUGAUCAACUGGCCAUGGCCUCGUCUCAUCAGAUCUUAAUUUGGUGGCGACUAAGGAACGAAUUUGGAAAAUUUUGAAUUGUGUUCUUGUGAAACUGCGUGGUUUUCUCCUGUAAUAGGUGCUUCUCUGCGACGAUGCACAGGUGGGGCUUCUUCGACAGUUUAUCCUUUUGCUGGACCGACGCCGAGGGGAACUACUCCGCGACGCUUGAAGUGAUGGCCGUGUCAACUGAAGUUUGGGAUGAUUUCCGUAGCUUUACCUCUAGCUUCUGAUGGUUGUUGUAAUAGAAUUUAUUGUGGCGUUUCAGACUUUUUCCUUGUUUUUACGGUUAGGGGCAGUUUGUUAGAUGCUUGCUUUGGUGUUGGUAUGCUGAACCUUGUCUGUUCGUUGCUUCAUUAAUAAAAGUGGAGCAGGGGAGACCCCCUUCAUUAAAAAAACAUUUGUUAAUCUUUUUUGUAGUUUUCUAAAACGCUGACCUCUUUUCCGAAGCGACGGGAUGCUGACCUCGAUUUUGAAAUUGUUAGGUAACUUGUCAGCCUGGUUCUGGUGUAGUUCAACCAAGGGUACACACUUGAGGCCUCCACACGCACGCACGUUUCCCUGAUUCCUUGCUGUAAACAUCAGACGAAAUUGUGCCGGUCACCCCGGUUUCAGGCUUAUCAUCAAUGUCUCGUUCCUACUUGACGCUCAUUAUCCAUAUGUUGUUUGCAGCUCAAGCUAUCCUCCAGUAUGCAUCCACUCUGGUCUGGUCAAAGUCGACGGGCGAGCGGGUGGAGAGGCAGGGGGGAAGGCUCCGGCGACCGGCGCCCCACGUUUCCGGCGAUGCGUGGCGCCGAAGCGAAGCUCGCUCGGUCGUGUGAUGGGGAUCUGUAGCUAAUGGUUGCCCGCCCGCGCGUCGGCUGGGGCUGCAUCUGGCAUUCUGGCUGCUGGUGGUUGAGGCUAGCAGCUAUCAUCCAUGAUCCAUCACUCUGUGUCUGUUUUAAAGCCGUUUGGUUGUGUGCAUACUGCAUACACCUUGACUAGACAUGCGCUGAAAAAAAUUGGCCCGAUUAAUUGACUGGGUCAUAUACAAAUGUUGGUCUGCACGAAACUUAAAGCAUUCCUAGUCAGGUCCACUAGAAACGGUCGAAUUGACAGUUUAUCGAAAAAGGAUUUUCUCCGUUUUGUAUUUCAAAGCAACCAACAUGUACCGAUAAACGGUCGAAUUGGUAGUUUCUAGCAACUCAGGCUUGGACGAGCCAACUCGAGCGCACAUGAGUGAGCCUGGUUGCACCAGGGGAUGUGAAUAGUUUACACCUACGUUGCUUCUUCUUCCAUCUCUAAUAACCUUCUUCUCUAAUCCCGUUUCUUCCAUCCCUUCUAAUCUAUACAACGAUGCUUCGAUUCGAGAUAAGCUUUACACAAAAAAUAUGCACAUCGAUGUUUGGUUCCAUUUCAGUGAUUAGUUCGUAGUUUCGUUGAUCGUAAAUGUUCAAUUUCAUGUUCCUGUUUGUAUCUAUUUUGGACAAUGUUCUCAAAUCCGUCGAAGGGCGUCGUCACCAUCGAGGCAUGCAACCUGCCGCGCGUGCAUCACCUCUUCUACGUACUCGGCAAGCUUGCGGCCUUCUUCGGCGACACCAACCAUAGGCUGGCCACAUACAUCAAGGCUGGAGUUGUUGUGGCGGUUAUCGGAGUCCACACACACGUUCAAGGGAGGGACGAGAAGGACAAACGACUCCUUGAGGUUGAGGUGGGGACUGCCGUCGUGCUGGCCGCAACCAGGUAGACCAUGAGGCGGGAGGGAUGGUGCUCCCUAAGUCCUCGGGGCUGUUGUUGACACCAUUGCCGUGUUUGAGACCAGCUGCCUCAACGUCUUCCAGUGAGCCCGAGCCCCUGACUCUGGUCUUCCUCCAUGCAGUCCUGGCGGGCAACAGAACAAAGCUUGGUGUUCAACCUAUUUCCUGGAUCAACUUGAUUCGAUCAAAGCCUUAAGGUCAGGUAAAGGAGAAUGGGAUUUGUGUUCCUAACAUGGUCGUGGUCGCUGCUAACGCCUUCGUGCCGGAGCGCGGCGACAAGGAGGCCAUCGGGAUCGCCACGGUCUUGGGGUCCUUGCAACCGCAACCAAGCGCGAACCCAAUGCCGCCGAACCGCUUCAGCGCCACCACCAUUCAACGCAAUCACCAUGGCACUGUUCUAUGUGUUAUGAGUAGUUAUUAAUUCUUAAUCAUAUUUUAUGUAGCCAACCAAACAACAUGCACUAAUAUGAGCACAAUCAAUGCAAGCAAUAAAAUAUAGUACAUAGAGGAGUUGCUACGAUGCAGAAAGAGAGGAUGCAGGCAAUCCAUCAACAUGUAUAUAUUCGAUUUUGUUUGCAUAUGUUCAACCAGACCAAAAUGAGACAACCAUACAAAUGAAAAAAAAACGAUACAAGUAACCAACACAACUUUUAUGGCUUCGCGUGUACCAGUUUACAGAACCAUUCAACUGCAAGCAUCGCAUAUGUGACAAAACGAGCAACUAAGAGCAUCUACAGUCGGACCCCUCAAACCAUCCUCAAACGCCGGGCAGGCCGCCCGGUCAUGAAAAUGCGACCCAGACGGACCUCUCAAACCGACCUCAAACGCCCGGGCUGACCCGCACCCCCCCAUUUCCAGCCCAAAUAUGGGGCGUAUAUUGGGGGAAUCCGGUCGCGUCCGGGCGCGGCCGCCACAUCGGCCUGAUGGCUUGGCCCCACGCAGACUCGUGGGAAACCCGAUGGUCUGACGGGUGCCUCGGCUGUCGACGCGGUGUGAACGCCGUGUGGCACCGCUCCAGCUCCCCACACGAGGUCGGGGCCGACUAUUUAAGCCGGCCGGCGUCCCCAGCCCUAGCUCAUCCGCCUCCUCCCUCUCUCCGCCGCCACCCAAGCUGCUUCUCAUCUCGCAUUUCCCUCUCCGUCGGGAUGGUCCGGUGGCUCAUCACCACCUACACGCAGCUCACUCCAGAGCGGCGCAUGCAAAUCGAGGCGAAGAUCCAGGCUCGCCGCGCCGCCCGCGUCAUUGUGGGUCUCCCUCCGGACUCGUCGGAGACGGAGAAGGAUGAGGAGAGGGAGGAGGAGGAGGACGAGGAUGAGCAGCAGCAGGAUGAGGAGCAGUCGGAGGCCAUGGAGGAGGGCGACCCGGAGGAGAAGGCUCUCGGCUUGAGCAUGGUGGAGGCGGAGACGGAGUUCGCCAUCGCCCAAUCGAAGGAGAUGGCGGAGCAGCGCACCAUCCUGGAUUCCAUUCGGAAUGAGGCCGAGGUGGAGUCCAACAGCCGACUCAUCCGAUAGAGGCAGACGGAGGCCGACGCCCUCUUCAAUGAGCUAGAGCUGGAGAUCGAGGCAGAGGAGGCCGUAUGAGAGCAGCUGGAGGCGCCGGAGGGGGCGGAGCUGUGGCAGGCUGCAAUUUAUCCGCUAGAGUACAUGCAAAUCAUGGACAUCUAUGACGAAGAGUAGAUAUGUUAUAUGUAGUACGUAUGUUUUAUAUUUUUUUUGGAAAAGGAGGUUCGAACCCCCGGCCUCUGCAUCAAUCGAUGCAUACGACCAUCUUUAUUAAUUAUUCAACAUAGGUCUAACAAGAACAUACAUCAAACCAUCUGAAGCCACUACUCACACCUACGAAACUCUAUAAUGUGGAGUGCUCACACUCUCCAUAUCUAAAACCGGUGCCGUCACCGAUCCAUCCACAUAACGUACCGGAACCCACACCCGGCGCAUCACACCUAAAGCGUACACCACAUGCACACGUUUUAGACGCUGCCAUCAUCAUCAGGCCACUGACCCAUCUUCAGGAGAGAGAUCUGUAUCAUCCUUGCCAGUCCGUCCAUCCGUCGACGUCACCACAGCUCGUCAGUCCAUAUGCGAAGAUUCUGAAAGAUCUAUCGUGCGUAGGACCUGCCGACCAGGCAUGACACAACGUAGCACCUGUCGGCCAGGCAUGACUUGACAUCCGAAAGCUCCGUGCAAGAUGAUCGACGCCACCACGGCGCCAAAUAGCGCCACCGCCCAGCGCUCAUUCGUCCAGACAUGAAGAUUCUGGAAAAACUAUCGUGCGUAGCACCUACCAGCCAGGCAUGACUCAGCAUAGUACCUGUCGGCCAGGCAUGACUUGACAGUUCCACCAUAUCUUCGGGCCAUACGAAGCCGCUCCAUCUCCUGCCUCUGUCAUCCAACGUUGCUCCACAAACGAUGCUCCCAAGAGAGAAACGGCACCGCAGUACCGCCAUCGUUCGAUCUGGAAAGUCAGAUCUCAGGGUUUCCCCCGAAGCAGUGCCCACCACCAGCAACCGUCCAGGACCCACAUAGUGCCCAUCACCACUCAGCCCUCGAGGCGACGCCUUCAGGAAGGUCACGACGUCAAGGACGCCGCCGCCCACUGGAGUUAGGGUUUUCAUCCGAGAGGCAGUGAGGUAGGAAGUGUAGUAACAGACGUAGACCGACGUCUCCAGGAAGAACAACCGCGCCCUUGAGCGUCGUCGUCGGCGCGGCCUCCCAGGGCCGACCAGUGGGUUUCCCCUUAUCUGAAUCUCCUCCACCAGCUUCAUCCGCGGCCAUGCCGGCAACGCCAGAAAACCGCAGGAGAGAAGCACACCGUGGGUAUCUGGAUCAAUGAAGAUCUAAUCUGAAUAGUGGCGAGUACCACCACCCUAUGCUGGCCGACGACGUCCGGGCGCCGGAUCUGACCCGAACUCGACGACGCACGCGACCACCAUGUCUUGCCCCUCCCGCACCCGCCACACCGCGCCGCAAGAAUGAACCCCCAACCCUCGAUGCGCUCCGCACGCCGCCGCUAGGAUCUACAUGUCGCGCCGCCACACCGCGCGCUAGUCCGGCGCCUCGUCACGAACGGCCGUCCCGCGCCAGCCAUGUCGCGUGAAGGGGAGAUGAUCCCCGCCGCCGCCCUGCCAGCCAGGCUUCGUCCGACGGCGCUGGUGGCAGCGGCGAGGAUGAAGGAGGAGCGAGGAAGGAUCGGCGGCUGCGGCUAGGGUUACCCGUGGGUGACGGGAGGGGGCGACGGGAGGAGCAUGUAUGUUUUAUAUAUUACAUGUUUUUGUAUGUAUUUGAUAUUUAUAAUUUAAGAUAUCUGAAUGUAACGCGAAUGCGUCCGGACACAUUCGUGAGUGUUUGAAGGAUUGGAUUUAUAAGGUUGGGGUGUAGAUCCUCUACCCCGGUCGGAACUGACAUGGACGACGCACCACCAGACCAGGUUGUUGGGUUGGGCGGGGAGGAACGCCUCUCCCCGGCUGGGUGGAAUGGCGUUCACGGCAAGCACCAGCAAAGGGACGUUUGGAGGUGAGAAAUGAUUAGAGCGUAUGGGAAAAUGCAUGUUUACCACGCCGGCGUCGACACAUGAUCCAUCUACUGCCUAGAAGCUACCACUGAUAUCUACUCCCUUCCUUCCAUAAUAUAAGUCUUUUUAGAGAUUCUACUAGAAGACUACGUACGGAUAUAUAUGGACAUACUUUAGAGUGUAGAUUCACUCAUUUUGCUCUGUAUGUAGUCCCCUAGUGAAAUCGCUUAAAAGACUUAUAUUUAGGAACGGAGGGAGUAUAUACUACUACCUCGAUCGUGUGGGUGCAACACACUCAUCAUUGCCUGGUUAGAGCAACUUAGCACACACUGUAAAGGUACACUAACUGUAAAUUUCCAACGAGUAUAUGAGUUUGGGGCUCUUUUAAUCAUAUUAGACCCCAUAUAGUCGGGCCGUUCCAUAAUUAUUUUGCAGUGGUCCACAAACCCACCUCCCGCACGGUAUAUAUGCGGCUUCGAAAGGUCGAUGUGGAUCGAAACCCUAUCCCGUCGUCGUCACGAUUCCUCAUUUUUCACCUCUAUUUUUCACCAUUGGUGUCUAAAAUCCCUCGCCGCGCCCACCGAUGUGCGGGAUGUGGAGCUCCAGCCGGCGGAUGCAGACGCCUUCGAGGGCGCCAUUCUCGCACGUAGUUCAUGGGAGGAGGAAGAGGAGCUGCAGCGCUGCCAGCGGGAGGAGGAAAUCAACGCCGUGCUCUACGAGCAGGGCCUUGCGAAGGCCAUCGCGUCCGGCGAGAAGGAGGAGGAGUGGCGCCGCGAGAAGAAAAAGCAGGAGAAGAUCUACGUCGGCCACACCUCCAACGAGGAUUGAGCGCCACCGCUGGACUCCGGUGAGCUCGAUUAGGUCAGCUACCACACCCGAUGAGCUCUGGCGAGCUCGAUUUUGUUUAGUUUUAGGGUAGGGUAGUGUCCGGCGAGCUUUUUAUGUAAAGAUGAUAUGCCAUGUACGGAUGAUCGUUCUCACUAUUGCGUUUAUUUCUCGUGCAAAACUAGUUUUUUAAAUUUUACAGAUUCUGUUUUGCCGUGGAACUUUUGAGCCCGUAUACACCUGCUGCGCGAACUGUAAACCCACGUUUCAAUUCCACGGUUUAGAGUGUCUGCUAGAGUUGCUCUUAAAUUCAUCCAAAAAAAAUUGCAGGUGCAGGACACGCACACGUGGAUCCUUUCCGCAAGCGUAAAUCUGGGUCGUGUUUCAAACAGAUAUUUCUACGAAAAUUGGCUGGAAACUAUAUACAUAUUCUUAACCGUCAAAAUGUGACAUAAUAUACAUAAUUAUGUUGUACAAAUACUUCGGCACACCGUUGUUAUAUGUCUUUAUGUGUUUUAAACUUACCCUAUGAGAAGGCAUUAGCUGUCAUAACAACAUAACAAGUAUGAUAUAAAAUCCAAGAGUACUACAUCAUAAUGGUACACCAUAUCGACCAAGAAUUAAGAAGGUGGACAUGCAUAAUAAAUAAACCAUUACAAUUACAUUGUUGGACCCGCACUUGUUCUUAUUUUAUCUAAUAUUUUUCUUAGUGGCACCGUAUUAGAUCUUUUUUCUGAAGUUACGUUCUACGAAUUUUGGCUUUCAUUCUUUUCCAUCAUAUUUCCCUUUAACUCUUCAGCUUUUAGGUCUGAAACUUCCCAGGAAUAAUUAUGCCAAGUUUUGUGCUUGAAAUUGCACAAAAACUUUGGAGCUUGACCUUCUUAUACUUUGGAGCUUGACCUUCUUAAUAAAUAUGCAUGUAAUCUUCAUGCUUCUAACGUACCCACUUGUCAUCGUUGUCUAGUUGCGAUGGAUACCUAAUACUAUGAAUGGAUCAUCAUUUCUCCUUAUAGACCAGGCUUAUAACAUUAAUGUCAUGGGUGCAACUAAUUUUAUUUAUGGCCUCUUCCAUUCAUAUGAUCCCUCGCAUUACCCACCUCGCGUUAAUUUUUUUGUUUCCCACGCGCAUCUAUUUUUUUCUUGGAUAUGAUGAUAAAUUUUGACCAAAGCAACAAUUGACUCGAAAUUUUGAUGACAUCCCCAAUGUGGACCUUAUAAUAAAUAGAGCAUGACAAUUUAAUACUUAUUUAUAACUUACUUUACCACACUACAAUACUAUCUAGUACUCCAGAUGUAAACAAGUAUAAGACGUUUUAAAGACUCUAAAAUAUCUUAUAUUUGUUUACAAAGGGAGUAUUUUUUUUUGGUUACUUUGCACAAUAAUCAACCUUUGUUUAAUAUUACCAUUAUUUGCAUUAUUAUACCAUUCUAACAUCGAUCACUACAACAUACAGUUGAAUUGUGCUAGAUUCAAAUUGUGCACUAUAACAAACGUUAUUCACGAGACACAUGUGCCUUAAAAAGAUCUUUAAACCAACUUAUUUAAUACUCCCUUCGUAUCAAAAUAAAUGGUAAAUUAAAAUUUGAGUCACUUAUUUUGAGAUAGAGGGAGUAUAUCAUAAUAAUGAUAAAUUAAAAGUUGCAUGACACCACAUGUGAAUUGGUGGCAGUCACAUGAGUGAAUUGUAUAUAUAAUUGUGUGUGCACUAACACAUACUUCAUAUCCUUGGAUAUCUUGGUACAAGUCUUUAAAUGAUAUGAUCUAGUGAUUUCUAGUGUACAUUUAUGUAUAGCUAAAUAGGAAACCGUAAGGGUGUGUGAGGUGGUCAUUAAGAGUUUAUUAUUGAAUUUAUUGGCAUCUUGCUUUAUGCAAAUGUGUAUGUUUGUGCGCACGCUUUUGCUACUUGGUGUUGAAGUAGCAAUGAAUAUAAAAAUGUUGUAGAUUCAGUGGAGCAGUGGUUCAAUGCCCUUUGCAGAUGCACCUCGGUGUGAACAACAAAAUAAUUUAAAAUAGUAGAAAAAUAUAUUUGUUUUUGAAUAUUUUGGCAUCCAAUAUGCUUGAAUGCGUGAUGUGUGUGAUUUUUUUUUGGGAUUUUGGACAUUCGAGGAAGUCAUGGCAAAAAAUAAUUGGUAUGCAUUAUGCUUUAGUUGACCCCUUUAUUUCCCCCAAUAAAAAAUUCCAUACCGUCCUUAUGUUGAUUGCUUAAGGAAAAGCAAGAGAAGAGGAAUAUCUCUCAUGUUCAUAGAAGGUGGCAUAAGUUGUUGAACACAUUAUUGGAAGGUAACAAGAGUUCUAUCCCUUUUCAUCACCUAAAGCAAAAAAAGCAUAUUGUUAAAAGGAAAGCCCACAUUGAAAUUAUAAAGCACUAUCUAGUAGAGCAGAAUCUUACGCAUAUUCACAACGCAUUCUGCCGCUGACACGGUUUUAAUGUUUGUUCAUUCUUAGGAUAUAGUCUCUCUCCCCCACCCCACCCACAUACGUACACACACAUGUUCUUUUUCUCAUGCAAGCAUCGAUAGAUGGCUAGGGUUACAGUUUGUCGGUUAGCAAGGGAUUCACCCAGAUUACCCGUUUUAAAGGAAGAGUGGGCUGGGCAGCCAUGACCCAAGGAAGAUUGUGUCCGAAGUCGACAAUGUACAAUGAUUGCAAAUGAUCGACCUAUAUCCAAGGAGGAACUAGUUAAGAGAAAGGGAACUAUGCAGGAGGGAGCUGGAGCCGACAAUAGCUUCGGUGGCACGCUGACACUAUCACACGUGUGCAAGUUAGUAAAAUAGAUCACAUAUAUUCCCCUUCUAUGGAAGAAUGAAGUUUUCUUUCGAGAUGGACUAUGAAUGUCCAUGGAAAAGGAAAACAAAGAGGCGUUGAGUCGGGGAGUGAGGUUAUUCGAACCUGUAGUAAGUGAGAUCGUUCACUUGACAUAUGCUUGACGUCAUGGAUCUACUAACAGCAGGACGAAGAAGGACCAGAUCAUGAGGAGCGAUUGUGAAGAGGCUCGUCAUGCUUACUGUUUUCUUUGGCUCCUGGUACUACUUCUCCGAAUUACCUUUGGGUAUUGUAAUAUAACAAAGUUUGAUCCCUAUUGCUUCUGCUUGCUCAAGGUAAAAUUAUUUGAUACCUAGUUUACGCAUCAAUUUUUUUAGUAUUUUGUCCUUUUGUACUAACAUACCGACACAACUUCAAUAACAGGCAAGGCAUCGGUUCUCGAUUUUUUUUUAUCGAACCACCGGCCCGGCUCUGUUUUAGAAACUAUGCUAAGUGGGGUUGCUUUCGGCUUGAAUGAUUAAGACGUCAUCUCCAACGGUACUUUUUUUAUAUCUUGUUUUAUACUUCAUCUAUCCGAAAAUAUUUAACGAAAGAAUGAACGUAUUUAGAUGUAUAUUAGCUCUAGAUAUAUUUAUUUUUAUUCAUUUUUUAGAAAAGUAUUUACGAACAGAGGAAGUGUCUUUCUAGUUUGUCAGGUGUUUGUAAUGGCUACAAAGACAUUUUGGUUUCGUUAACGAAAUCCGACAACAAAAAACAUACCCACCCAUCCUCUAGAUCUCUGAAUGCUUUCAUGAUGCCUUUGGUACGAAACCUUUUGCUAAGUUACAAGGGGCGGGAAUGGGAGUGACUAUUGCUCAAUCAACUCAGGAACUGGCUAGUCAUUUCCGAGCCAAAUUCAGCUGCUCAUAGUCGUGAGAUGUGAUAAAAAAUUUCGAACUCAUACUAGCAGCACCAAAAUAGCGAAGCCAAGGUUGCAAAUGUGUAGCAUCACGCCGAGACCGAGCGCAUCUGAAGGUGGAUCCAGAUCAAAUCAAAGAAAACAAAAAUAAAAAAUCUAGUACGUAGCAUAUUCCGAACGAUGAUGGGCCGGGAGGAAACGGCACGGCACGACACAAGACACCUAGUCUCUGUGAAUGUAGUACGAUCAAGGGACGGAUCGGCAGCUGCAGUUUGUAGGGAUGGAUUGGGAAACUACCUCGGCAACUCUUCAUUGGUGGUUGCGAGAGUCACCAAUCCUGCUACAUUGAAAGCUUUAGCGUGCGGAGAAGCUUUGGCCCGGGCAGAGGAUCUGCUUCUACACCACUUCAUCAUCUCAUCGGACUUCAAACAAGUUGUGAAAGAUAUUGCUAAAGCAAAUCAGGACCGUUAUGGGGCAAUCACCACAGAGAUCAAACGGCGAGCGUCUAUUUUUCAUUGUAGUUUUAUUUUUGAAAGCCGAAAUGUUAACCACAUGACUUAGCUAAGUACUCUUGCUCUUUCGGACCGGGACGUCAUGUAUGGUUGGCAAACUCCCAUGAUCCGAUUUGUAUCCCACCUCAUGUGGAUUAUGAUCAAUAAAGCUUAGCUUUCCUUUAAAAAAAAAGCUACAGCGCGUCGUAUUGUAUUUGUAACGUACGCGGCGGUACCCGCCAGUACGCGCGUACGUACGUAUGAUGGGAGAGAUGGCAAGCGGAGGGUGGGGAGGCAUGGCGUCCCCACCGGGAGUAGCAAGCGCAAGUGUGCGGGCAAGCGCCGCUCACCAGCACAGCCGCUUCCGUCGACGUCGAUCGACAGUGUCGGAUGGGUGGCCCGGCUGCAUACGCUUUGCCGCGACGGCAGCAAAACCGUGCGCCCCCGCCCGGUCCGGGCCAGCGCCAGCCAGUGCCGGUGCGCGGUGGCGUCACGGCUGCGGCGACCGCCGGCGCGGCGCGAGGCGGGGGACAUGGCAUCGGCAUCGGCAUCGGUACUUGACCGGGCUGGUUGUUGUUGACAGAGUUAAGGGUGGGCGUCGCCGGCACACCUCGCCUUACCGGCUUCGGCAACCUCCCGCGCCAUCUCCAUCACCGUGACAUCCUGCCAUGCCAUGGCCCCGUGCGUGCGCCGCUGACAUUUUCAACGCGCUGCCGGCUCGCUUGCGUGCGUCCGCCGGCAAGCUGGUGCAACUUGCAGAGCGUCCCGUCGGUCAAUCUCGCCGGUCAAUCGCCGUGGCGGCAUGGUCCGCACGUCGCCAGUCUAGAACGGCAUGCCCAAGCGCCGCGUAGGACUCGACGGACGGACGGACGACGUGGGAGAGAGACUGCGCGUGCGUGCUCUGUCUGCUGUGGCACGGCCACAAAUGUAUGUGCAAUCCCUUGCAUUUGAUCAAAGAGAUACGACACGAGGCCAACAUUUUGCAGCAAUUUUCUCACGGUUUUCCUUUCAUUUACUUGAACCGGAUUCCACAUUUCCAAAAGGGUGCAAAAUGCAAAGUAUCCUCACAUGGGGGCUCCAUCCAUCUUUGACGACGCACACACGCAGCAGCACUGUACACUGUACCUGUACACCACAGCUCAUCCAGACCCUGUAUCUGUAUGGCUGUAUGUACGUACGUAUGUAUCUAGCCCUGUACUGUACUGUACUGCACCUGACUCUGUAUACAGUUGGACACGAACGCUGUACUUACUGCUAGUACUACUAGUAACGGCGGUUGGUGAACGGCGAACGGCUACUUCCCACUGCGCGGCGCCUUGCCGUUCCCGGCGAGCCCCGCCGCGAUGAAGCUGCCCAGCUCGGCGUUGCGGAGCCGCAGCGCCGCGCGGAACACGCCGUUGACGGCGUCCGACACCCGCUCCAGCCGCGCCGCCAGCUCCUCCGUCCGCUUCUCCACCUCCUGCGUCGCCGCGCGCAGCGCCGCCUCGUCCGGGGUGGUGUUUUCGCCGCCGGUGUCGAGGACCGCGGCGAGCUUGCCGACGGCCUCGUCCGCGGCGUCGAUCUCGUUGCUGGUGGCGGAUUUGGCGAGGACGGAGAGCUGAGUGGACACUGCGUUGAAGGAUUCGGCCCACGGGACGUCGCCGGAGACCUGGGGGAAGGUGGAGUUGAUGGUGCUGGUGGCGCCGAGGAUGGUGGCCGCGGCUGUCGCGGCGAGGGAGGACACGGCGUUGACGGCGAGGACGACGCGCGCGGCGGCGGUGAGCUGGUGGCCGCGGGCGCCGCGGGGCGGGUCGACGAAAGGGAUGGAAGGGAGCGCCGGCAGGGCACGGCCGUCGCGGUCGGCNNNNNNNNNNNNNNNNNNNNNNNNNNNNNNNNNNNNNNNNNNNNNNNNNNNNNNNNNNNNNNNNNNNNNNNNNNNNNNNNNNNNNNNNNNNNNNNNNNNNAAUUAGAAGACGUCUAACUUGUUUUUGCAGGGUAUGCUUGUGAUGUGAUAUGGCCAACGAUGUGAUGUGAUAUAUUGGAUGUAUGAGAUGAUCAUGUUGUAAUAGAUAAUAUCGACUUGCACGUCGAUGGUACGGCAACCGGCAGGAGCCAUAGGGUUGUCUUUAUACUAACGUUUGUGCUUGCAGAUACGUUUACUAUUUUGCUAGGAUGUAGCUUUAGUAGUAAUAGCGUGAGUAGCACGACAGCCCCGAUGGCGACACGUUGAUGGAGAUCAUGGUGCGGCGCCGGUGACAAGAAGAUCGUGCCCGUGCUUUGGUGAUGGAGAUCAAGGAGCACGUGAUGCUGGCCAUAUCAUGUCACUUAUGAAUUGCAUGUGAUGNNNNNNNNNNAACUAACGUUUGUGCUUGCAGAUGCGUUUACUAUAUUGCUAGGACGUAGCUUUAGUAGUAAUAGCAUGAGUAGCACGACAACCCCCGAUGGCGACACGUUGAUGGAGAUCAUGAUGAUGGAGAUCAUGGUGUGACGCCGGUGACAAGAAGAUCAUGCCGGUGCUUUGGUGAUGGAGAUCAAGAAGCACAUGAUGAUGUGAUGGAGAUCAAGAAGCACGUGAUGCUGGCCAUAUCAUGUCACUUAUGAAUUGCAUGUGAUGUUAAUCCUUUUAUGCACCUUAUUUUGCUUAGAACGACGGUAGCAUUAUGAGGUGAUCUCUCGCUAAAAUCUCAAGACGAAAUUGUGUUCUCCCCAACUGUGCACCGUUGCUACAGUUCGUCGUUUCGAGACACCACGUGAUGAUCGGGUGUGAUAGACUCAACGUUCACAUACAACGGGUGCAAAACAGUUGCGCACGCGGAACACUCGGGUUAAGCUUGACGAGCCUAGCAUGUGCAGACAUGGCCUCGGAACACAUGAGACCGAAAGGUCGANNNNNNNNNNAUGAUGAUGGCCAUAUCAUGUCACUUAUGAAUUGCAUGUGAUGUUAAUCCUUUAUGCACCUUAUCUUGCAUAGAACGACGGUAGCAUUAUGAGGUGAUCUCUUACUAAAAUUUCAAGACGAAAUUGUGUUCUCCCCGACAGUGCACCGUUGCGAGAGUUCUUUGUUUCGAGACACCACGUGAUGAUCGGGUGUGAUAGACUCAACGUUCACNNNNNNNNNNNNNNNNNNNNNNNNNNNNNNNNNNNNNNNNNNNNNNNNNNNNNNNNNNNNNNNNNNNNNNNNNNNNNNNNNNNNNNNNNNNNNNNNNNNNCCGUGAGAUUGUGCAACUCCCGGAUACCGUAGGAGUGCUUUGGGUGUAUCAAACGUCACAACGUAACUGGGUGACUAUAAAGGUGCACUACGGGUACCUCCGAAAGUGUCUGUUGGGUUGGCACGAAUCGAGAUCGGGAUUUGUCACUCCGUGUGACGGAGAGGUAUCUCUGGGCCCACUCGGUAGAACAUCAUCAUGAGCUCAAUGUGACUAAGGAGUUAGUCACACGAUGACGUGGUACGGAACGAGUAAAGAGACUUACCGGUAACGAGAUUGAACAAGGUAUAGGUAUACCGACGAUCGAAUCUCGGGCAAGUUCUAUACCGACACACAAAGGGAAUCGUGUACGGGAUUGAUUGAAUCCUUGACAUCGUGGUUCAUCCAAUGAGAUCAUCGUGGAGCAAGUGGGAGCCACCAUGGGUAUCCAGACCCCGCUGAUGGUUACUGGCCAGAGAGGUGUCUCGGUCAUGUCUGCCUGUCUCCCGAACCCGUUGGGUCUACACACUUAAGGUUCGAUGACGCUAGGGUUAGAGGGAAUUGUUAUACGAGGUUACCGAAAGUUGUUCGGAGUCCCAGAUGAUAUCCCGGACGUCACGAGGAGCUCCGGAAUGGUCCGGAGGUAAAGAUUGAUAUAUAGGACGGAUGGUUUCGGAUACCGGAAGUGUUUCGGGCAUCACCGGUAACGUACCGGGACCACCGGAGGUGGCCCCGGGGGACCACCGAAGGGGGGCAACGACCCCGGGACUUAAGGUGGGCCAAGUGGGGGUGGGAACCAGCCCCUAGGUGGGCUGGUGCGCCUCCCCAGUCAGCCCAUAGCGCAAGGGAGAGAAAAGGGGGGGCAAACCCUAGGCCANNNNNNNNNNNNNNNNNNNNNNNNNNNNNNNNNNNNNNNNNNNNNNNNNNNNNNNNNNNNNNNNNNNNNNNNNNNNNNNNNNNNNNNNNNNNNNNNNNNNNNNNNNNNNNNNNNNNNNNNNNNNNNNNNNNNNNNNNNNNNNNNNNNNNNNNNNUGCCGCACCUCCCAUCUGGGGGGGCUGCCGCACCCCCUAGGGUGGGAACCCUAGGGGUGGCACCCCCUCUCCCCUCCCCCUAUNNNNNNNNNNNNNNNNNNNNNNNNNNNNNNNNNNNNNNNNNNNNNNNNNNNNNNNNNNNNNNNNNNNNNNNNNNNNNNNNNNNNNNNNNNNNNNNNNNNNUUCUUCUUCUACUUCUACUUCUCCUCUUCUCUUCUUCUACUUCUCCUCUCCUCCUCUUCUAAUUUUUUCUCUUCUUCUACUUCUCCUCUUCUUCUAUUUUUCCUCUUCUUCUCCUCUCCUCCUCUUCUUAUUCUCCUUUUUCUUCUUUUCUUCUCCUCCUCUUCUUAUUUUCCUUUUUCCUAAUUCUAAAUAUUACUAACCCUAAUAAUAUAAUAACAAUAGGAAUUAAAUGAAAAAAAAAUCUUUUUCUUCUUUUCUUCCCUUUUUCUUCCUUUCUUCUCCUUUUUCUUCUUUUCUUCUCCUUUUUCUUCUUUUCUUCUACUAGCCGGAGUGUUGGCGAGGAGGGGCGGGGGGCUUACCGGCUAGAGGUGUCGACAGCGCGGCGACGAGGAGGACGGCAGGCGGCGAGGAGGACGGCGCGACGGCGAGGAGGACGGCGCGGCGGCGAGGAGGACGACAGGCGGCGGCAAGCAGGACGGCGGGCAGCCUGACGGCGUCGUCGAGUUCGUCGUUGUGCCGCGUCGGGUAGGAGAACGAGAGAAAGAAGAAGAGAAAUGGACGAUUUGGGUUGGAAAUUUUCUAAGUCCCGCUUAUAUAGGUGGAUCUUUAGUCCCGGUUCGGGGCUCGAUCCGGGACUAAAGACCCCCUUUAGUCCCGGGUGGAGCCACGACCCGGGACUAAAGGCCCUUUUUCGGCAAACCAAAAGGCGGGAAGCAGGGGGUCUUUAGUCCCGGGGCGUGGCUGCACCCGGGACUAAAGGGGUCUUUAGUCCCGAGGCGUGGCUCCAUCCGGGACUAAAGCCCCUCCUCGACUGCACGAUAAGUUUAGUCCCACCUCGCCCAGCGAGGGGGACUAACACUUGUUUAUAAGCCCCGUCGCAGCUUCUUCAUCGAGCUCCUCUCUAAAGCAGGCUUACGGGCCUAAACUCACUGAAAAUUGAAACUAUAUUCAAAAUUGUAGAGAAAAUUCAAUCUAAAUUCAAAUGAGAAUUUAGUUCGAAUUUUCUCUAUGAUUUCGAAUAUAGUUUCAAUUUUUUUCUAUUUUCAUAAUUAAUAAUUUUGACUAUCCAAACUAUUAUCUANNNNNNNNNNGUAUUAAAAAUUCUUUUUGCAUAUUUGAGAAUUUGACAAAACUAUGGUAAUGAAAAGUGUUUGAAAUUGAAUAAAUAAUGCAAAACUAUUUUCUAUUUUCAUAAUUAAUAAUUUUGACUAUCCAAACUAUUAUCUAUUUUGUUAUUUUCAAUUAAAAACUAUGUUUAUUAAAAAUUAUUUUUGCAUAUUUGAGAAUUUGACAAAACUAUGAUAAUGAAAAGGGUUUUGAAAUUGAAUAAAUAAUGGAAAACAAUUUUCUGUUUUCAUAAUUAAUAAUUUUGACUGUCCAAACUAUUAUCUAUUUUGUUAUUUUCAAUUAAAAACUAUGUUCAUUAAAAAUUCUUUUUGCAUAUUUGAGAAUUUGACAAAACUAUGAUAAUGAAAAGUGUUUGAAAUUGAAUAAAUAAUGCAAAACUAUUUUCUAAUUUCAUAAUUAAUAAUUUCGACAAAAAACUGGAUGCACUUCGUGUACAAAACGGACAAUCUCUGUCGAAGUAUCAGGGUUUCGAACGAGAACUCAUCUCUUACAAAGGGAUUUCAUUUUUUUGAAUUUAUUUGAACUCCAUACUUUUUGUGUGUUCAAAAUGCACCAUUCUAAGGCACAUCACAAUAUUUCAACAAUUUCUGACUUCAUUUGGUAUUCUUCGUGCAUUUACUUAUUAUUAUUUUUGAGCUAGUUGACCCUGAAAUUGAAAAGCACUACAAAUGAACUANNNNNNNNNNAAAAGGCACAUCACAAAAUUUCAACAAUUUCUGACUUCAUUUGGUAUAUUUCGUGCAUUUACUUAUUUUUUUGAGCUAGUUGACCCUGAAAUUGAAAAGCACUACAAAUGAACNNNNNNNNNNNNNNNNNNNNNNNNNNNNNNNNNNNNNNNNNNNNNNNNNNNNNNNNNNNNNNNNNNNNNNNNNNNNNNNNNNNNNNNNNNNNNNNNNNNNUUCCUCGCCGGAGAAGAAGCAGCAGCAGUAAUAGUAGUAUGGGAGAGAAGGGCGAAGAUGGAUGGAUGAAUGCGUUGGUUGGGUUGGAAUUGGGCGCGACGCGCGGCGGUAUAUAUACAGGGUGGGAGGUGAAGAGGAAAAUAAAUGCGGGGGAAAUCCUGCGAGAUCUCGAAAGGGAUCCUAGGCUCGGGGAUCGAGUGAAACCCAGCCCCCCCGGUGGGGCCCCGGCCCGAUCCGGGCGCGGAUCCGCGGGCCCCGCGGCCCAGCCCGGGAGAUCCCCGCCGGGAUUUUCCUGCCCCGCCCCGCCCCCCUCGCUUUCGCUUCCCUCCCUCCCUCCCUCCCUGCUCACGCACACACCGUAUGCAUGCAUGCGUAUCUCCUUCCCUUUCUUUUUCUCUUGGGCUGUGCUGUGGGCAAGUUGGGAGAUCUGCAUGCAUGGGGCACGCACGCACGCACGCACGCACAAACUGCAUCACUUUUUUUUUCUGAUGCUGCUGCUGCAUCCGGUUGGCUAGGAUUUGAUUUGGUGUUUGUGAUGAAGGGCAGCAGGUGAUCCGUACCGGGUGGGGCUCGGGGAUUUGCUUGGAAAAUUCCGAUCUUUUUGGGUGAGCGGCAGGCAAGGGAUACGUCGGUCCUGAUAUCGGAGAUGGGAUUCGUGAGAUCAUCUCCGGCCGGNNNNNNNNNNNNNNNNNNNNNNNNNNNNNNNNNNNNNNNNNNNNNNNNNNNNNNNNNNNNNNNNNNNNNNNNNNNNNNNNNNNNNNNNNNNNNNNNNNNNACCGCCCCCAAGACCAUCGCCGACUUCUUCGUCCGCCCCGCCAAGCGCCUCCGCUCCGGCGCAGCCGGCACCGCCGCCGCCACCGUCGUCGUCCCCGCCGCCUCCCUCUCCCCCUCCUCCGACCACUCCCCGCUCUCGCCGGAGCAGCGCCGCAGGGCCGACACCAACCUCGCGCUCGCCCGCGCGCGCCGCAACCUCCGCCUCGCCGAGUCCAAAGGUACCCCCCUCUCCCUCCAAAGUCCAAACCCCCCGUUCUCCCGACCCUGGUUAGGGUUCUAAUAACUGUACCGUUGGGGUUUCGCAUCUAGCGGCCGGCGGCGCCGCGAAGCUGGAGGAGCUGCUCGUGGAGGAGACGUGGCUGGAGGCGCUGUCCGGGGAGCUGCGCAAGCCCUACGCGCUCGACCUCUGCCGCUUCGUCGCCCACGAGCGCCUGCACGCCAAGGUGCCCGUCUACCCGCCGCCCCACCUCGUCUUCCACGCGCUCCACACCACCCCCUUCCACGACGUCAAAGCCGUCAUCAUCGGCCAGGUACCCAAAUACCAAGUCACUGAAGUUCACGAAUCCUGUACUUGUUCACCUGCUGCUUCACUGUGAAGAAAUGCGCGACAGUUUCGCUAAUUUAACUUCAUUCUGAGGAUCAUAUAGCGCGUAUUUAUGUAAAGAUUUUGCCAUUUGGUCUGACUUUGGCCUGGAAUUUCUUUUUGUUACAAUGCUGCUUGCUGUAUGGAGUGAGGCCAUCAAAUUGAAAUAUGGUUAAAAAAAAUUGACAAUGCCGUAUGCAGAAAUGGAAAUUGUUGCUUCUGUUCUGCAUAUUCAUAUUAUGCUAGAAUAACUGAUCUGUAGUUACAGUGCUGCCUGCUGUAUGGAGUAAUGACAUUAAACUGAAACAUGGAUAGUAUAAUUUGGCAGUGCCAUAUGCAGGGACAGGAACUGUUGCUGCUGUUCUGCAUUUUCAUAUUAUCACGCCAGAAUAACUGGUUUGAGGCUAUUUUAUUUGUGUGAUCAUAUUGUGGUGUCUGGCAUAUUUGCCACAACACUUUGUAGCCUGAAAAUAUGCCUGACAUAUAUAUGCCUUUCAUUCAGCUAUUAGUCGGUGAUCCUUAUUUGCUUGCUGUAUUUACCAUAUGGUCUUCAUUUGUCUUUGAACCUACUAUGCAUCUGUAUCAUGCAGUAAGUUUCUGAUUUCAGUGUUUACAGUCUAUUUUUUUUAUUUCUGCUUUAACAUAACGGAAUAACUAAUGGUGGCUGCCUAAUGAUGACAGACUAAGUUUCUGAUUUGUUUAUUGUAAAAGUGUAGAUUCAUUGGUAGCAAUUGUUUUUAGUGUCUCAUGUUGCAGAUUGUCUACUUUUCAGGAUCCAUACCAUGGUCCUGGUCAGGCCAUGGGAUUGUCGUUUUCAGUACCAGAGGGGAUCAAAAUUCCUUCCAGCUUACAAAACAUAUUUAAAGAGCUGCAUAAAGAUGUAGGGUGUACUAUACCAUCUCAUGGGAAUUUGGAAAGAUGGGCUGUGCAGGUAAAAUUGUUUGAUAAAACGCUAGAUUUGUUGAAGUGUAUAUUUGGAUUGUCUAGCCCUUUCCAUUAGUUCGGACUUUUGGUUGCACUGGUUAGUGCAUGAAGCUUAACANNNNNNNNNNNNNNNNNNNNNNNNNNNNNNNNNNNNNNNNNNNNNNNNNNNNNNNNNNNNNNNNNNNNNNNNNNNNNNNNNNNNNNNNNNNNNNNNNNNNAGAGUUCUCCGGCAGCGUGACGGCGCUCCGGAGGUUGGUGAUGACCUUGUCUCAGCAGGGCUCCGCCCGAGCUCCGCAGAAACGCGAUCUAGAGGAAAAACCGUGGAGGUAUGUGGUCGGGCUGCCGUGGAAAAGUCGUCUCAAAUCAGCCCUAAAACCUCCGUAUAUAUAGGUGGGAGGGAGGGGGCCUUUCCUUGGGGUCCAAGGACCCUCAAGGGGGUCGGCCGAGCCAAGGGGGAGGACUCUCCCCCCCCAAACCGAGUUGGACUAGGUUUGGUGGGAGGGAGUCCUCCUCCCUUCCCACCUCCUCCCUUUUUUUUUCCUCUUGAUUUUUCUUCUCUUGGCGCAUAGACCACUUGUGGGCUGUCCCACCAGCCCACUAAGGGUUGGUGUGUCUCCCCAAGGCCUAUGGGCUUCCCCGGGGUGGGUUGCCCCCCCCCCCNNNNNNNNNNCUGGUGUGUCUCCCCAAGGCCUAUGGGAUUCCCCGGGGUGGGUUGCCCCCCCCCCUGAACCCCCGGAACCCAUUCGUCAUUCCCGGUACAUUCCCGGUAAGUCUGAAAACCUUCCGGUAAUCAAAUGAGGUCAUCUUAUAUAUCAAUCUUCGUUUCCGGACCAUUCCGAAAACCCUCGUGACGUCCGUGAUCUCAUCCGGGACUCCGAACAACAUUCGGNNNNNNNNNNUUCCCGGUAACUCUGAAAACCUUCCGGUAAUCAAAUGAGGUCAUCCUAUAUAUCAAUCUUCGUUUCCGGACCAUUCCACCCUCGUGACGUCCGUGAUCUCAUCCGGGACUCCGAACAACAUUCGGUAACCAACCAUAUAACUCAAAUACGCAUNNNNNNNNNNNNNNNNNNNNNNNNNNNNNNNNNNNNNNNNNNNNNNNNNNNNNNNNNNNNNNNNNNNNNNNNNNNNNNNNNNNNNNNNNNNNNNNNNNNNUGGUAUGAGAGGCUUCAAUAGAGAUAAGUUGCUUUCAUAACAUGGUAUCAGAGUCUAAGGUCUUGAGUUCAAGUCCUGGCUUUCGCAAUUUAUCCAAAAAUUGGUGCCCCCCCUUGUCGACGUAUAGGCCUCUUGAGCCAUACCUCUGAGUCUAUCCACGUGUUGACUUUCCGCAUCACGUGUGAGAGGGGGUGUUGAAGUAUAUAUGUGGAUUGUCUAGCCCUUUCCAUCAGUUUGGACUUUUGGUUGCGUUGGCUAGUCCAUGAAGCUUAACAAGAGUAAAUAGUAUAUGCACUCAAACAACAUGUUUAUAUUCUAGUUUACCUUAAUAUUAAUCGCCCUUGCAAUACUAGGAUCGAUAUGUAUUAAUGUACCAUGAAACAAUGUGCAUAUUUUUACAUGUUACAACUGCGAAGGACUCAUGCAGUCUUGCAGCUGUUUAGCAGAGCGGAUAUCUACCAAGUCCGCAAAAUCAUGUGCCUUCACUCUAGAAGUCCACAAAAACAGUUUUGUGUAAUUUCACUACCAUUUAUAUUCUAUUUUUGGCCAAAUCUAUGCCAACAUGUCACUACAGUUAUCAACUAAACUAAGUAAUUUUACAUUUUCUUACCAUUUAUCCUAUAUAGGAUACCAGAGAAGCAAUUGGCUUGAUACACUAUAUUUUGUUCUAAAAAUUAAAAUCUACUUGAAUGGGCAACAAGGCCAUGAUGAACCUGAAACAAAGUAGCUUCAUGAGAAGAAAUAUACUAAUAUAGGAGUAGAAAACAAUGCCUGCUACUGCCUAUAGCCAAAUUUGUUCUCUUUCCUCAUUUCCCAGCAGCACACCAUAAGUUUUCUUUUAACUUUCUUUGGAGAUGUGUUUACUAACUCGAGAAAAAAAACAUUUAUCUUGCAGGGUAUUCUUAUGCUCAAUACCGUGCUAACAGGUAAGCCUGUUUUUCUCAUCAGGAUGAAACAUUUGUUGUUCGUUAGCUCUUAUUCGUGCAUACCGAUUUAAAUUACUUUCUGCACUUCAAUUUUGAUUACAGAAACUAUGUUAUCUUUUGUUCUAUUUAGCUGUACUUCACUGUAUUCUUGUAGUUGCAGCUGUAUUUUUCUUUUUUGUUGUGUUUGAUGUUAUUAGCUUACUUUAGCUUGGUGGCAAAUUGUGGACCCUUUUCUUUUUAGCAUUGUAGACCUAGAGUUGUCUUUGCAAGGAUAAGGGGUAUCUUGUGAAAUCUCUGACAGCUAUGUUAUGUGUGUGCCCGGUAAAAAAUCUUUAUUUUUUAUCAAAGCUUCCCAUGGCCUUAAUGCUGAAUACGAUUGUAGGACUUGUUUUACAGUGCCUCGUUUACUCCUGCUAGUGUGGAAGUAUGACCUUGAGAUUAUUGUAUGCUCCAAUUAUUGAUCUUUUCAACUUUUAGUUUUAGCAUUUGAAUUUAUCUCUUCAGAACUGUAAUGCUGCAAUACAUCAGAUAUUGUUUAGUUCUUAGAUGCAACUAGCUGACAGACCUAACCAGUAUCACAAUAUUCAUUGUUCAGUGUGAAUUCAUCAAUAGCUUACAAAGGUCUGUGUUGCAACAAAAAAAAGGAAAUUUCUACAGAAAAAGAGAUUUCAACUGUAGUUAUUUACCUCAAAGCAAAAUUUAGCAUGAUCUAUACCUAAAUCAUCAUGCUUUUUAGGAUCCAGCUGAAAAUACCGCAACACCAUUUUAAUAUAAUUGCUCAGAAGUACACAUAGGGAAAAGAAUAUAACGAUCGAAAAUGAUUAUAUAGAUUCUAGAGAGAACAAAUUAAUGUCAUAUACAGAGCACAUACUAGACACUACAAAGUCAUCACCUGCAAAACACUUUGAGUAGCACAAUCUGUACUGAGUGGCUUUAGGCAGAUAUCAGCCAAGGUGUCAGAUGCUGAACCUGGUCUAGUGUCGAAUUCUUCAGUUAGGUGUAGUGUGCCCAUAAACGCUUCGCUGGAUCCAACGGCCAUCAGCGCUCGUGUCAAUCCUCACUCGACGGGUGAGAUGUGUCGAAACAACUACUCCCUCCGUCCGGAAUUACUUAUCGCACAAAUGGAUAAAAAUGGAUGUAUCUAGAACUAAAAUACAUCUAGAUACAUCCAUUCUACAAGUAUUUCCGGACGGAGGGAGUACUAUUUACUUUCACCAUGGUCACUACUGAACCUACAUAACAGCCAGGUUGUGGCUGAGAUUGGGCAUGGAGAAUCAUUCUUCUUUCUGGCCAUUGGCCUAGAACAACACUUUACCCAUACACUAACUUUAAUACAGAUCUGGACCUCCUGAUUCGGCCAGUUCUUCCCCGAUAUUUCCCUCGAGUUGCACCCAUAUACUUAUCUGAUCUUGUUCAUAUAAUUGGGAUCUGACACAAGGAUAUUGUCGAUCCAGAAUAAUUGGCACGUACAUCAUCAAUCUUUUCAAUUAAAAAGAGACAUUAGAACCACUAAGUAGUUGCAGUGCAAAAUUUACAUGACUGGAUUCCAUACUUUUUUCUGAAUCUGAAAUAGCAAUUUGAAAUUGUUGUCAUUUGCUAUUGUAGGAGCUUCAGGCUGGUCAGAUGCGGUAGUGGCUAAUACAAGCCGCAGUCAAAAUAGUAACUAACAAAAAAAAACUCACUGCAAUAGUCACUUUAAAACGUAGAACACGACAAAGAAAGUUAGAUAAGAGGUUAAGAACAACGCAGCAAGCAUGUUGGUUGCUAUGCUGUAACUAAGUUGGGUAUAUAAUCUGCAACAAAUGUUCAUCUAGUUGAACAAAAGCAAAGCCAUGAGAAUUGAAAAGAUCUGCUCGAUCCUAUAAAAUGGAGCAAGAUGACUGUCAAAAUAUUGCUUUUCAUAGGCAGUCUGACUUCCAGGACUAACCCAAAGCUGCAAAAAGAAAACAAUCAAGUCAGAAAUCUGUGAAAUGUAUGGGAGUUAUAUCUUGCUAAAUAGCUUUUAUUUUUUUUCUGAGCAGUGAGGGAACACCAAGCCAACUCACAUGCGAAGAAAGGUUGGGAGCAGUUCACUGAUGCUGUCAUCAAGACAAUAUCACAAAAGAAAUCAGGAUUGGUCUUUAUUCUGUGGGGAAACUCAGCCCAAGCAAAGAUAAGGUGUGCUUACUUUCAUUUGGAAUUCCGCAGACUGUAAAACAGUCAUGCCGAAACAAAAAAUAGACUAUUGGGAGUACAUGCUUGUUAUCUCUAUGACCUUUAGCAAUCCAGACAUUCAUAGUACAUGCUUGUUCUCUUUUGCAGAUUGAUUGAUGAAACAAAACAUCACAUUCUAAAAUCCGCCCAUCCGUCAGGCCUGUCUGCAAACAGAGGAUUCUUUGGAUGCAGGUUUGUUUUCUUUUCAAUCUUUGUAAAUCUUUUUCGGUGUCUUUUUCCUGGGUAUGAAUGAAAUCUCAACUCCACCCGUCGAAGCUAAAAACUGAAAAGGAUGGAAAGAUUAGAGAGAAAUGAUAAAGAUUUCCCAGUUGCAUGUCGGUAUGCCACCAGGGGAGAUUUUGGGUGGCCACAAGAAUACAAAGGACGAUUACCACUGACAAUAUUGAAUUGCUAUAUUUAUCACCACUUGUUUGAGUGAGGCCAGGCAGUACGAAACCCCACUAAUGUCUCGCAUCUGUGUCACCGUACAUGUUCUCUAGUAGUGGCCAGUGGGUUAUAAUGAAUUUAUCCCGGGAACAAACCUUUAACUCUACCUGCACCAUCACCUAAUGCUACUGUCCGUCCAAGCCGAUGAACACCCGUCGCUUUCUUUCGCCUGCCAGUGUCCUGCCUUAUACUUUUGCAACUGGAUAUCACUUUCACCUUUUCACUCACUGCUGUUAAUGGCUCUGCAUAAUAUUGAACAUCAAUUAGAUCUCGGCAUCUCAUGGCCUGUUGAUGGGGCCGGCCGAUCCAAGCAGAUCAAACGCUACUUUUCCAUGUGGUGGUUAUCUUUGAAGGAUUCUCCGAACACUGAUAGAUACCCACAUUAUGACUUGGCCUGUUUGUGUGCAUAUCUUGAACAGGCACUUUUCGCAGACGAAUGAGAUCCUGGAGAGGCUCGGGCUAUCCACCAUCGAUUGGCAGCUCUGAGGAAAACCACAGGAAGGCACCAUGUGACAUGUCUGCCCGACUGACUGAUAACCAGCCACCAUUAUGAUUUUAUGGAAGCUGCCUGGUCGUCUUGGUCCAUGGUUUUGGUUUUGGAGGCAACUUGAACUCGGUGCCGCUGCUGGAAGUGAAGUCAAGUGCCGCACUCGGGUCGGGCCAUACCCUAUGACGAUCUACUACUAGUGCUAGAUACGUUAUGUACUGCUGGUACCAAAUGUUGGCUCCUCCAAAUGGUUUUGGCCGAUUCGGUUGUCGUGUAUGAGUAGUACGUGCAACUGCUCUGACGGACGUAUAAUUGGAGUAGUAGUAGUAGUAUCACAUAACUCAGCCGUGCUGUCCUUGUUUAUUAUUGGGUGCUUAAUUAAUUAACUUGUACUAGUAGUAGUACCAUAAAGUGAGAUCGAUCGAUCCCUCUUAGAUUUGGUCCUGGACAAGGCACCAACUCGUAGACCCGACGAAAUCAAACCCCACUAAUCGAGAGGUUGUCUGGUCCUUGGCAUCGCGACAAGUAGUACAGUACCUCUCCUUGCGUGCUUAGCUACCAUCUAACGUACCCGUUUCUCUGUACACUACUCUCUUCUCUUCGUGAAGAAAUAUAAGAGCGUUACUUGGUUUUGCUUUCUCGAAAGAAGAUCAGGACACUAAAUCCAUUUCAAAAUAAAUAUCUUAAUUUUAUACUAGCUUUAAUAUAAAAUUAUAGUAUUAAGUUUGAAACACUUAUUUAACGACGGAGGGAGUAGUAAGUUGGUCGCCUCGCCUCGUCGUGGUCAAUCCUCCGCGUGGAAGCUACAUUCGCCGCCCGGCCAGCGGAUCCGUUUCCACUUGAACCUUUGGGAAAGCGAGUCGUGCCGGUCCGAUGGGGUCCGUGCCGUCGCGUCAAGCCAAGACUAAACGUUGCCACGAGACGCAUGCCGCAGCCCUACUGCUACGUACUGUCACGCGGUUCAGACUUGAAAUAAUCGUCAGCUGCCAAAGAGCAAAGCAGCGAUCGAGUCGGCCUCCGUUCACCGUUCUAGAAGAAAGAAGAAAAAAAAAAACCCAGCUGCAGUCCAUGCUUCAUCAGAUUCCAAAGUCCAUCUGCCGUAGUCGAUGAUGGAUAAGUCGGUCUCUCUCUCUCCCGCUGUGCGCCAGCCGGUUCUUUCAGGAUUCACCGGAUCAGCGCCACUCAAACCAAACACGUACUGCUUCCUGCCGGUGCUGGUGCUGGUGCGGGCUACGGCCGGCCGCCAUUAACGAUCGAUUUGGUCAUGAUGCACGGUGCACGGUGCUACCAAACGUACGUGUCACGUCGGGGGCACCGGUACGGCACAUGUACAGGCAGGCAGGCAGGCGCACCCGUGACUGAGCUGAGUAGGACGGCACGGUAACAUUCAGUAGUAGUACAACAGUAGCGUCUUGUGUAUUAAGCCCGGUCCCCUUAGUUUUUUUAUAACAUAGUAGAUACGCAAUCGCUUAUAUACACGCACACACAUUCAUUUUUAUAAACGUGUACAUGCACACCCUAUACUUAUGAGCACCCUCGAGAGACUGAGCCGGUGUCAUCUUGAAAUUUACGAGGUCAUCGUAGACACCUCGUCGUCGACGGGAACGUCUCCUCCCACUAAAAACGUAUUGCAGCCCUGUUAGCUCCCUGUCAUAUUUAUGCUGAUCGUAAUAGAAGUAUUAUACUCCCUUCGUAUCUAAAGAAAACUAGACUAAAAUUUUCAAUAAAUAUGUACAGAGGAAGUAUAUAAUAUCAUUCAUGCCAACUAAAUAAUUUUAUGAUGUAACAUCGUUCCGAAAUAUAAGUCUUUUAAGAUAUUUCACUAGAAGUCUACAUACGGAGCAAAAUGAAUGAAUCUACACUCUAUAGUAUGUCUAUAUGCAUCCGUAUGUAGUCCACUAAUGAAACCUUUUUAAAGACUUAUAUUUAGGAACAGAGGGAGUAGAAUCAAAUAAUGAAAUGAAGAAGUUUCAAAAAAAAAAAAUGAAAGGAAGGGUUAAAUAUCAUAUCAUAAUACUGUGUUAUAUUAAAUAAUAUGGUAUUAUGUGUCUUGUAUGAUAACAAAUAUACAUGUAAUACUAAAAUACUCCCUCCCUUCCAAAAUAUAAGACCUUUUAGGUAUUUCACUAGAAGACUACAUACGGAGUAAAAUGAGUGAAUCUAUACUCUAAAAUUUAUCUAUGUACAUCCGUAUGUAGUUUAUAGUAUAAUCUCUAAAAGGUCUUAUAUUUAGGAAUGGAGGGAGUAUGAUAUUGUACAUUAUAAAAAUAAUAUCACACACUGAGAUUAUUUACAUUAGUAUUACUAGCAAAAGGACCCGUGCGUUGCAACGGAAGAAAAACAAUUAUAAUCUCCAAUGAUGCUGAUCAUAUUAUGUCUUUAAAAUUUUAGGACAUUUCUUGAAAUGCAUGAACAUUUUUUGAACUAGCAAACAUUUUUUUCAGUUGCACUCAAAAAAUAACACACAAACUUUUUUUCAAAAUCAUGGACUUUUAUUGUUUUCACCAACAUUGUUCUCAAAAUUAUGAACAUUUUUCUGAAUAUGCGAAUAUUUUUACAAAAAUCCUGAGCAUUUUUUGAAUUCACAAACAUUUCAUAUUUUCUUCAAACUUUUAUUUCAAUAUUCCCAGUUUUAUAAAUUGCAAAAGUUUUUCAAAGUUCUAAAUUAUUUAAACUAAAAAAUGGAACAGAAAAAUGAAAAUAGAAAAUGAGACUAAAAACAGAGGCACGAACUGUUUUUAAGAUUUUUACACGGACUUUUGUUUAAAAUCGUUGACUUUUUUUAUUUUAUGGACAUAUUCUCAAGGUUUAAACAUUUUUUUAUAUGCAAACAUUUUUCAAAACUCCUGAGUAGUUUUUGAAUUCUAAAAAAAAAANNNNNNNNNNNNNNNNNNNNNNNNNNNNNNNNNNNNNNNNNNNNNNNNNNNNNNNNNNNNNNNNNNNNNNNNNNNNNNNNNNNNNNNNNNNNNNNNNNNNNNNNNNNNNNNNNNNNNNNNNNNNNAAACUAAACUAAAAAAAAGGCGCCCACGCAUGGGCCGGCCCAAACAGGUGUGCUCCAUCUUUUUCAACGCCCAGAGCGUAAUAUAGGAGGUGCUUACAUGGGCCGGCCGAGUCAGGAGAUUUUCCUGUUUAAAACGUUUUUUAUGACAUACAGGUGGCAUUGGUGGGUAAUUUUAGUCAACUUUAAAGGCAAUUUGGAUGACGUACGGAAGAAGCACUAUUUGCUUUAUUAGUAUUAGUAGGUAAGAUUAUGACAUAUAGGUGGCAUUGGUGGGUAAUUUUAGUCAACUUUAAAGGCAAUUUGGAUGACGUACGGAAGAAGCACUAUUUGCUUUAUUAGUAUUAGUAGGUAAGAUUAUGACAUAUAGGUGGCAUUGGUGGGUAAUUUUAGUCAACUUUAAAGGCAAUUUGGAUGACGUACGGAAGAAGCACUAUUUGCUUUAUUAGUAUUAGUAGGUAAGAUUAUGACAUAUAGGUGGCAUUGGUGGGUAAUUUUAGUCAACUUUAAAGGCAAUUUGGAUGACGUACGGAAGAAGCACUAUUUGCUUUAUUAGUAUUAGUAGGUAAGAUUAUGACAUAUAGGUGGCAUUGGUGGGUAAUUUUAGUCAACUUUAAAGGCAAUUUGGAUGACGUACGGAAGAAGCACUAUUUGCUUUAUUAGUAUUAGUAGGUAAGAUUAUGACAUAUAGGUGGCAUUGGUGGGUAAUUUUAGUCAACUUUAAAGGCAAUUUGGAUGACGUACGGAAGAAGCACUAUUUGUUUUAUUAGUAGGUAAGAUAAGAUAAGAUAAGAUAAGAUAUACUCCCUCCGUCCUAAAUUUUUUGUCUUAGAUUUUUGUAGAAAUGGAUGUAUUUAAAUACUAAAUCGUGACUAGAUACAUUCAUAUCUAGACAAAUACUUCCUGGGACCGAAUGACAAGUGCCUCCACUUCUUUAGUCAGGGGACGGCGGGGUCGGAUCAGGUCAGGUCGCUGCCAUCCACACUGUGACAUCGAUCGACUCGGCGUGCAAGCUGCCCGUGCCUCGGUAUCGUUUUGUUGGGCCGCGGCCGGAUUAAUGCAUGGGUGGAUCCCGCUGCGGGUCAAGUCCGGCGAACCCCCGGCGACCCAGAGUCCCAUCCGCCCACGCCCAGACCAAACGAACCAACGAAGCCCCGGCAUGCGCUCACUGACGUCUUAUUCAUGGCACGACAUCAAGUUAGAACCAAGGGCAACUCCAAUCGCACCGCGACCCAAAAUGAUCCGGCCGCGUGUGUUUAAGAUAGACGGACAUAAAAUUCGACCCAACACGCAGGUGCAAAUGGAAGACGUUCAUUUUUCGUUUGCAUUUUAAACGAACACGCGCGGACGGACGAAACACACGUCCUUGUCCCCUAGCCUGUCCGCUGGGGACAUAACCCACUUUUCUCUUCCCUUGCCCCCCCCCCCCACAUCUCAGUCGCCAUCCGGUAUGUACACCCAUUUACUCAUCAGCGUCGCCUUCCUGCAAGGCCGUCCGAACCACGACCACACCAUGCCAUAGCCGGCUCGCACCCGCGUUUCGAAGCAGCCUUUUGUCGGCGUUCCUGGUUCUUUGUUGCUGGUGAGGGAGAACCUACAGGCGUCGUUGCUGCCCAUCGAUCCUAAUAACUUUUGACACGCGCGACAUAGCGUGUGAACGAGCCCAAACAACCAAAACAUGCAAAAUACCUGCUUAUAAGGUGGGCCACCGACGUCUCUCAAAGACCCGAUACACUAAGAACCGACAUUCUUGGGGAGCUUGGAACUUUAGAAAAAUUCAAUAAAUGACUUUUUAAAUAAACAAAUAUAUUUUUAUCAAAUAAAGCAACACAUCGAACGGCCGGUGCUCGUAACCUCCUCGCCUAUACAACGAAAUAGCGGUCGUAAUAGAAGCUAAUGUUGGCAAACGGUUUUGCUAAAACAUAUCUGCAUGUGAGAUAAGUAUUGAACAUCUAAAUCCUACUUCAUUGAUCUUACGUGAAGAUUCAUGUCUUUUUUGCUUGAUUUAGUCAUUUAAAUAUGCAAUAACCAUAUCACAUCUAGGUGUGUCUACACAUAACUAUCGACGUGUGAUGUGCUUCUUUAACCACAUAUUCAUUGAUCUUGAGUAUGCUCUUCUAUUAUGGGACGAAGGAAGUAACUAACUACGGUGAAGCGAGACUCGCCCCCAUCCGAUCCUUGGUAGAUCUGCUCCUGGACUAGCCACCAACUCGAAGAUCUACGAAAUCAAACCCCACUGAUCAGGAGACGUAUAGUCCUUAGCAGCAAGACAACUACAUACAUCACCAAUCAGAAUACAUCUCAUCUCCUUCGUUGCACUUGGUAGCUAGUAGCAAUGUAUACUUGGCUAUGGACUAUGGUGGCAAUGGCGUACGCGUCUCGCCCUUAACUAAAGUACGUGCGUGUUUGUUGUGUUUUCGUACAGCCGGUGGUUGCAUCCUGGACAGACGACUACUGCACAAACCAAGCCUGCUUCCAGAAGACACGCAGGACACUGGACACCUGAGCAGCUGAGCUCCAUUUGCACAUCGCACGAGUGACACUGCCAUGGUUGCAUUGCAUAUGUAACACCUCUGGUCCUUGUUUUUACCCUAACAAACGGAGUAAAAUCUAGAUUUACUGAAGAAAGUUGAAGAAAUCUCACCCUGACUCCAUGGGUGCAAACCGGUGCAUGCAUGCAUGCACGCGCUUUGGUCACAAUCGACGUCCCCAUCGCUGCUUUUCUCUUGGGAUGCCCACCCCACCGUGCCCAGUCCUAGUCGUGAGAUCUCCGCGUGACAAGUGCAUUUGCACGGCGAUCACGCGGUCCCGUCUUCAAAGCGUCAGCACUCUCAAGAGAAAAUCAAGUACGCUGCCUCCGAUCUACUACUAGAAGGAAAAUUCGCCGCGGUUGAAACGCGCGCGGCAGCCAUGGACGGCAGGUCUCCGUCUAUUCCACUGUGUCCCGUACGUGAGAAGGACGGGUGUGGGUGGGCGACGGCGAGGAGACGAACGUCUGGCUGGUGAUGUCCACGCCGAAUCUGCCGGGGUUUUCAGCCGGACAAUCGGAUCGGCGUCAUUGAAAACACGUAGUACCUGCUCUCCUCGUGUGGCCGGUCGAUCGAUAGAUCAGCCGCUAGCGGUACAGGCCUAUGCACGCACACGGUUCGGUGGGUGGGUGCGUGCGUGCUUGCUUGCUUGCCAGCAGACGUACGUCUCACGUCGGCACCGGUGCAGGUCACAUUUGCAUGCACGCCCGUGAGUGAGUACGUGACAUCGAUCGACGUGCUCGGAUCUUUUUUCCAAUGUCGACGUGCUCCGUUGGCCCGCCGGCGCCGUUGGCCGGGACGGGUGGUGGAUCCCGGCGCGAUCUCGACCGCGGGUCAAGUCCGGCGAACCAAAGCAGCCAAGUGGCCACCCGGCCAACGACCGCAUGCCAUGCGCGCCGGGCCGUGGCUCCACCCGUGACCGUGAGUAGCUGGCGUUUCCCGGCGGCGGGCCAGCUCUGGAUGCAUGAUCCACACCGAAACUCCGUGCCUGUCCCCUACCCAUGGCCCCGCGGCGUCACGCACACCUGAUGGCUGAUGGCGGCCCUAUCCAAUUCCUAUCCACCACGCCCUCGUCAUGACUGGUUUUGAUUCUGCUCGAGAUUUGGGUGUCCGGCCGAUCGGCUCGACACAUGGAUGGAUGGGAUCGUGGGACAGCGACUGCAUCCGCCUUGGUUGGGUGCAUGCAUGCAUCCAACAGGCAGCAGUACUGAGAAUGCCGGCAGUAAGAUCUAAAACGUUUACACGGAACCCGCAAGAGGCAGGCACCAAAUGCCCAAAGCAUGAUUUGCAGUCCAACCUUGGGCCCAAAUCGAAAUCACUGUUCUAACCUUGUGGGUCAACAUGUUCAUAAACUAAACCUUAGAUGGAAGUAUUUUACGAUCUGACAUUUUGAAAAACGUCAAAGGCCGUGGCGUUUUGGAACAACACAGAAACGAUGAGGUAGUUCGCGUUUCUGCCUUGACCCGCUGCCAGGCCGAGCACCCGUUGCUUACUGACGUGGCAGACCAGAAACGUCAACCCAUGCCGCGUUUCCGGAAACGCCAGGACCGUUGGCGUUUCUGAUGCUGAUAUUUUUGUGGUCGGCUGCUCUCACGAGUCACUCACCACUCAUUCACUUCUUUUCCAUUGGCUUUCCCGGAGCUCUUUCCCCUUUCCCCUUUUAUUCCCCUCGUUUGGACCCACUCAAACCCUUGCUGAUUGAUUGGAUUGGUCGUGGAUCCGGUGUCAUUUCCGUUCCUUGAGGUAAUCUCCUUCACCUCAUAAUUUUUUAUUGGUUGGAUUUGUCUAUUUGGAUUGUUUUGUUCAUAUGGUUCCUAACCCUAGUUUUGAACAUGGUUCUAUAAUAUGAUGUGGUUGAGUAUUGUUGUUUCAAUAGUGUUGCAUUGUGAUGUUGGUGGACAUACCUUAUUGUUUGGGUUAUCCCUAAUGUUAAGAUUUAGGGUUAGGAUUAGGGUUUGGGUAAUGCUUAAUUUGAAUGGACAAAGUGGUUUUAUUAGCAAUGUGGCAUAUUUAUUGUCCUUAUGUUUGGCUUUUCUAGAUGAAAAAUAUUGUGAAUAUCCAUUAUGGUAACAAAGAGACAUUCAUGAAUGUUGAUAUUGUUGACAAGUAUGCGAAAGUGUUGAUAUUUUUUGAGAGUCCUAGUUAUGAUGAGGUUGUGGAAGAAACAUGGACAAGAUUAAAGUGGGUUGAUGCAAGUGACCAAGUUGAAUUAGUAGGAAGAUAUGAUGUUGUGUCGGCAUAGAAGUGUCGAAUGAAGACAAUGCUUAUCAGCCCAAUUUGCAUUGGGUAAGAUAUAAGGAGGUUGUUGCAUCGUCGACAAUCAAUUCACUCGAAUUGUUUGCAAGUAAAUUGCUCAACGCUCCUAUUUUUCAAGUUGACUUAAAUCAAACCUUGGUAGAUGAUGUUGAGCAUAAAUUUGAAAUGCAAGCCAAUGAGAAUUCCCAAUAUGAGAUUCGAGGUUGUGCACCGAUUAAUGAUGAUGAUCGUGACUCCGAGGAAGAGUAUGAGAGGCAGCACAACAAUGUUGGUGACGUAGAGGCUCAAGUAAGGCAUAAGGACAUGGAUCCCGGCAUUAGCUAUCAACGUUCUUGUGUGGAUGACUCGGAUGAUGAAGGACCGGUGAAUGAGUUGGACGAGGAUGGCUUCACCGAGAAAGAUGCAGAGUGGUACACAAAAAUCAUCGGUAGGGAUCACAAAGUUCCCUUGUUUUGUGAUGUCAGCCUUGCAGAUAAGGCUAUAGUCGACGGUGGCAUGAGCAAGACAAUUGAGGCUAGACAGUUCCCAAGUAGUACGCCCGACGAGAUUUCAAUGUCUUACCUCAGGAAAGGUUUGAUGUUCGAGCACAUGCUAGAAUUCAAGAUGUGGUUGUGUGAGUAUGCUGUCAAAUACCACAUACCUUUCGUAGUUGUUCACUCGGACAACAAUAAGCGAUACGCCGUGAAAUGUGAGGUAGAAAGAUGCAAAUGGAAAGUCAAUGGAAUAAUCAUGAAAGAUAACUGGUGGAAGAUAACAGGUUACAAAGCCACUCACCAAUGCACACCGCCAACCGUAGAAGCACGGAAGACACAUCGUCAGCUAACCUCGCAAUUCAUCGCUUAUAAAUACCAAAAACAUAUAGCCGAGGAUCCAAGCAUAAAAGUGAAGUUGUUGAUGAGUUGGGUUGACGAUAUGUUUGGAUAUAAGGUCAAGUACGGGAAGACAUGAAAGGCCAAGCAAGUCGCUCUUAGAAUGCUAUAUGGUGGAUGGGAAGAGGUGUACAACAUGCUACCCCGGUUGUUGGGAGCGAUGUCCUAUAGAAAUCCAGGGAUGUACCAGUAUGUACAAGAUAUUGAAGGAGUGUUCCGUCAUGCCUUCUGGACGUUUGGACCAUGCAUUGCAGCUUUUGAGCAUUGUCGUCCAGUUUUGUCUGUAGAUGGAAUAUUCUUGACAAGCAAAUACAAGGGCACAAUCAUGAUAGCAAUGGCACAUGAUGCUAAUGAUCAGGUUUUGCCUGUGGCAUUUGCUUUGGUGUCUGUGGAGAACCAGGACAACUAGGAAUGGUUCAUGAGACUUCUGAGGAGCACGACCAUUCCUCCAAAUAGAGAGGCAUGCAUUAUAUCCGAUUGACACAAAGGCAUAUUGAAGGCUGUGUAUAUUCACAUUCCAGGACAUGCGAGGCUUCACCACCAAUGGUGUAUGAGGCACUUCGUUGCAAACUUUUACACGGCUUGUAAGAACAAGGAUCUUUGCAAGGAUCUUAACUCCGCAUGUGUAGUCUUCUCUUUUAAGUCGUUCACUACACGCUUGGACAAAAUCUAUGAGAAGGCUAACGAAGGUGGGAAAGAUUUCCUAGAAAGGAAUAUUGAUGAGAGACACAAGUGAUCACGGGCAUGUGAUGAAGGAGGCAUGAGAUAUGGAGACAUGAAAAGCAAUCUUGUUGAGCGCUUCAACUUUGUCUUGAAGGGUGCGUGUCAGUUGCCGGUGACGACAAUAGCGAAUAUACUUUUUACAAGCUAAAUGAGUAUUUUCUAAAGCACUCCGGUGAAAUCGACAAGUUGAUUGCUGAUAGUGAGAAGCCUCCCAAUGAGAUUUAUACGAAGAAGGUUGCCGAGUGGCUACAGUUUUAAAAAGACAAGCCAGCUAUACAGCGAGCCACUUGUUUCAAUAAUGUUGAAAUUAAAUACCAAGCCCAUGAGGCAAAGUGGCAAGAAAGUAAAGCGGCUAGGGUGCGGCAACGAUUCACGACCUUUUGCACAACGAAAUACAUUGACAUUUUAAUAUGCAAAAUUAGUUAUAAUGAAAGAAAUAACGAGUUCAUAUUAAGUAGGCCUCUUACCUGCAGGGUACUCCUAACAAGCACGUCUGUUUCUGGGCCAGGGGCACGACCAAGCACCACAUUACUAUCAUUGAUACAUCUCCAUAGCUCUGUACCGUGUGGCACACACACACCAUUCAUGAAGAAAUGACACAUGUUCAUAUUUCAAAAGAGAGACACAAGAUAGACAUACCACUCGGUCAUGCAGAGGGCCAUAAUCUAAGUGUGCUCCAAUGGUAUCCCUAAUAAAGUUGUUGAAUGCACCAUCAGCAGCCUCACUUGGCAUUAGGUCCAAGCAAUCGACACGAGUCCACACAUUGUUGUGGGUAACUCUGCACUCUUUGCGAAGCCACUCUAAAUGUCUUAAAUAUGCCCCCUCGUCGUUGUCGGGUGUGUGAUCAUUUUACACUCGAGCAUUCCACACGCCCACCCACAUAAGGUGGUGAUCCUCCCAAUUCGUGACAUUCUUGUUGUUUUGUCGGGUCAUCCUAAAAAGCGUGAGAAGAAUACAUCAGUUUUAUUUUUUCGUGUUACACAUCGAUCAACAUCUGUUACAAAAAAACUCUCACCUAUGUAGCUGCACACUUGUGUCAACAUAGUCCGACGGGGUGCGUUGUACUCCAAAUUGCUUUGAAACACGAUGUGGAAGAUGCCACUAGAGUGCGGAAAAGCAUAUCAAGGGGCACCGCUGUUGGCGUCAAAACCGGCAGAUCUCGGGUAUGGGGUCCCAAACUAUGGAUCUUAGAUCGUUGGGUUGCAGGAGAGAAGGGGAGACAAUGUUUACCCAGGUCCGGGUCCUCUUGGGGAGGUAAAACCCUACGUCUGCCUUGAUUAUAUUGAUGUGGAUGAUGAUUACAGAGUCUACCUUGAGAUCGUGUAUACUAAACCCCAAGUGAAGUAUUCCGCCUACAUGGACGAGGACCCCCGGUUUAUAUAGUUACCAAGAUGGCCUAGGGUUAGACGCAACCAACCUAGUCUACUUUUACUUGGUUGCCAUGCCAGUCUUUGGGGUUCUCCUCCUUGAAUAGGAGAUGAUCGCACAACCCGACCCAUCAUAGGCACAACCCAUUAGGCUGACCUCUUCGUAGUAAGCCGACUACCUGAGGACACCUUAAUUUCGGACUCCCUCAACCGCACACACCAAAGAUGUUGCUCACGAAAGCACAUAUUGAUCAAAGGGAACUGCCUAAGUACCAUGUAAGCCCUCCAAUUGACCUACAUCACAACAUGGUACUCGCUCAUGCACAAAGAAAAUCAGGAAUUAUGGCAGAGUAUUUGGAUAAUUACCUAAUUAUAACUCAGCAUAUCAAGCUCGCUUGUGUAUGCCUUGUAUCGCCCCAUGGCGGCGGUAAUUGACACUUGGACAUUAGCCCAUGUGUGUGCGAUAGUGGGGUACCACUCCUCAUCCGUGUCAAAAGGCCACUCCCAAGGUUCUUCCAGAGCGACGGUGACGUUGCGGCCUACACGGAUACGCUCCAAGAUCCAAAUGUGUAGGGCCCAAACGAAACCACCAAGACUAGAUAUCGUCUUACUCCUCAUACAUGCUCCGUCCAAUUACACAUUUGUACACGCGUUAUACGAUCACACGCAAACAUAUAUUUCAUAAAAUAAAAAUGCAUCAUAAUUAGCAUUACCUGUCGGUACAAGAAGUCUAUUGCCGCCGGCCUCCAACUCCACUUAACAUCCCAGUUACGGAGAGGAUCCAAGAACGUCCAUGAGGCUGUGUCCCCCGUGCCAUCCGGAAACACGACUUGGGUCAAAAGAUUCUAUAAGUAAGUCUUGGUGUACCUCUCCACAACACCCGGACUGACAUCCUGUGGGCACUAUUCAAAAUGUUGUCGUAGCCACGAGUACAACCCACCGGAUGGCCUAGGGUCCUUUUUGGUUUCAUGAAUCCACGGUGGUGGUUCAACCCCAACCAAUCCCGCAACCCGUUGUCGCCACCCCUCAGACUUUACCUUCCCGUUAAGAGCCCCGCCCUUGAUCGGUAGCCCGAAGAUCCACAAUAUAUUCCAAAGUGAUGAUCAUCUCACCAAGAGCAAGGUGGAAAGAGUGCGUCUCUAGCCUCCAAAGGUCCGUAAGGGCGGUAAUUGUUGGGGAACGUCGCAUGGGAAACAAAAAUAUUCCUACGCGCACGAAGACCUAUCAUGGUGAUGUCCAUCUACGAGAGGGGAUGAGUGAUCUACGUACCCUUGUAGACCAUACAGCAGAAGCGUUAGAGAACGCGGUUGAUGUAGUGGAACGUCCUCACGUCCCUCGAUCCACCCCGCGAACAAUCCCGCGAUCAGUCCCACGAUCUAGUACCGAACGGACGGCACCUCCGCGUUCAGCACAUGUACAGCUCGACGAUGAUCUCGGCCUUCUUGAUCCAGCAAGAGAGACGGAGAGGUAGAAGAGUUCUCCGGCAGCGUGACGGCGCUCCGGAGGUUGGUGAUGACCUUGUCUCAGCAGGGCUCCGCCCGAGCUCCGCAGAAACGCGAUCUAGAGGAAAAACCGUGGAGGUAUGUGGUCGGGCUGCCGUGGAAAAGUCGUCUCAAAUCAGCCCUAAAACCUCCGUAUAUAUAGGUGGGAGGGAGGGGGCCUUUCCUUGGGGUCCAAGGACCCUCAAGGGGGUCGGCCGAGCCAAGGGGGAGGACUCUCCCCCCCCAAACCGAGUUGGACUAGGUUUGGUGGGAGGGAGUCCUCCUCCCUUCCCACCUCCUCCCUUUUUUUUUCCUCUUGAUUUUUCUUCUCUUGGCGCAUAGACCACUUGUGGGCUGUCCCACCAGCCCACUAAGGGUUGGUGUGUCUCCCCAAGGCCUAUGGGCUUCCCCGGGGUGGGUUGCCCCCCCCCCCGGUGAACCCCCGGAACCCAUUCGUCAUUCCCGGUACAUUCCCGGUAACUCUGAAAACCUUCCGGUAAUCAAAUGAGGUCAUCCUAUAUAUCAAUCUUCGUUUCCGGACCAUUCCACCCUCGUGACGUCCGUGAUCUCAUCCGGGACUCCGAACAACAUUCGGUAACCAACCAUAUAACUCAAAUACGCAUAAAACAACGUCGAACCUUAAGUGUGCAGACCCUGCGGGUUCGAGAACUAUGUAGACAUGACCCGAGAGACUCCUCGGUCAAUAUCCAAUAGCGGGACCUGGAUGCCCAUAUUGGAUCCUACAUAUUCUACGAAGAUCUUAUCGUUUGAACCUCAGUGCCAAGGAUUCGUACAAUCCCGUAUGUCAUUCCCUUUGUCCUUCGGCAUGUUACUUGCCCGAGAUUCGAUCGUCAGUAUCCGCAUACCUAUUUCAAUCUCGUUUACCGGCAAGUCUCUUUACUCGUUUCGUAAUACAAGAUCCCGCAACUUACACUAAGUUACAUUGCUUGCAAGGCUUGUGUGUGAUGUUGUAUUACCGAGUGGGCCCCGAGAUACCUCUCCGUCACACGGAGUGACAAAUCCCAGUCUUGAUCCAUACUAACUCAACUAACACCUUCGGAGAUACCUGUAGAGCAUCUUUAUAGUCACCCAGUUACGUUGCGACGUUUGAUACACACAAAGCAUUCCUCCGGUGUCAGUGAGUUAUAUGAUCUCAUGGUCAUAGGAAUAAAUACUUGACACGCAGAAAACAGUAGCAACAAAAUGACACGAUCAACAUGCUACGUAUAUUAGUUUGGGUCUAGUCCAUCACGUGAUUCUCCCAAUGACGUGAUCCAGUUAUCAAGCAACAACACCUUGUUCAUAAUCAGAAGACACUGAUUAUCAUCGAUCAACUGGCUAGCCAACUAGAGGCAUGCUAGGGACGGUGUUUUGUCUAUGUAUCCACACAUGUAAAUGAGUCUUCAUUCAAUACAAUUAUAGCAUGGAUAAUAAACUAUUAUCUUGAUACAGGAAUUAUAAUAAUAACUAUAUAUUUAUUAUUGCCUCUAGGGCAUAAUUCCAACAGACUCCCACUUGCACUAGAGUCAAUAAUCUAGCCCUCACAUCACCAUGUGAAUUACAUUGUAAUAAAUAUAACACCCAUACAGUUCUGGUGUCGAUCAUGUUUUGGCCGUGGAAGAGGUUUAGUCAGCGGGUCUGCUACAUUCAGAUCCGUGUGCACUUUGCAUAUAUUUACGUCCUCUUCCUCGACGUAGUCGCGGAUGAGGUUGAAGCGUCGUUUGAUGUGUCUGGUCUUCUUGUGAAACCGUGGUUCCUUCGCUAAGGCAAUGGCACCCGUGUUGUCACAGAACAAGGUUAUUGGAUCCAGUGCACUUGGCACCACUCCAAGAUCCGUCAUGAACUGCUUCAUCCAGACACCCUCCUUAGCCGCCUCCGAGGCAGCCAUGUACUCCGCUUCACAUGUAGAAUCUGCUACGACGCUUUGCUUGGAACUGCACCAGCUUACUGCACCCCCAUUAAGAAUAAAUACGUAUCCGGUUUCGACUUUGAGUCGUCCGGAUCUGUGUCAAAGCUUGCAUCGACGUAACCUUUUACGGCAAGCUCUUUGUCACCUCCAUACACGAGAAACAUCUCCUUAGUCCUUUUCAGGUACUUCAGGAUAUUUUUGACUGCUGUCCAGUGAUCCACUCCUGGAUUACUCUGGAACGUACCUGCCAUACUUAUGGGUAGGCUAACAUCCGGUCUAGUGCACAGCAUCGCAUACAUGAUAGAACCUAUGGCUGAAGCAUAGGGGACGGAGCGCAUAUGCUCUCUAUCUUCAUCAGUUGCUGGGCACUGAGUCUUACUCAAUCUCGUACCUUGUAAAACUGGCAAGAACCCUUUCUUGGACUGUUCCAUUUUGAACCUCUUCAAAACUUUAUCAAGGUAUGUGCUUUGUGAAAGUCCUAUCAGGCGUUUUGAUCUAUCCCUAUAGAUCUUAAUGCCUAGAAUGUAAGCAGCUUCUCCUAGGUCCUUCAUAGAGAAACUUUUAUUCAAGUAACCUUUUACGCUCUCCAAAAGCUCUACGUUGUUUCCAAUCAGUAAUAUGUCAUCCACAUAUAAUAUUAGAAACGCCACAGAGCUCCCACUCACUUUCUUGUAAAUACAAGAUUCUCCAACCACUUGUAUAAACCCAAAUGCCUUGAUCACCUCAUCAAAGCGUUUGUUCCAACUCCGAGAUGCUUGCACCAGUCCAUAAAUGGAUCGCUGGAGCUUGCACACCUUGUUAGCAUUCUUAGGAUCGACAAAACCUUCGGGUUGCAUCAUAUACAACUCUUCCUUAAGGAAACCGUUAAGGAACGCCGUUUUGACAUCCAUCUGCCAGAUUUCAUAAUCGAAAAAUGCAGCUAUUGCUAACAUGAUUCUGACGGACUUAAGCAUCGCUACGGGUGAGAAAGUCUCAUCGUAGUCAACUCCUGGAACUUGUGAAAAACCCUUUGCCACAAGUCGAGCUUUAUAAACGGUCACAUUACCGUCAGCGUCCGUCUUCUUCUUAAAGAUCCAUUUGUUCUGAAUAGCCUUGCGGCCCUCAGGUAGUAUCUCCAAAGUCCACACUUUGUUCUCAUACAUGGAUCCUAUCUCGGAUUUCAUGGCUUCUAGCCAUUUGUUGGAAUCUGGGCCCACCAUUGCUUCUUCAUAAUUUGCAGGUUCAUUGUUGUCUAACAACAUGAUUGACAAGACGGGAUUACCGUACCACUCUGGAGCAGCGCGUGAUCUCGUCGACCUGCGUGGUUCAACAGAAACUUGAACUGGAGUUUCAUGAUCAUCAUCAUUAACUUCCUCCUCAACCGGCGUCACAACGACAGAUGUUUCCCCUUGCCCUGCGCCACUACCCAGAGGGAUGAGAGGUUCGACAACCUCGUCAAGUUCUAUCUUCCUCCCACUCAAUUCUCUCGAGAGAAACUCCUUCUCGAGAAAAGCUCCGUUCUUAGCAACAAACACUUUGCCCUCGGAUUUGAGAUAGAAGGUGUACCCAACUGUCUCUUUUGGGUAACCUAUGAAGACGCAUUUCUCCGCUUUGGGUUCCAGCUUUUCACGCUGAAGCUUUUUGACAUAAGCAUCACAUCCCCAAACUUUAAGAAACGACAACUUUGGCCUUUUGCCAUACCACAGUUCGUAUGGUGUCGUCUCAACAGAUUUUGAUGGUGCCCUAUUUAAAGUGAAUGCAACUGUUUCUAAUGCAUAACCCCAAAAUGAUAACGGCAAAUCAGUAAGAGACAUCAUAGAUCGCACCAUCUCUAACAAAGUACGAUUACGACGUUCGGACACACCAUUACGCUGUGGUGUUCCAGGCGGUGUUAACUGCGAAACAAUUCCAUAUUGUCUUAAGUGAGCACCAAACUUGAAACUCAAAUAUUCACCCCCAUGAUCAGACCGUAGGAACUUGAUCUUCUUGUUACGAUGAUUUUCCACUUCACUCUGAAAUUGCUUGAACUUUUCAAAUGUUUCAGACUUGUGCUUCAUCAAGUAGACAUAACCAUAUCUACUUAAAUCGUCAGUGAAGGUGAGAAAAUAACGAUAUCCACCGCGUGCCUCUACGCUCAUUGGACCACACACAUCGGUAUGUAUGAUUUCCAACAAGUCACUUGCACGCUCCAUUGUUCCGGAGAACGGAGUCUUAGUCAUCUUGCCCAUGAGGCAUGGUUCGCACGUGUCAAGUGAAUCAAAGUCAAGUGACUCCAAAAGUCCAUCAGCAUGGAGUUUCUUCAUGCGCUUUACACCAAUAUGACCCAAGCGGCAGUGCCACAAAAAUAUGGCGCUAUCAUUGUUUACUCUAACUCUUUUGGUCUCAAUGUUAUGUAUAUGCGUAUCGCUAUCAAGAUUCAAUAUGAAGAAUCCUCUCACAUUCGGUGCAUGACCAUAAAAGAUGUUACUCAUAGAAAUAGAACAACCAUUAUUCUCAGACUUAAAAGAGUAACCGUCUCGCAAUAAACAAGAUCCAGAUAUAAUGUUCAUGCUCAACGCAGACACUAAAUAACAAUGAUUUAAGUUCAUCACUAAUACCGAUGGUAGCUGAAGUGACACUGUGCCGACGGCGAUUGCAUCAACCUUGGAACCAUUUCCCACGCGCAUCGUCACUUCGUCUUUCGUCAGCCUUCGUCUAUUUCGCAGUUCCUGCUUCGAGUUGCAAAUGUGAGAAACAGAACCGGUAUCAAAUACCCAGGCACUACUACGAGAGCCGGUUAAGUACACAUCAAUAACAUGUAUGUCAAAUAUACCUGAUUUUUCUUUGCCCGCCUUCUUAUCUGCCAGAUACUUGGGGCAAUUGCGCUUCCAGUGACCCAUACCUUGCAAUAGAAGCACUCUGUUUCAGGCUUAGGUCCAGCCUUGGGUUUCUUCGGCGGAUUGGCAACAGGCUUGCCGCUCUUCUUCGAAUUUCCCUUCUUGCCUUUGCCGUUUCUCUUGAAACUAGUGGUCUUGAUCACCAUCAACACUUGAUGCUCUUUACGGAGUUCAGACUCUGCGACUUUCAGCAUCGCAAACAACUCGCCGGGAGACUUGUUCAUCCCUUGCAUGUUGUAGUUCAACACAAAGCCUUUAUAGCUUGGCGGUAGUGAUUGAAGGAUUCUGUCAGUGAUAGCUUCUUGCGGGAGUUCAAUCCCCAGCUCUGCUAGACGGUUUGAGUACCGAGACAUUUUGAGCACAUGUUCACUGACAGACGAGUUUUCCUCCAUCUUGCAAGCAUAGAAUUUAUCGGAGGUCUCAUACCUCUCGAUCCGGGCGUUCUUCUGAAAGAUAAACUCCAACUCUUGGAACAUCUCAAAUGCUCCAUGACGCUCAAAGCGACGUUGAAGUCCCGGUUCUAAGCCAUACAAGACUGCACAUUGAACUAUUGAGUAGUCCUCCUUACGUGCUAACCAAGCGUUCUUAACAUCCUGAUCAGCCGUAGCGGGUGGUUCAUCUCCUAGCGCAGCAUUAAGGACAUAAUCCUUCUUCCCAGCUUGUAAGAUUAGCUUAAGAUUACGAGCCCAGUCUACAAAGUUGCUUCCAUCAUCUUUCAACUUAGCUUUCUCUAGGAACGUAUUAAAAUUCAGGAUGACUGUCGCGUGAGCCAUGAUCUACAACACAAAUAUAUUCAAAGUGGACUUAGACUAUGUUCAAGAUAAUUAGAGUUCAACUUAAUCAAAUUAUAUGCUAAACUCCCACUCAAAAAGUACAUCUCUCUAGUCAUUUGAGUGGUUCAUGAUCCACUUACACUAUCCCAAGUCCGAUCAUCACGUGAGUUGAGUAUAGUUUCAGUGGUAAGCAUCCCUAUGCUAAUCAUAUCAACUAUAUGAUUCAUGAUCGACCUUUCGGUCUCAUGUGUUCCGAGGCCAUGUCUGCACAUUCUAGGCUCGUCAAGCUUAACCCGAGUGUUCCGCGUGCGCAACUGUUUUGCACCCGUUGUAUGUGAAAGUUGAGUCUAUCACACCCGAUCAUCACGUGGUGUCUCGAAACGACGAACUGUACCAACGGUGCACAGUCGGGGAGAACACAAUUUCGUCUUGAAAUUUUAGUGAGAGAUCACCUCAUAAUGCUACCGUCGUUCUAAGCAAAAUAAGGUGCAUAAAAGGAUUAAAAUAACAUGCAAUUCAUAAGUGACAUGAUAUGGCCAUCAUCACGUGCUUCUUGAUCUCCAUCACCAAAGCACCGGCACGAUCUUCUUGUCACCGGCGCCACACCAUGAUCAUCUAUCAACGUGUUGCCAUCGGGGUUGUCGUGCUACUUAUGCUAUUACUACUAAAGCUACAUCCUAGCAAAAUAGUAAACGCAUCUGCAAGCACAAACGUUAGUAUAAAGACAACCCUAUGGCUCCUGCCGGUUGCCGUACCAUCGACGUGCAAGUUGAUAUUUCUAUUACAACAUGAUCAUCUCAUACAUCCAAUAUAUCACAUCACAUCGUUGGCCAUAUCACAUCACAAUCAUACCCUGCAAAAACAAGUUAGACGUCCUCUAAUUUUGUUGUUGCAUGUUUUACGUGGUGACCAAGGGCAUCUAGUAGGAUCGCAUCUUACUUACGUAAACACCACAUCGGAGAUAUAUGAGUUGCUAUUUAACCUCAUCCAAGGACCUCCUCGGUCAAAUCCGAUUCAACUAAAGUUGGAGAAACCGUCACUUGCCAGUCAUCUUUGAGCAAAGGGGGUUACUCGUAACGAUGAAACCAGUCUCUCGUAAGCGUACGAGUAAUGUCGGUCCAAGCCGCUUCAAUCCAACAAUACCGCGGAAUCAAGAAAAGACUAAGGAGGGAAGCAAAACGCACAUCACCGCCCACAAAAACUUUUGUGUUCUACUCGAGAAGACAUCUACGCAUGAACCUAGCUCAUGAUGCCACUGUUGGGGAACGUCGCAUGGGAAACAAAAAUUUUCCUACGCGCACGAAGACCUAUCAUGGUGAUGUCCAUCUACGAGAGGGGAUGAAUGAUCUACGUACCCUUGUAGACCGUACAUCAGAAGCGUUAGAGAACACGGUUGAUGUAGUGGAACGUCCACACGUCCCUCGAUCCGCCCCGCGAACAAUCCCGCGAUCAGUCCCACGAUCUAGUACCGAACGGACGGCACCUCCGCGUUCAGCACACGUACAGCUCGACGAUGAUCUCGGCCUUCUUGAUCCAGCAAGAGAGACGGAGAGGUAGAAGAGUUCUCCGGCAGCGUGACGGCGCUCCGGAGGUUGGUGAUGACCUUGUCUCAGCAGGGCUCCGCCCGAGCUCCGCAGAAACGCGAUCUAGAGGAAAAACCGUGGAGGUAUGUGGUCGGGCUGCCGUGGAAAAGUCGUCUCAAAUCAGCCCUAAAACCUCCGUAUAUAUAGGUGGGAGGGAGGGGGCCUUUCCUUGGGGUCCAAGGACCCUCAAGGGGGUCGGCCGAGCCAAGGGGGAGGACUCUCCCCCCCCCCAAACCGAGUUGGACUAGGUUUGGUGGGAGGGAGUCCUCCUCCCUUCCCACCUCCUCCCUUUUUUUUUUCUUUUCCUCUUGAUUUUUCUUCUCUUGGCGCAUAGACCACUUGUGGGCUGUCCCACCAGCCCACUAAGGGCUGGUGUGUCUCCCCAAGGCCUAUGGGAUUCCCCGGGGUGGGUUGCCCCCCCCCCUGAACCCCCGGAACCCAUUCGUCAUUCCCGGUACAUUCCCGGUAAGUCUGAAAACCUUCCGGUAAUCAAAUGAGGUCAUCUUAUAUAUCAAUCUUCGUUUCCGGACCAUUCCGAAAACCCUCGUGACGUCCGUGAUCUCAUCCGGGACUCCGAACAACAUUCGGUAACCAACCAUAUAACUCAAAUACGCAUAAAACAACGUCGAACCUUAAGUGUGCAGACCCUGCGGGUUCGAGAACUAUGUAGACAUGACCCGAGAGACUCCUCGGUCAAUAUCCAAUAGCGGGACCUGGAUGCCCAUAUUGGAUCCUACAUAUUCUACGAAGAUCUUAUCGUUUGAACCUCAGUGCCAAGGAUUCGUACAAUCCCGUAUGUCAUUCCCUUUGUCCUUCGGUAUGUUACUUGCCCGAGAUUCGAUCGUCAGUAUCCGCAUACCUAUUUCAAUCUCGUUUACCGGCAAGUCUCUUUACUCGUUUCGUAAUACAAGAUCCCGCAACUUACACUAAGUUACAUUGCUUGCAAGGCUUGUGUGUGAUGUUGUAUUACCGAGUGGGCCCCGAGAUACCUCUCCGUCACACGGAGUGACAAAUCCCAGUCUUGAUCCAUACUAACUCAACUAACACCUUCGGAGAUACCUGUAGAGCAUCUUUAUAGUCACCCAGUUACGUUGCGACGUUUGAUACACACAAAGCAUUCCUCCGGUGUCAGUGAGUUAUAUGAUCUCAUGGUCAUAGGAAUAAAUACUUGACACGCAGAAAACAGUAGCAACAAAAUGACACGAUCAACAUGCUACGUAUAUUAGUUUGGGUCUAGUCCAUCACGUGAUUCUCCCAAUGACGUGAUCCAGUUAUCAAGCAACAACACCUUGUUCAUAAUCAGAAGACACUGAUUAUCAUCGAUCAACUGGCUAGCCAACUAGAGGCAUGCUAGGGACGGUGUUUUGUCUAUGUAUCCACACAUGUAAAUGAGUCUUCAUUCAAUACAAUUAUAGCAUGGAUAAUAAACUAUUAUCUUGAUACAGAAAUUAUAAUAAUAACUAUAUAUUUAUUAUUGCCUCUAGGGCAUAAUUCCAACAGUAAUGGCUACCGAUUUCAUCCAUGGUGGUGUGCCUUUAAACUUGAGCACAAACUGAAGAAGAUCCCUUCUUCUAAAAACAGGCUCGUAGCGACGGUCAUACAUGAGAGAUCCAAGCGGGUUGUGACUCCUCAACCGAAGAACUCAUGGAACCUAAAUAAACAAAAACAAAAUUUUGUUACUUUCUCAACUUGUCACAGUGUGAAAAGCAAACAAUGUAGAUACAUAAGUACCUCCCCUUUUUCCACUAGCACAGCACGAUGCUUCUUCUCGUAAUAAUCAUCCAGGCCAUGAUAUUUAUCCGGCUCGAACAUCCUACAUAAUAAGUUUAGGAAUUAACAUAAGAAGUUUAGCAACAAACAAAUCACAAGGAAAUCAUAAAUAUUAGGAUUCAACGUAAUACAUUUCUAAAGAUUCAUCAUGUUUCAGCAUGAAGAAUAAUCUUAGGUUUAACAUGAUAAGUUUAGCAAAAAAUAAAUCACAAACAACCAAUUUUAGGGUUUCACUACAACAAUCAAUCUUGAGUGGAAAAAAAUGAAGGAACGAAAGGAGAAUACCUCAAGCAACUUCGGGACAGUCCGAUCUGCCCUUUUUGAUAGCAAAAAGGGGGGGGGGGGGGGGGAGAUUUGGUGGAGGAGGAGAGAUGGGCGGAGAGCAGUUCGUCUCUGUCGGGUGAGGAAGAAGAUGGGGGCUGGACACCUGCGACCUGUGCGGCUCUCUUAAUCCAGGUCAAAAACGCCAACGACCCUCGCGUUUCCAGCAACGCAGCAUGGGUUGGUGUUUCUGGCUUGCCACGUCAGCACGCAACGCGUGAUUGGCCUAGCAGUGGGCCAAUGUAGAAACGUGACCCACCUCGACGUUUCUACACGCAAACUAACUCGGCGUUUCUAUAUUGUUCCGAAACGUCACCGCCUUUGACGUUUCAAGAAAGAUGAAAUCGUGAAAUACUUCGGUCUCGUAUUCAGUUUGUGAACAUGUUGACCCACAAGGUUAAAACAGUGAUGUCGGCCCCAACCUUGCAGCACUCGCUUCAUCAGUAACAAACUAACAAGUGCUCGACUGCGACCCGUGCAUUAUAAUGUAAUACUCCCUCCGUCUCAAAAUAAGUGUCUCAAGCUUAGUACAACUUUGUACUAAAGCUAGUACAAAGUUGAGACAAUUAUUUUGGGACGGAGGGAGUAGUAUUUUUAUCCGAGAAAGAACGUACGCGAUGUACGCUGUACUUUUUCUAUCCUUCUGAAACAAAUGUACCAUGUACAUAAUUGAAACAUGCGUUUAAUACCGCCGCCCCUAGGACGCAGUACUACACAACCUGCCAGUCCAUGUACAAAUGCCGUAUCCAUAAACCGGGUAGCUUUCGGUGGACUGCCUUUGAGUGCAGCCACCGGCCGGGGAACCAGUUGCCGCGGCCGUACGCGCGUACAUCAUGUAGCAUCGGCGGUACGGUACGGCGAUAUGCGAAAGUGUUCAUAAGAAUAUGAGUACAUAUGUACAUUUAUGGAGACGAAUGUAUGCGCAUAUAUAUAAACGUUUGUAGUAUUUGUUUAGUAUUAAAAAAAUAUGUCUGUGCCCGCCACUGCCUUAACUUGGCUACCGUCCAUGGGAUGAUCUUCUCCUUGUCCUCCCACAAAGAUCACACUGGGCCAGUGGUCGGUUGUACUCGUCUCUUGGUCUUGACUAUUCCACGUUGUUGUUUUGCUGAGAGGAGUUAAAAGAAAGACAAUGGGCAAUGUGAUUUCCGUUCCAAAACAAUGGUUUAUAUUACAAUUUUUUGAUAAACAAUGGUUUACAUUCUUCUUUGAUCUUCUACCAGGUGAAAAUGACAAGAAGUCUACGCGUGAUAGUAGUAAACAUUGUGAAGCCAAAGUCUACUUGAGGACGAGGAAUGUUCCAAGAAGCACGGUACCCUGGCCUGUUGAAUUCUUUUUCUUCGCAACCUAAGGAACUGUUCCAACAAAACUGGUGUACUAUUACUACUACUACUUUUCCACAAACCAAUCAGUUCAGCAUAUCCGACCAUGACAUUCCAGAAGAUCGACAGAGAAUCAGAUAGAAUCAAGGAUCACAUCUAAACAGCCGCAUCAUUCCACACACUAAUCUACAUGUCCAAUCCUAACAAUCUCUUCCUUAUGCGCGUGUUUAUCUCUUCCAAUUUAAUCCAGUACUGCACGUCAAUUCACACUAGCAUGAACAAUAAGGGCAACUUCAACCAGCCGACCCAAACGGACAAUGAUUUCGUCCGUUUGGGUCGUCCAAGCGGACACGAACGUCCGUUUUGGCAAAUGGGUCGCCUCGUGCGACCAACGCUGACCGGAUCUAUUUUUGCUGACAAGAAAAAAACAUUAAACAUAAUUAAACAUUAAAAGCUGGUCACGAAGGCCGGCAAUAGUCAACGCGUCGCGUCCGCAUUACAUUAAAUAAAAAAAACUAAAACUGCAUCCAUACAGCCCUAGGCGGCGGCGGCGUCGUCGUCGGGGCCGGUCAGGUUGACCAGUGUUGGCGCAGGGCCGGCCCAGGGAAACGUCGAGUUCCAGAGCGCAGCUGCCUGCGCCUCCGUCGUCUACCCUGCCGGCGCGAGCUGUGGUGGUGGCGGUGGCAGCGCAGCAGCGCGAGCACGCUCCUCCNNNNNNNNNNNNNNNNNNNNNNNNNNNNNNNNNNNNNNNNNNNNNNNNNNNNNNNNNNNNNNNNNNNNNNNNNNNNNNNNNNNNNNNNNNNNNNNNNNNNNNNNNNNNNNNNNNNNNNNNNNNNNNNNNNNNNNNNNNNNNNNNNNNNNNNNNNNNNNNNNNNNNNNNNNNNNNNNNNNNNNNNNNNNNNNNNNNNNNNNNNNNNNNNNNNNNNNNNNNNNNNNNNNNNNNNNNNNNNNUCCUUCUCCAGCUCCAUGAGUCGCAGGCCUUCGGCGCGCUCCGCCUGCAGGUGCACCGACCUCCAGUGCUCGAGGUAGGCCUGCUCCUGCUCCGGUGUCGCGCCCAGCCAGAAGGGGGGCGCGCUGACGAACUCAUGGACGACGCCGGGACCAGGAGCGAAGCAUAUUGGUCCCUGUUCGUGUCUGGAACCGGGACCGAAUGUGACAAACGAACCGGGACAAAUGGCCCACGAGGCCCGACCGGCGCCGUGGCCUCACGAACCGGGACCUAGGCCCACAUGGGUCCCGGUUCGUGGGUGAACCGUGCCUAAUGGGAUUUCAUCAAGUGGACCAAAGCCCUCUUUUCUACUAGUGAGAUUAGAAUCUCUCAAGUCAUUGGUACCAAAACAACGCCCUUGUAAUCGAGAUCAUCAUCAUCAUCACAAUAGCAAUCAAGCAUGAUGUAGGCUUCUACCUCCAUUGCAAGGGGCCGAACCUGGGUAAAACUCGUGUCUAACGAUUCCGACCAACCCUGUUCAAGUUACCACCUAGUUGUGAUGGCCUCACAACUUAAUCCUUUCACGUGGGCAUAUGCCAUGACAAAACCACGACUUUAUGCGUCCGUGCGGUGAGGUCGAGGUCCAGCUGGGUUGCCAUAGGUGGUUGCAUAGGUCAUCGAUGCGGCCAUGGCUGCUCUGGCGGCUCGUAACUUGUGUCAUCAAAUGGAUAGACUUCGGUGACCACGGACAUGGUGGCGUGCGAGCUUGAUUGUCCAUGGUAAGGGACUUGCUCAACAAUGGUAGCAUGUCAGCUACAGAGUUGUAUCCCUCCUGGUCCACCAAGAUUGAUCGGGAACGCAUGAGUGGGUGCCUCCUACAUGUGGAGGCGCUCACCCAAACUCCAUGGUUGAUGCCAGGCUAGGAGUGGAGGGGGUGUCUCUGCUCGCCCUAGCGUGGUUGAAUGCACUAUGAAGUGUGUGGUGUACAAUGUCUCGUGACACGUAUGUCGGGGUGGUGGUCUUGGAUGGCAGGCUUCAUGGUUGGCUUUCUAGCAGUCUUCGUGGUAGCGGUGGUGAUUUCACCUCUUGGCCGUGUGGGCGUCAAGCAAGGUUCUCACAAUUGUGAUUUUAUUGUAUGAUUCUAUGACUUUAGGAUCUAAACUAUCCACUCUCUUUCUACGAAUUUACUGAGUAGAAUCUACAUUUUUUCGAUUUUGAUAACCGAGAUUCUAAAAUUUGUGAUCCUAUCGUUGGAGCUUCGAUCCGAUUCAGAAUCAUGAUUUGCACGACCUUAGCGACAAGGGUGUAGUAGCGACACGACCUCGAUGUGGUGGUGGUGGUGGUGAGUAUCCGAGCCAAAUCUCACGUUUCUGGUGCUGAUGGGGUCCAUGGGUAUGACUUGCUUCGUGAAGACAUCAUCGUGGGUCUUGUCCUGUCAUGGCUCUAGGUGCAAACCUGUGUCUGCUCGGACUUUGCAGCGGCAUCACUCUAUGUCGUCAUCCUCUUGGGUGAUGGGGAACGUCGCAUGGUAAACAAAAAAUUUCCUACGCGCACGAAGACCUAUCAUGGUGAUGUCCAUCUACAAGAGGGGAUUUCCGAUCUACGUACCCUUGUAGAUUGCACAGCAGAAGCGUUAAGAAACGCGGUUGAUGUAGUGGAACGUCGUCACGUCCCUCGAUCCGCCCCGCGAACCGUCCCACGAACCGUCCCACGAUCCGCUCCGAUCUAGUGCCGAACGGACGACACCUCCGCGUUCAGCACACGUACAGCUCGACGAUGAUCUCGGCCUUCUUGAUCCAGCAAGAGAGACGGAGAGGUAGAUGAGUUCUCCGGCAGCGUGACGGCGCUCCGGAGGUUGGUGGUGAUCUAAUCUCAGCAGGGCUCCGCCCGAGCUCCGCGGAAACGCGAUCUAGAGGUAAAAUCGUGGAGGUAUGUGGUCGGGCUGCCGUGGCAAAAGUUGUCUCAAAUCAGCCCUAAAACCCCACUAUAUAUAGGAGGGCCCCCCCCGGGGAGGAGGCAGCCUCAAAACCUAAAGGUUUGGCCGAAAUUGGAGGUGGAGGAGUCCUACUCCAAUCCUACUUGGAGUAGGAUUCCACCUUCCCACUUGGAAACUCUUUCCACCUUGUGUUUUUUCCUUCUCAAACCUUAUGGGCCUUAGUGGGAACUUAUUCCAGCCCACUAGGGGCUGGUUUAUCUCUUCCCAUAGCCCAUGAGACCCCUUGGGGCGUGACACCCCUCCUGAUGGUCCCCGGCACCCCUCCCGGCACUCCCAGUACACUACCGAUGAGCCCGAAACUUUUCCGGUAAUGCACGAAAACCUUCCGGUAACCAAAUGAGGUCAUCCUAUAUAUCAAUCUUUGUUUCCGGACCAUUCCGGAAACACUCGUGACGUCCAUGAUCUCAUCCAGGACUCCGAACAACAUUCGGUAACCAACCAUAUAACUCAAAUACGCAUAAAACAACGUCGAACCUUAAGUGUGCAGACCCUGCGGGCUCGAGAACUUUGUAGACAUGACCCGAGUGACUCCUCGGUCAAUAUCCAAUAACGGGACCUGGAUGCCCAUAUUGGAUCCUACAUAUUCUACGAAGAUCUUAUCGUUUGAACCUCAGUGCCAAGGAUUCAUAUAAUCCCGUAUGUCAUUCCCUUUGUCCUUCGGUAUGUUACUUGCCCGAGAUUUGAUCGUCAGUAUCCGCAUACCUAUUUCAAUCUCGUUUACCGGCAAGUCUCUUUACUCGUUCCGUAAUACAAGAUCCCGCAACUUAAACUAAGUCACAUAGCUUGCAAGGCUUGUGUGUGAUGUUGUAUUACCGAGUGGGCCCCGAGAUACCUCUCCGUCAUACGGAGUAACAAAUUCGAGUCUCGAUCCAUACUAACUCAACGAACACCUUCGGAGAUACCUGUAGAGCAUCUUUAUAGUCACCCAGUUACGUUGCGACGUUUGAUACACACAAAGCAUUCCUCCAGUGUAAGUGAGUUAUAUGAUCUCAUGGUCAUAGGAACAAAUACUUGACAUGCAGAAAACAGUAGCAACAAAAUGACACGAUCAACAUGCUACGUCUAUUAGUUUGGGUCUAGUCCAUCACAUGAUUCUCCUAAUGAUGUGAUCCCGUUAUCAACUAACAACACUUGCCUAUGGCCAGGAAACCUUGACCAUCUUUGAUCAACGAGCUAGUCAACUAGAGGCUUACUAGGGACAGUGUUUUGUCUAUGUAUCCACACAAGUAUUGUGUUUCCAAUCAAUACAAUUAUAGCAUGGAUAAUAAACGAUUAUCAUGAACAAAGAAAUAUAAUAAUAACUAAUUAUUAUUGCCUCUAGGGCAUAUUUCCAACAUUGGGGGCAUGGACGUGGAGCCAUGAGUCUCCUGUCGGGCCGUAGAGAGGUGUUAGCCUUGUUCUAGGUCUAUCUUGUAUCUUGCGACCUGCUUUAUAAGGGUGCCUCCCACUGAAAAGACCUCGAUGACUCCUAGAAGGGGGGGGGGUGGGUGGGUGAAUAGGCUAUUUAAAAACUUCUUCGGAUUUGGGUUGAACCUAAUGCGGAAAUAAACUAAGAGGGUACUUGUCAAGCACAAAUCCUAAAUGCACUAGCCACUACAACGUGUAUCAACAACUCGAUCUACAAAGAUGGACACAAUACAGUUACUAACAAGCACAAGUAAGUUACACAAACUUACUUGAGCUAUAUCACAUGACAAGUAGGUGAACGACACAAGAUACUAGAUCACACUAUAUCACACGAUAUAUCAAAAGCUGUAAGUGUGAACAUGUGGAUAUAGAGGGUAUGCUUGAAUGAUUAAUCUUGUACAAGAAAUAGCCAACACAAUAUAAUGAGCACAAACAAUAUGCAAUGUAUGUAUGCUCAAGUAACACAAGUAAACCACAAGUAAGGAGUUAGGGUUAAGGAUAACCAAGGUCACUGAGACGAAAAUGUAUCCCGAUGUUCACUUCCUUGGAGGGAAGCUAGUCACCGUUAGAGAGGUGGAUGUUACCACGAAGGCACACCAACGCCACGAAGGCUCACCCUAUUCUCCCUUUGAGAUAACACCACGAAGGCGUUUCUCAACCACUAGUGGUAAGCCUUUGAGGUGGCUUCCAAACCCUCACAAACUUUUCCGGGGGAAAUCACACAGAUUGAUUCCUCUCCGAAGAACUCCUACCGCCUAGGAGUCUCCAACCUCCAAGAGUAACAAGAUCACGGGGAAUGCUCAAAACUUGCUCAAAUCUCAAAUAGCUUGGGUUGAGAGGAGGAGAGGGAGACGAUCUAUCUUUUGAUUGGAACAACUCUCAAAGGGGCUCACAAAUGCUCUUGGCAUCUAAGAUUUGGUGUGAGCAAAUGUGUGUGAGGUAGAAAUGUGUUCUUAUGAGGAUAAGGCUGUGUUGGGCACCCUCUCACGAAGUGGGAGGGGGUAUUUAUAGUGGGGAGAGAAAAACAGCCGUUGGGGACACUUUAAGUCACACAGGGUCCGGACGUCCGGCAGUUCUCGGAAGUCCGAGCGUUCGGAAGGGGUCGGACGUCCGACAGGGGUCGGUCGUCCGAGGGCUGUAGCUAUGACUACAAACACUGUGAAUUGAACAGCGACCGGACGUCCGGAGAAGGCCGGAAAUCUGAGUUAUUCGACUCAACUUCUUCUGGUGGGAGGUUCCGGAUUUCCGAAAGGGGACGGACGUCCGGCCCUCGGACGUCCGGAGGGAGCCGGAAAUCGGAGUUAUAGAGCUCAUGUUCUUCUGGUGCAGGGCUCCGGAUUUCCGAAGCUGGUCGGACGUCCGGCCCUCGGAUGUCCGGAGGGAGCCGGAAUUCUGAGUUAUAUGACUCAAAUACUUCUGGUGGGGGGCUCUGGAUUUCCGACGCCUGUUGGUCGUCCGGCCCUCGGAUGUCCGGAGGGAGCCGGAAGUCCGAGGCAAUAGACCUGUUUUGAGAUAGGAACAGAGUAGAGAAUAUGUGGUCUGAGCAGAACAGUGGAGAUGUAGUUUGAGCAAGUUCAUCGCAAAACCUGUGAUCCCCUCUUAAUAGUGUGGGAUCCCUAAAGACUCAAGAAUUGUAAAAGGGGUACCGAUGAUCCAUACUUGAGUGUAUACUUUUAUUCGCUGAUCAUCACUCCGCACCACUAACGUCAAAGGGACUGAUACCUUUGAGUUAGCCCUUUCACUUGAGCUUGAUGUUGUUGUUUCUUCUUGGCCCAAGUUGAAAGCAAGACAUGAUGCAGUCUUCAAGUAGCUUUCCCAUACACAAUGUGGAAAGCCUAGCUUAUGUAUUCAUCUUCAUUUGUCCACCAUGUGAACAUCCACAAAAAUCAAGCAUGUAGUGCUCAGGAAUGCUUAUCUUGAUCUUGUCCUUGUUAGCACAUGAGCUUGUCCUUAUUAACACAUGAUCAUUAACAAUAGUUUCAAUGAUAUAUUCGUGCUGAUCCACUUGAACUUGCACACCACAAUCUUGAUGACGAUCACCACUUGACGUCAUCCUUCAUGAGUUGUAUGAGAUCUUCCUUUUGACGCAAGUCCAUGGAAGCACACCUANGCUGAUCAUCACUCCGCACCACUAACGUCAAAGGGACUGAUACCUUUGAGUUAGCCCUUUCACUUGAGCUUGAUGUUGUUGUUUCUUCUUGGCCCAAGUUGAAAGCAAGACAUGAUGCAGUCUUCAAGUAGCUUUCCCAUACACAAUGUGGAAAGCCUAGCUUAUGUAUUCAUCUUCAUUUGUCCACCAUGUGAACAUCCACAAUAAUCAAGCAUGUAGUGCUCAGGAAUGCUUAUCUUGAUCUUGUCCUUGUUAGCACAUGAGCUUGUCCUUAUUAACACAUGAUCAUUAACAAUAGUUUCAAUGAUAUAUUCGUGCUGAUCCACUUGAACUUGCACACCACAAUCUUGAUGACGAUCACCACUUGACGUCAUCCUUCAUGAGUUGUAUGAGAUCUUCCUUUUGACGCAAGUCCAUGGAAGCACACCUACCCCCCACAUAGGAGUCUCACAAAGACCAUGGGUUAGUACACAAACACAUAAUGGACAAUGCUUACCAUACCAUGGGAUCACUUGAUCCCUCUCGGUACAUCUUAUACGUUUUGUGUGUUGAUCAUCUUGAUUUACUCUUUGUCUGAGAUCUUGAUCAACCUACUGUCUCUAUGACCAUUCUUUGGAUAAUACCUUGAAUACCAUCUUGGUCAUCAUAUAAACUCCUUGAACCCAACAGAUGGACUUCAAGAAGUGCCUAUGGACAAAUCCUAUAAAUAUAACUUAAGGCAACCAUUAGUCCAUAGGAAUUGUCAUCAAUUACCAAAACCACAUAUGGAGAUAUAUGCUCUAACAAUCUCCCCCAUUUUGGUAAUUGAAGACAACCACUUCAAGAGAGUUUAUAUAAGGAAAUAAGCAUAACCAAGCGCACACAUACAAGGUAAUAAUGCAUGUGUGCAAGAUGUAAAUGCUUAUGCAAUAAAAGCAAAACCCUCUAAACAUAUCCAAAGUAAACUCUCUAAACUUCUCCCCCAUUGGCAUCGAUUGCCAAAAUGGACGAAAAGUUUAGAAAGCCAAUAUAGUAGGUGGUCCUCCAAAAAGUGUGUACUUCUCAGCAAAUGAGUGCAGAAAAAUACACAAAUACAAUGAUAAGUAGUUGGAGGAAAACAAACUAUAUUGAGGACCCAAAGAUUGCAGAUAAAAGGAUCGUAUGCCACAAAGACAUACAAAGAUAGAGGCAAGCAAUCAAAAGAUUCCAGAUGGAACAAACAAUCAUAUGGUCCUUCGAACCACAUGAAUAAAAGAUAUUAUGAUAAAGGCAACAUAGUGUUUUAUCAAAAACUAGAGAAGCUCCCCAUGAUUUGUGCACUAAUACAAGAUUUUUGUAUUUGACACAGGUGCAUAAAAUAGGAUCGUUGCUCCCCCAGAAUUUAUAAAAGCACACAACGAGUGCAAGAAGAUAGAUGAGACAAUAAGCAUAUCAAUUUCACAAAACAAAUGGUUGAGCAACAUGUAAAAGAAGCAACUUGAGGAUAGGCUCAACCAAAGUAAUGUGUGUGAGUCAUGGCAAAGCACUUGAGAAGACUAAUAUAAGGAUGAGCAUUACUCAUCAACAUAGUCUUGAUGAAAUGAGAUACAAAGUGUAAGACAUAUCAUUCCCACACACACAUACUAGAAAAUGGGUUCACAAGCUUACUAAUAAACAAAAUAAGAACCAACGCUUGUGACAACCCAUUGUGAAGAUAGGAAGUAAGAACCUUGUCAAGAGGAGGGGUACUAAUUGAAAUGGCAAAACCCUCAUCAAGACAAGCAUGAGGAAAAAUAAUCUUCACGGCCAAAGAGUGCAUCAAGAUGUAGGAAAAUAAGAUACACACUCAAAACCAAUCCUUUCAUGAAGCCACCAAAAACUGAAAAAGGAAAUGUAACGAUGGAUGUGAAAGAAAAGAGGAUAUCAAUUAGAGAUGUAACUUCUCUCAUGUGUAAAAAGAUUCUAAGUAGAAGACAAUCAUGAUGAUAUAUAUCCACAAAGAAGGAUGUACACACGAAAUGGUUACAAGAAGGAACAAACUAGAUAUCCAAAAGGAAGUCAUAAAUAUAUCAAUGAGAUCUUUUGCUUGGAAGCAUAGCACAUGGCCUAAUAUUUUCUUAUUGUACAAUAUGAACUUCCAACAUACGAACAUCAAAGAAAUCCCAACUAGUAGUAAGACAUCAUCGUUCGGAUGCUUUGAGAAAGCAAACAAGUACUUCAAGAACGAAUCAAGAGAUUCAUGCCAUGAUGCAACCUGGAAAAGAAAAGACUGGUUGGGGCCUUUGCAAGAAAAGAAUGCAUGAAGUGGAUACUUGUUACCGAGACAACAUUGGAUUGAUGUAGUAGAUAGUUGUUCUUUGAUCAUCCUAACUUGGCUCCAAUAAUCACAUGGCCUCAACACCUUCCUUAUAGGUGAGCCGAGCAUCCAAUGCAUCUCUAGUUGUUCCUGGAACAGCAAAACAAACAAAAUGGUGCCCAAACUCAUUGGGACCAAAGAGUUAGAAAACCAGCAAUACAUAGGACAAACUCCACAUACAUAUGUGAAUAUAGAUAUGAAUUUGAAUUUCAUGCACACUUUAGCCAAUUUAUGACAAGGUGGAGUUUCCCUUAUAUAUUGGGUCAAAGAAGGAAAGCAAGCAAAAGAAGUUGUAUAUAGUAGAUAUGCAUGCUCAAGACUCUCAAGAAUCAACUCAACACAAAGUUGAUAAGUCACCAAAAGACAAGGUAUCAAGUGAUAAAAAGAUCCUAAACAAAAAAGAAAUAUCAUUUGAAGGAUAUCAACUAAAAGAUACCUCAAGGAAUGAGAUAUCCAUUGACACAUGCCAAAUAAAAGGAAACAAGAAACCAAUUGAAGGAAAACAAACACGAGGUAUCUAAUUUCCAAAAGAGAGCUAGGUUCCAACAAACCAAGCCCUCUACAAAUUUUCAUGAUGGCACAAAGCAUCAUAAAGAGAAAGACUUGCCUCCCAUCAACACACACUUGAUGGGGAUCAAAAGAUUUUAUGAUGGGUGAAUAAAGAGAGUGUUCUAAAGAAAAUAGGAUAGCUCCCCCAAGGGACGUGCAUUAUAUAGAAUUUGCAUUUAAAUACAAAAUGCACACGAUGGGAUCAUCACGUUCUCUAUAUCUAUAAAAACACUAGACAUGUUAAAAUAGAUCCAUAAGAGGCAAGGAAGACAAACGAAACACAAAAUCCAAUGUAAAGACGAUUAGCAAUUCCUAUCACAUGAUGGGAAUACCAAUUGUCAAGGACAAGAAGUAUUUUGGAAGUGAUACUCAUUGGUAGAUCGCAAAUAUAUCCAAGACCAUCUUUACCCAUAAAACGCAAGCAAAUGACACUUGUAGAGCUAACAUGCCACCUAGGAACAAGAUAAUUUACAAUAUCAACACUAAGUGGCAACACCUCAAAUGUACACAUUUUUUAGGUUCGUAAUAUGCACAUAGCAUAUUACUCCCCCAUAAUGUGAUAAACCAACAAUAUUAAAAAGUGGCAAAUUGAAACCAACAAGAGAUAAUUAAUGGACCAUAUAGAAUUUGAAUUUCUCAUGAGUAAGACAUACCACAUAGAAACUAGAUAAUCUUGAAAUAUCAAAACUAAGUGGUAUUCCCCAUGUAUACACAUUUAUAGGAUUGUGAGGUGUGCAAAGCACAUCACUCCCCCACAAUGGGAUAAUCCAUUAGUCUCUCACAAGAGCCAACAAAAAUACAAACAAGAUGCAAAAGGCUCAAUACAAGACUCACAUGUACAUGAUAUGCAAACCAACAUACACAUACUCGAUUACUCAAGUUAAGCAAGUUGGAAGCACAACAUAUACAAACGCAUGCAAGGUACAAAACCACAACAUGCAAAGGGGCAAGCACCUAACAAUGUAAACAGUUUAAGUAUAAGUUACCGUAAGAAGGCACAUUGGAUAUAAGAUAGAAACUCGAUAAUCCAACUGACUUGGCUUGAGAUAAUAUGAAUGAUGAAGACCCCUUAAUUCUUCAUUAUGUAUCCAAAUCUCUAAUGUCCUCCAUAGUCACCUACUGAUCAAGUUUGAGCUUGUUGGUCCCCAACUACGUUGGGUCCUAAGAGGUUAAUCACAAUAGGCUUGGCAACCCAAAUGGUUCUUUUCUUGACACCAUUUUGGGUACCAACAAACUUGGCAAACACAUUGCCAACCUUAUCCUUCCCAAAUGAAUAGAUAUCACCAAUAGUGAUUGGGUUGGAUAAGUUACCUCUUGUGCAAGACGAAGCGACGUGACCCUUCUCACGACAUAAGUAGCAACAUCUACCCUUUGCUUUCUUCCCAGUUGAUUUUUCACCUCGGGGAGUGUUGGCUUGGGUAUUAUUGGGAAGAGGCCCUCCUUCAACUUGUAGCUGAAUAUGUGAUUGAGUUUGUGGCCGCUUCCCUUGUUGCUUGUGACUUUGAGACUUCGUCUUGAGAGGGCAAGAUCUAACAUGGUGCCCUUUAACUUUGCACUUGAAGCAAAUGAUUUUGGCCGAAUUCUUGACUUGUUCUAGGCCCCUCUUGUUCUUGUUUGAGUUUACUCCAACAUCAUUUUUUGUCAUUCAGAGAUAUUUGCUCACACAGGACGUUGUUGAGUGUGAAAAUCCCUUCAUGACACUGUUCCAAGUCUUUCUUCAAAGAAGUGACUUGGGCCUUGAGUUGUUCGAUUUCCUCUGCACGGUUAGUAUCAAUGCAAGUACUAGAGGAAGUGUAAGCUUCAAUGUUAGAGCAACAAGGCAAGGAAAGUAAUUCAUCACACGAGGUAGCAACAUUAUGAGUAGACGAAUUACGAGGACUAGUACAUGGAAAUAUAGUACUUUGACUAGAAGUAGUGCCAUUGUCCACAUGAUGCUCACUUGAUGUUACCUUGGUGAUGAUAGCCUCAUGAGCUAAAUUUUGCACAUUAUGGGAUGUUAGAAGAUCGGCAUGAGAGCUUGUGAGCAUUACAUGGUUUUCUUCCAACUUCCCAUAAUUGCUAGUUAGUAAAUCAAGUUGAGCACGUAGCUCAACAUUCUCCUUCAAUGUUGAUACAUCAAAAGAGAUAGGGUUAGAUGUACAAGUAUCAUCAACAAUAUGAGAGGAGUAAGUAGCGAUUAGAGACUUCUCAUGAGUAGAUUGAAGCUCCUCAUAGAUCUUAGAGGUUUUGACGAGCUCUCCCUUGACAUUCUUGCAUUCAAGGAGAAGGACCUCAAAAUCCCUUUUAAGUUUAUCAUGAGUAACUUCAAUCUCUCCUUUUGAAGAUAUUAAGUCUCUACAUGCUUGAUGACUCUUCUCAAGUUCAUGUUCAAGUUGUUCACUUUUAGCUUGUUCAUGAUUAAGUGAAUCAUUACAAUUUUCAAAGUAAGCAACAACAUCUUGGAACCUUUGAAGAGCGUUAUUUUUAGCUUUAUGAAGAAUUUUACUCAUCACAUAGAUAUUUUCAGUCAAGUCGUCAUCAUCAUCCUCAUCACAAAUAUCAUCGUUAUUGCACAGGGAAGAUGAUACCUCAUUAUUACCUCUUGCCAUGACGCACAUGUGAACUGGAGGAGUUGAUGAUGAUUCUUUUGGUGAAUCAGAUUCUUCAUUAGUCAAAAGUACUUCAUAUUUCUUGAUUUCCCCUAAAUGAUUAGUCAUAGAACAACUAGGGAGAAACCAGAUAUUUUGAUCAAGAGGACACGGGAGAGCAGGCAUAUCACCAUAGACAUUUGUCGAGGGAUCUUUAGGUGAAAUGCAUGACCUAUCAGCACAAUAAUUUACACUAUGUGUGGUGCUAGAUAUGCUCAUGUCCAUAGAGGCUAUGACAUUUUCAUCAACAUAUAUUUCUUCACUCACCAUGUCAUUACCUUGUGAGAUUGAAGAUGCUGAGGUGUGCAAGCAAUCUGAUAUGGAAGUAGUGGUGGACUCUUUAUGAUCGAAAAGAGUGAAGAGCUCAUGCACCAACUCCUUCAUCAUAAUAUCGUCUUCAUCAAGAUUGGACCCACCAUAUAUAUCUUCAAGUUUAGUCCAAACUUCAUGAGCUGACUUGCAAGUCGAGAUAGACUUAAACACUUCAGGACUUAUGGUUCGAUGAAUGGCAAGAAAAUCCUCACAAUCAAGAUACAUUUCAUUAGUAGAUGAAGAUGCAUCAUCCUUUUUGUCGGCAAUCCCUACAAGAACAAUUCGUAAAGUAUUUGGGCCCAUGGCCCGAAAGUGAUGAAGCAUACAGAUUCUCCAUAGGGUAAAAUUUGUGCCAUCAAAGUCAAAGGUGCCAUUAUGCACUAAUCCAAUAGUCGACAUCGAUACUCUCUAGGUCGUGAAACCUAAUUAAAGAGAGACCUAGCUCUGAUACCAAUUGAAAAGACCAUGAUGACGCCUAGAGGGGGGGGGUGAAUAGGCUAUUUAAAAACUUCUUUGGAUUUGGCUUGAACCUAAUGCGGAAAUAAACUAAGAGGGUACUUGUCAAGCACAAAUCCUAAAUGCACUAGGCACUGCAACGUGUAUCAACAACACGAUCUACAAAGAUGGACACAAUAUAGUUACUAACAAGAACAAGUAAGUUACACAAACUUACUUGAGCUAUAUCACGUGACAAGUAGGUGAACGACACAAGAUACUAGAUCACACUAUAUCACAUGAUAUAUCAAAAGCUGUAAGUGUGAACGUGUGGAUAUAGAGGGUAUGCUUGAAUGAUUAAUCUUGUACAAGAAAUAGCCAACACAAUAUAAUGAGCACAAACAAUAUGCAAUGUAUGUAUGCUCAAGUAACACAAGUAAACCACAAGUAAGGAGUUAGGGUUAAGGAUAACCAAGGUCACAUAGACGAAGAUGUAUCCCGAUGUUCACUUCCUUGGAGGGAAGCUAGUCACCGUUAGAGAGGUGGAUGUUACCACGAAGGCUCACCCCAUUCUCCCUUUGAGAUAACACCACGAAGGCGUUUCUCAACCACUAUUGGUAAGCCUUUGAGGUGGCUUCCAAACCCUCACAAACUUUUCCGGGGGAAAUCACACAGAUUGAUUCCUCUCCGAAGAACUCCUACCGCCUAGGAGUCUCCAACCUCCAAGAGUAACAAGAUCACGGGGAAUGCUCAAAACUUGCUCAAAUCUCAAAUAGCUUGGGUUGAGAGGAGGAGAGGGAGACGAUCUAUCUUUUGAUUGGAACAACUCUCAAAGGGGCUCACAAAUGCUCUUGGCNCACCCCAUUCUCCCUUUGAGAUAACACCACGAAGGCGUUUCUCAACCACUAUUGGUAAGCCUUUGAGGUGGCUUCCAAACCCUCACAAACUUUUCCGGGGGAAAUCACACAGAUUGAUUCCUCUCCGAAGAACUCCUACCGCCUAGGAGUCUCCAACCUCCAAGAGUAACAAGAUCACGGGGAAUGCUCAAAACUUGCUCAAAUCUCAAAUAGCUUGGGUUGAGAGGAGGAGAGGGAGACGAUCUAUCUUUUGAUUGGAACAACUCUCAAAGGGGCUCACAAAUGCUCUUGGCAUCUAAGAUUUGGUGUGAGAAAAUGUGUGUGAGGUAGAAAUGUGUUCUUAUGAGGAUAAGGCUGUGUUGGGCACCCUCUCACGAAGUGGGAGGGGGGAUUUAUAGUGGGGAGAGAAAAACAGCCGUUGGGGACACUUUAAGUCACACAGGGUCCGGACGUCCCGCAGUUCUCGGAAGUCCGGGCGUUUGCAAGGGGUCGGACGUCCGACAGGGGUCGGUCGUCCGAGGGCUGUAGCUAUGACUGGAAACACUGUGAAUUGAACAGCGACCGGACGUCUGGCCCUCGGACGUCCGGAGGGAGCCGGAAAUCCGAGUUAUUCGACUCAACUUCUUCUGGUGGGAGGUUCCGGAUUUCCGAAAGGGGACGGACGUCCGGCCCUCGGACGUCCGGAGGGAGCCGGAAAUCAGAGUUAUAGAGCUCAUGUUCUUCUGGUGCAGGGCUCCGGAUUUCCGAAGCUGGUCGGACGUCCGGCCCUCGGAUGUCCGGAGGGAGCCGGAAUUCUGAGUUAUAUGACUCAAAUACUUCUGGUGGGGGGCUCUGGAUUUCCGACGCAUGUUGGUCGUCCGGCCCUCGGACGUCCGGAGGGAGCCGGAAGUCCGAGGCAAUAGACCUGUUUUGAGAUAGGAACAGAGUAGAGAAUAUGUGGUCUGAGCAGAAUAGUGGAGAUGUAGUUUGAGCAAGUUCAUCGCAAAACCUGUGAUCCCCUCUUAAUAGUGCGGGAUCCCUAAAGACUCAAGAAUUGUAAAAGGGGUACCGAUGAUCCAUACUUGAGUGUAUACUUUUAUUCGCUGAUCAUCACUCCGCACCACUAACGUCAAAGGGACUGAUACCUUUGAGUUAGCCCUUUCACUUGAGCUUGAUGUUGUUGUUUCUUCUUGGCCCAAGUUGAAAGCAAGACAUGAUGCAGUCUUCAAGUAGCUUUCCCAUACACAAUGUGGAAAGCCUAGCUUAUGUAUUCAUCUUCAUUUGUCCACCAUGUGAACAUCCACAACAAUCAAGCAUGUAGUGCUCAGGAAUGCUUAUCUUGAUCUUGUCCUUGUUAGCACAUGAGCUUGUCCUUAUUAACACAUGAUCAUUAACAAUAGUUUCAAUGAUAUAUUCAUGCUGAUCCACUUGAACUUGCACACCACAAUCUUGAUGACGAUCACCACUUGACGUCAUCCUUCAUGAGUUGUAUGAGAUCUUCCUUUUGACGCAAGUCCAUGGAAGCACACCUANGCUGAUCAUCACUCCGCACCACUAACGUCAAAGGGACUGAUACCUUUGAGUUAGCCCUUUCACUUGAGCUUGAUGUUGUUGUUUCUUCUUGGCCCAAGUUGAAAGCAAGACAUGAUGCAGUCUUCAAGUAGCUUUCCCAUACACAAUGUGGAAAGCCUAGCUUAUGUAUUCAUCUUCAUUUGUCCACCAUGUGAACAUCCACAAGAAUCAAGCAUGUAGUGCUCAGGAAUGCUUAUCUUGAUCUUGUCCUUGUUAGCACAUGAGCUUGUCCUUAUUAACACAUGAUCAUUAACAAUAGUUUCAAUGAUAUAUUCAUGCUGAUCCACUUGAACUUGCACACCACAAUCUUGAUGACGAUCACCACUUGACGUCAUCCUUCAUGAGUUGUAUGAGAUCUUCCUUUUGACGCAAGUCCAUGGAAGCACACCUAACCCCCACAUAGGAGUCUCACAAAGACCAUGGGUUAGUACACAAACACGUAAUGGACAAUGCUUACCAUACCAUGGGAUCACUUGAUCCCUCUCGGUACAUCUUAUACGUUUUGUGUGUUGAUCAUCUUGAUUUACUCUUUGUGUGAGAUCUUGAUCAAUCUACUGUCUCUAUGACCAUUCUUUGGAUAAUACCUUGAAUACCAUCUUGGUCAUAAUAUAAACUCUUUGAACCCAACAGAUGGACUUCAAGAAGUGCCUAUGGACAAAUUCUAUAAAUAUAACUUAAGGCAACCAUUAGUCCAUAGGAAUUGUCAUCAAUUACCAAAACCACAUGUGGAGAUAUAUGCUCUAACACCCACCAUAUUGUUUCAUUCGAUCGUGUACUUUGUUGUGAUGAUUUCUACAUAAAGCAAGGCGAAAGCUAGUUUCAAGUCAUCUUGAAUCCAUUGGUCACCCAUUGGAAUGGUCGUGUUAUUUUAUCCCUCCUUUUUUUCAAUAAUGUGGGAUAGACGACCGAACUCCCCGUUGGUCCACCAUUGGAUGGGUUGUACCUACAGUCAAGUGUGACGAGCCUGGCAACCCCAAGUAUAGCUAAGAGCAACUCUAGCAGACCCCACAUCCCGCCCCGACCCGCAAAAUAACUGCCAAAGUGCGGGUCGAGGCGGAAAAAUCUGCCCGAUCAGACCCCGCAUCCCGCCCCGGCCCGCAAAUAUUUUGUGGGGCGCGGCAAAACUGUUGGAAAUAUGCCCUAGAGGCAAUAAUAAAAUGGUUAUUAUCAUAUUUCCUUGUUCAUGAUAAUCGUCUAUUGUUCAUGCUAUAAUUGUAUUAACAGGAAACAGUAAUACAUGUGUGAAUAAAUAGAUCACAAUGUGUCCCUAGCAAGCCUCUAGUUGGCUAGCUCAUUAGUCAAUAGAUGAUCAUGGUUUCCUGAUCAUGGGCAUUAGAUGUCAUUGAUAACGGGAUCACAUCAUUGGGAGAAUGAUGUGAUGGACAAGACCCAAUCCUAAGCCUAGCACUAGAUCGUAUUGUUCGUAUGCUAAUGCUUUUCUAAUGUCAAGUAUCUUUUCCUUCGACCGUGAGAUUGUGCAACUCCCGGAUACCGUAGGAGUGCUUUGGGUGUAUCAAACGUCACAACGUAACUGGGUGACUAUAAAGGUGCACUACGGGUACCUCCGAAAGUGUCUGUUGGGUUGGCACGAAUCGAGAUCGGGAUUUGUCACUCCGUGUGACGGAGAGGUAUCUCUGGGCCCACUCGGUAGAACAUCAUCAUGAGCUCAAUGUGACUAAGGAGUUAGUCACACGAUGACGUGGUACGGAACGAGUAAAGAGACUUACCGGUAACGAGAUUGAACAAGGUAUAGGUAUACCGACGAUCGAAUCUCGGGCAAGUUCUAUACCGACACACAAAGGGAAUCGUGUACGGGAUUGAUUGAAUCCUUGACAUCGUGGUUCAUCCAAUGAGAUCAUCGUGGAGCAAGUGGGAGCCACCAUGGGUAUCCAGACCCCGCUGAUGGUUACUGGCCAGAGAGGUGUCUCGGUCAUGUCUGCCUGUCUCCCGAACCCGUUGGGUCUACACACUUAAGGUUCGAUGACGCUAGGGUUAGAGGGAAUUGUUAUACGAGGUUACCGAAAGUUGUUCGGAGUCCCAGAUGAUAUCCCGGACGUCACGAGGAGCUCCGGAAUGGUCCGGAGGUAAAGAUUGAUAUAUAGGACGGAUGGUUUCGGAUACCGGAAGUGUUUCGGGCAUCACCAGUAACGUACCGGGACCACCGGGACCACCGAAGGGGGGCAACGACCCCGGGACUUAAGGUGGGCCAAGUGGGGGUGGGAACCAGCCCCUAGGUGGGCUGGUGUGCCUCCCCACUCAGCCCAUAGCGCAAGGGAGAGAAAAGGGGGGGCAAACCCUAGGCCAGGUGGGCCUAAGGCCCACCAGAUGGUGCGCCACCCCCUCCUCCCCCUUCUGGCCGUCGCACCUCCCAUCUGGGGGGGCUGCCGCACCACCUAGGGUGGGAACCCUAGGGGUGGCACCCCCUCUCCCCUCCCCCUAUAUAUAACAGGCACUUCUGGCCAUUGAGACACACGGUUUUUCCCUUUCUCUCGGCACAUCCUUGCUCUUCUUCCUCCUCCUCUCUGCCAGUGCUUGGCGAAGCCCUGCCGGGAGACCUCGUCUCUCCAUCGACACCACGCCGUCGUGUUGCUGGAGUUCUUCCCCAACCUCUCCCUCCUCCUUGCUGGAUCAAGGCGCGGGAGACGUCACCGGGCUGCACGUGUGUUGAACGCGGAGGUGCCGUUGUUCGGCACUAGAUCGGAAUUGCUGCGAGUACGACUCCAUCAACCGCGUUCUAGCAACGCUUCCGCUUAGCGAACUUCAAAGGUAUGAAGAUGCUCUUACCCAUCUCUCGUUGCUGGUCUCUCCAUAGCAAGAUCUGAAUAUGCGUAGGAAAAUUUUGAAUUUAUGCUACGUUACCAACAGUGGCAUCCGAGCGAGGUUUUCUAUGCGUAGAUUCUAUGCACGAGUAGAACACAAAAGUUGUGGGCGAUGAUUUGUCAAUUUGCUUGCCGCUACUAGUCUUAUUCUUUUCCGGCGGUAUUGUGGGAUGAAGCGGCCCGGACCGACCUUACACGUACGCUUACGUGAGACUGGUUCCACCGACAGACAUGCACAUCGUGCAUAAAGGUGGCUAGCGGGUGUCUGUCUCUCCUACUCUAGUCGGAUUGGAUUUGAUGAAAAGGGUCCUUAUGAAGGGUAAAUAGCUUUGGCAUAUCAUCGUUGUGGCUGUCACGUAGGUAAGAAGGCGUUCUUGCUAGAAACCCAAAUCAGCCACGUAAAACUUGCAACAACAAUUAGAGGACGUCUAACUUGUUUUUGCAGGGUUUGACAUGUGAUGUGAUAUGGCCAAAGUUGUGAUGUUGCAUGUAUGAUGUAUGAGAUGAUCAUGUUAUUGUAAUAGGUUUCACGACUUGCAUGUCGAUGAGUAUGACAACCGGCAGGAGCCAUAGGAGUUGUCUUAAUUUAUUGUAUGAGAUGCAACGCCAUGUGCUUACUACUUUUACUUCAUUGCUAACGGUUAGCUAUAGUAGUUAUGAUAGUAGUAGUUGACGUGACGACUUCACGGAGACACGAUGAUGGAGAUCAUGAUGAUGGAGAUCAUGGUGUCACGCCGGUGACGAUGAUGAUCAUGCGAUGCCUGAAGAUGGAGAUCGAAAGAGCAAAGAUGAUAAUGGCCAUAUCAUGUCACUAUAUGAUUGCAUUGUGAUGUUUAUCAUGUUUUACAUCUUAUUGCUUAAAACGACGGUAGCUUAAUAAGAUGAUACCUCUUAAAAUUUCGAGAACGUAUUCCCCUAAGUGUGCACCGUUGCGAAGGUUCGUUGUCUCGAAGCACCACGUGAUGAUCGGGUGUGAUAGAUUCUAACGUUCGCAUACAACGGGUGUAAGCCAGAUUUACACACGCGAAACACCUAGGUUGACUCGACGAGCUUAGCAUGUACAGACAUGACCUUGAAUACAAGAGACCAAAAGCUCGAACAUGAGUCGUAUGGUUGAAUACGAUCAGCAUGAAGUUGCUCACCAUGGUGACUAGCCCGUCUCACGUGAUGAUCGGACACGGGUUAGUCAACAUGGAUCAUGUAUCACUUAGAUGACUAGAGGGAUGUCGAUUUAAGUGGGAGUUCAUACUUAAUUUGAUUAAAUGAACUUAAUUGUCAUGAACUUAGUCUAAAAGUUGUCUUUAUAAAUAUUGUAGAUGUCCAACGUCAACCUCAAUUUCAACGCAUUCCUAGAGAAAAACAAGCUGAAAGAUGAUGGUAGCAACUAUGCGGACUGGGUUCGCAACCUGAAGCUCAUCCUCG